This 96293-nucleotide long non-coding RNA is filed under the name Populus tremula. RNAcentral describes it as "long non-coding RNA (PTRE_LNC002033)". The stretch from base 70218 to 70307 matches the Rfam family "MIR478 microRNA precursor family". Lineage: Eukaryota; Viridiplantae; Streptophyta; Magnoliopsida; Malpighiales; Salicaceae. The record is from RNAcentral.
CCCAACAAUGUUUUGUUGUCCAAUUAACUGAUUUUGCGACAUGUUAGUGGUAUUUGAUUGUUGCCCCAUUAGCUGCUGUUGUGGAGGCAAUAGUGGCUGCUGCAUCAUUGGUGUUUGCUGCUGAUGAAUACCAGCAGACUGUUGAGGUUGUUGCUGCUGCUGCCUAAGGACUGAUUGUGGAUGUUGCUGGUGCAUUGGUUGUGUUGACUGUUGAACAGAAGAUGGUUGGUUCUGUUGAAGGCCAGAGACAGUUUGCAUCAUUGAAGGCUGCAUAACAGUUGAUGUUUGCAAACCAGAUUGCUGAGAAGAUUGCAACUGAUUUGGCUGUAACAAGUUUUGCUGCUGCUGCUGCUGCUGCUGCUGCUGUUGCUGCUGGUGGAUGUGAGAUUGCACAAGUGAGUGUGGAUGAUUUCCCUGUUGAAGCUUCUGCUUUAAAAGCUGUUGUUGUAUCUGCUGCUGAUAAAGAUACUGCUGAGGAUUUUGGGACUGCUGCUGUUGCUGUGACGGAACAACCUGUUGCCUGCCUGGCAUUUGUCUCUGAGAAUUGACAAACAUAUUGGAGGGAAUCCCUUGUCCCAUUGAAUUCCCCACUGGGUUCUGUGAAACACCAGAGAUACUCUGCAUGCUAGCAUUCUGUCCAACAGUGUUUGAGAUAGUCUGGGUUAAACCGGAGACAGAAGGCAUUGCUGAUUGUAAACCAGCAGAACUUUGAACUCCAUUAGAUGACAAACUAUUCUGCAUGUUCUGUGAUAACUGCUGACGUGCUUGAGGCUGAUUAGUGGACAAUGAGAUAGGGAGCGACUGCCCUUGGGUGUGAACUUGAGGCUGCAUACUAUGAGAUGCUGUUCAAGAUAAAUGGCAAAAAGGAAAACCAUGUCAAAGGAAAAAAAGAAGGCACCGAACAAGAAAACAAAAUGAAACAAUGACAGUUCACAUGUAAAGUUAUGAGGGAAAUAAUUAAGAUGGUUUUACCUCAAAGCAUAAAAGUGUCAUUUGACAAUUUUGGGGUUGGGGGGGGGGGGAGCAGAAAACAAAAAUAAUCUGUAAUUUUUUUGAACAUUCAUCAAUUACUCAACUUUUUUAUUAAAGCAUGGUAUAUACAUAGCAAUAUGCAGCAAUAAAAUGUAAAAGAGUUUGAUAACAAUUUAAAACAAAAGGUAAGGAUGUUUAGAAAUUCAAUGCUUGGCUGCAUUAUUACCUCCUGGAUCCAGGGUUUUGUUACCAUUGCCAGUGGGUAUGGUAUUUUGAGACUUGGUCUCCAUUGUAAGCAUCUUCAGAGAUAUUUUACGCAGAUAAUCAGACUGAAAUCAGAUAUCAAUGACAAAACAUUAGAUCUCUGCGCAAUCCAUGUUACAAGAGAAGGGGGGAAAGGGAUUUAUGCUCUUUCUAAUAUGCUAGGCUCUUUGUAUUUGCAUCUUCUGUGAGGAUAUACUUCUGUGUCCUCUCUUUUUAUUCAGUUAUUUAUGUAUCGAUUCGUUAUUUGCAUUUUGCACACUUCCCUUGUACUUGAAAAGGACCUUGGUCACUCUAAAUAAAAAGAUGAGAACUUCUUCUACAGAAUGACCAGUGAGGAAGUGUGGACACACUACACACACAUGUGUACAUGCAUAAAUCCACAAACUUAUGCAUGUGUAUAUUCAUGACUAGAGAAUAUUGAAAUUAUUGAACCUAGCAUUAGCCGAAUACCUGAUUGGUGGCGGCAGUAUAAAUCUUUUCCUCAAACCGUACGGCAAUUUUCUUGAGUUCUUGUAAUCCUUCUUGACCAGAAAACGGAAGAUGCCUCUUUAAUGUCUCCAUUCUACACAUGUAAAACAUUACAUUUAAUUUUUAACGACAAGGCAGGUAUAGAGAAGUUAGCAGCAGUGAGAAAGAACCGUGAACUCAUACACCACACCAAUAUCAGAAAUGUAUACAACGGAAUCAUUAGCAAAAGGUAAAAACAAAUAAUGAUAUAGCCAAGUGUCGUUCAAGUAAUAUAUGGCAUCAACAUACAGACAUCUAUUUUUACUUCCUUUCCCCGUAUUAUUCCAGAGGUACAGGGUAUAGGAGUUCACUUGGCCACCCUUCUGUCUAAAAUUCUAGUUACGAGCUUCAUGGUUAAUUUUCUUGAACGGAAGAACCUUCCAUUUAUGGCUAUGGCUAUGCUCCAAGUAUACAAAUGAAUUAGUUGCAAACCAGGGGAACUUGUGAAAACAUUACAAUAGAAUUUACUCUGAUAAGAAAACUUUAUACAUGCACUGUAAUUGACAAAGAAAAGAAGAAAAUCCUUUUAAUUUAUGAAAAUGCAAUGAGUUAACCUUAUCUCACUUGCAAUAUAUACUCUACAGUGCUCAUUGGCUACUGCAAGUGCCAACAGUAGCUGUCUAUAUGAAUUUGGAUGUAGAGAUAUCACCAAAACAUUCAACUUUAAUUACUGAGAAACUAGGAAACCAUGCACUAUUGUAGCUAAAUGAUUUUUGUCAGCUGCUUUUGUACUUUAAGAUCACUAUCAUUUCAACCCUGUAGAAGUUAAAGCAAAUAGAAGGCUCAAAUCCAACACUAUUCAUUUAAGUUCAGUUGCAACUCAAGGUUGAAAUUGAAACACCAAUGCUCAUAGCAAUAGAUUAACCUUGAAAUUUAAAGCGGACAAGCUUCAUGCAGCCAUCCUAGAGGUCAUCAUCAAAAGAAUAUGUUACACAAGAAGUUCCAACAAAAAUUACUUCCCAGCACUUUUUAUUCCCUCAAGUUCACUUCUUGUGAGAAACACGUGAAAAAUGAAAAAGACAAAAACAGAGGUGUAUGAUACUUGAGGUUGCCUCAUGGCAGUCCUGCUGAUUUUAAUUAACCUUUGCUUUUUACUAUUUUGCAGCACUUGCACAUAUUAGGAAACAGAUACUUACAUUUUGUUGACUAUUCUUUGCCGUGAGUCAGGCUGCAAUUGAGUUCUCCAAUCACCUGUGUCCAUCACAGGUUCUCCACCUGGGGCAGUGGCCUCCAAUUAUUGGCAUCCAUGGGGUUUUGGCCAACCAAAAUUUUUUUUAAUUAUAUUGCACGUUAGAAUAGACCCUGAAAAAAAAAGUCCAGAACAGAAGAGUAAGAGUCAUGAAAAUUGGAAUAUCAGUUUAUUCAGACUUGAAUAGAUUUAAAAAGAACUUCCAUCUAAUAGCAUGUACUUUAUUAAAGAAUUCUGCCAAAUAUGGAUGCAUAAAAUCUGAACAGCCAUAACAAAUAUACACGACCAUUCAAGGCAAGGUGCUAGGAUCUUGGGUAUUCAGGUAUACAGGUAUUAUAAGCAAGAUUUGGGCCUGAAUCUUCAUGGUGCUUCUAAAACCAAGGAAGCAAAAAACUAGCCAGCUAGUUCAUAACUUGCCGCACCAACAGAUGGUGAGUGUUGGUAAACCAAGCCAUACAGAAACUCAUGGUGCUUCAAUUUUUACUUGAUGUUUUCUAGCAACACUCGUGAUGCAUCAUUGAUGCAAUGUUUACAAUGACAAACUUGCAUUUGUAUUCAUUGUGGUUUUAGGUUCACAGAUUCUGAUCAAAUAGAUAUUUAAUGUUCCAAAAACAUUGUAUACGCAUUUAAAUGCUUUACUUCAAUAGAUAGAUUAAGUUAUCUUUCUAGAUAUCAGUAUAUCACAUCUUACCAAUUUAGAUUCAGCACAGGACCUUUUUCAGGUGCUUACCAAUUUUUACUCGCAACCAAAUACAUACCGUCAAACCCCAACCCCCCCCCCCCAACUCCAGUUCUUGUUAUUUAUGUAUGAAUUAACUUUUCUGAAAGAAUAAAUGUUGUGUGGAGGAAAUAGUGUAAAUAGAAAGAGGAGAUCCCCAAAAGAAUAAAGAAGAAGAAGAAAACAAAACAAAGUCAUAAAACAAGGCUUUUCAAUCCCCGAUGAAUAUCAGCAGUCUAAAUACCCCAGCAAAUAGAACAUGAAGAGAUAAGAGAUUGUCUAGGAUGUUUUAAGCUAGGAAAAUGAAGAAGAAAACGACAAGCAUUAACCAUGAAUAUUUCAUGUUAUCAUCAACUCUAAAGAGCAGACUGAUAAGAAUCAACUUAACAACUCUUGUUGAAAUAAGAUUAAAUUUGCAGGCACAUCUUUCUCGGAAUAGACAACACAAUAACCUGACCAUGCUCGACCUUGAGGUAAGUUAUAAAAUGUUCUUCCUAACUAGAUGCACAGGUGCGCCUUUGGGGUGAAGUGAACUAGGUCAUUUGUUUUACACUUUCACAUGCUCUUAACUUUCAACUCAAUCAAUCACAAUACAGUCCUUGGUUAGGACUAACUGUCCUGCUCAAGCUUUCACCUCAUACUCAAGACCAGCUGAGCAGUCCUAAAAAGAAAGAUAUAUCAUGUAGGGUUAUCAAGGCAGACCUAUUAUUUUUAUUUUUUUCACGUUAACAUGACCAAAUUAUAAAUUUUAAAGUUCUUUUCUUUCUUUCUUUUUUCCAUGUGUGAGCGAGCAUAAAACCCAAGGAUAUCGUAUUGUUGUUAAGAACACAAUAAUUUUGAAGAAUUCAGUAAAUUCUAAAAAAGAAGAAUCCACCAAACAGCUCAUUUUUCGGCCAUUCCAGCAGUAAUAUCUCUUCCACUCCAGCUGCUGCAUAAACUAAUUAACAAAUUAUCGAUCGAGCCUAAAAGAUUUGAAUUGAUUUCUAUUCUCCACUAAAAAAUAAAAUAAAAUAAAAUAAAAUAAAUUUGGGUUCAAGAAUUCAGGGCUUGAUUAUUACAACAAUAACUGUGAGAAAAAUCGGAUAAUAUCAUGUAAAUUAAGGGGAAAAAAUUGAAAAAGAAAUUAUUAGAAUCGGCUGAUUGUGCGUUUCUUUGAAUUGCGUUCACGAGCAGCAGCGAUUUCAUCGGAUCCGAUUAUAUAUUUUUUUAAUUUACUUAUUAAAAUCGAAUUGCGUUCACUAGCAGAGAUUUCAUCGGAUCGAUUAUUUUUUUUUAAUUACUUAUUAAAAUAAAUUUCUGUCUCUGAGUAAUAAUUACAAUAAAAUAAAUGAAAACACCAUAAAUUUUAAAAACAAAAACAUGAUAGAAAUAGAAGCACCUGGCAGAAAUCUGAAGCCUUCUUGGCGGCGGCGGUUUCCGAGAGGCGGGGAGGGAGGGAGGGAGGGAGGGGAGCUCGGGCGGGAGAGAUGGAAUGCUGGACCCAAGUGAAAUGGAUGACUUUAUUCUUUUCCAGAUUCCUUCUAAAAAAAUUAACGAGUAAAACUAGCUCGCUCGCACGCACGCAUAUGAUAAUUAAAAUUUGAGUUAAAUUCUAUUUAACUAGUGUCUGUAUUUGUGUUAAACAAACAGAUUAAUCCCUCAAGUUCAUUUAAAUAACUAAUUGAUCCUUGAAUUACAUUUUACCGUUAAGUUAGCGGCACAAACUAAGGAAAUAUUGCUGAAAGCUCAACAUUUUACUAAGAAAAAUUAAUGAAGGGACCGCAUUGUAAAAAUAUUUAAAAGUAUAGGGAUUAGUUAGAAUAGCUAGUUAUCACUACCUCUGAGAAUUAAUGUACAGCUCAGCAUUUUGUUGAAGGGACGGGCAAAGGUACAUUUAUUUCCGUUAACUUUCUAAUAUUAGAUCUUGCUUCAGUACAAUUUAUUAAAUUUAUUUUAAUAUAUUAAAUAAUAUAAAGCACAAAACAAAUCAUAAUAAAAUACAAUAAAAACAAGUUGUGAUGUAUUUGUUGCACAUGGCAAUCUAUAAAUGAAGUGUUUGGCCUCAAUUUUUAAUUUUUUUUUAGAUUAUUUUGAUGUAUUGAUAUUAAAAAUAUUUUUUUUAAAAAAAAAAAAUUAUUUUGAUGCAUUUCAAAAUUAAAAAUAUUUUAAAAAACAAUUAAAAUUACACUCUUAAACACCCUUAAAUUAUUUGAUAUAUACUUUCGAUAUGACAAGGAUUCAUCACUGUCUUGUCCAAAGUUUUCCUUAGGAUAAAAUUUGUAGAAAAAAUAUUUUUUUUUAAUUUUUAUAUUAUAUAUUUAUCUCUUAUAUAUCUUUUAAUUUGAAAAACUAAAAUUUGACCAAUUUUAUUAAAAUAGAUAUGUGCAUGUAAGAUUUUAAUUGCAAAAUCUUUUUGAUUUAAGAACUAGAUUGUUCUAGAUGACAAAGAAAUUCUAGUAAAGACUAAAAUAUCAUAAAAAUAAAAAUGCAAAGACUAAAACUAAUGAUUGAAAAAAUAUCAAUAAUAAAAACAAAAUUAUUUGAACUUGUCUCGUGUGCAUCGAACAUAGAAUAAGAACAUAUAUUAUCUAGUUCAAUUCAAUACAAUCUUAAAUAUUGUUUAGUAUUUAUAUUGUCAUUUUCAAACCAUAAUACCUAACGCGUUUUUAGUUUCAAUUUACAUACAAACUCAUCUAAUUAUAUUUUUAUUGUUAAAAAAAUAUCAUAAUUUGGAAUUACAAAAAAAUAUUCUAUUGGAAAAAUGUUCUACUAAAAUAAAAAAAUGUGGAAAUAUACUUGUAUAUUAUAAAUUAAUAAAAAUACAUCAAAUUACUGAUAAUGUCAAAAUGUUGCAUGGCACUUUAAUCACAUGUCUCCUCCUCCUCUUCCUCCUAAAACAAAAUGUGGAAAUAUACUUGUAUAUUAUAAAAAAAAAUGUGGAAAUAUACUUGUAUAUUAUAAAUUAAUGGAAAUACAUCAAAUUACUGAUAAUGUCAAAAUGCUGUAUUGCACUUUAAUCACAUGUCUCUUCCUCCUCCUCUCCUUGCAAUUGUGUUUCAAAAUAUAUGAUAAGAGAAAGGCUUGAACAUGACAACGUACAUGUUUCUAUAUGCUAUCAAAAGGUAAUAUUUGAUUACAAUCCUGAACAAAAGAGACGAAAACCAUGAAAAUAAAGGAAACAAAAUAGAAAAAAUAUGAAAAUAUAAUAAUAUAUAGUAGUAACUAUUUAUAUAUCUUAUUUGAUAAUGAUAAAUAAAAAAAUAAAUAAAUAAUUAUUUUAUCUUUAAUAUGUAUUAUUAUUAAACUUAUAUAUUUAUACAAAUAAAUAGAUUUUUUUUUGCUUUAGUUUGAAUUAAGUGUUAAAAUUAAUAAUAUUAUGAUAACUCUAAUUAUAAAACCUACACUGGCCUAGUGGAUCAAUUCGGGACCUAGUCGUCUCUAGGCUUGGAUCAAUACAAGUUUAAGAAAAGAUAGGUGAAUUAAAAAACCUUGUUGAUUCAGGAUAAAUCACAGGUUGACUUAGGAUAAAACACUGGGCAAAACUCAUUGUUUUUUUUUUUUUUAAUUUGAUCAAAACAAGGUUGUGUUGAUUCUCAUUUUUAAAAAAAAAAAAUUGGGUCAACUCGAGUUGACCCUCCUAACUCAUGACCUAGGCUUUGCCUCAAAUCGACUCUUGGAUGGAGUUUCAAAACUAUGAUAAUAAUUAUUUUUAUCCAUGCAUUAAUCCUCCUAACCCAAGACUUGAGCUUAUGUCAGGUCAAUCCCUGAGUUGAGUUUUAAAACUAUUGUUAUAACCACUUUUAUUUUUACAUUGAUCCCGUUCAACCAGAGUUGACCCUCCUAAUUUGUGACUUGAGCCUUGCCUUAAGUCAACCUUUAAGUUAAGUUUUAAAAUUAUAAUAAUAACCAUUUUUAUUUUUUUGUUGACUUGGGUCAAUGGUCAACCCAAACAAUAACUCGAGACUUGUUCCAAGUCAACUCUCGUGUUAGAUUUUACAAUUAUAAUAAUAACUAUUUUUAUUCUUACCUUGAUUUAGGUCAAUAAAGAUCAUAGAUUUUACUCCAAGUCAAUCCCCACGUUGGGUUUAAGACUACAAUAAUAAUUAUUUUUAUUUUUACAUGUCUUAGUUAGGCAAUUUUGGAAUUGAAAGUUUUUUACAAUGAUAUUUUAUGAAUAAAAAAUAAAAAAUAUUGUUUAUAAAGAUAUGUCUUAUUUGUACUUUCUAUUUUGAAAGUCCAUAAAUUCACUCUAAAAUUAUCUCGUAAAAAAAAUAUUUUUAUAUCUUUUUUUUUCAACUUAACACAUUUUUGUCUCUACUAUCUUCAUUCUUUUUAUCCUAAGAUAAUAACUAAAUGCUACACUAGAGUUUAAUAAUGAUAUAAAUGCGAACAUCUUAACUUCGUAUAAUCAAAUGAGUAAAGAAGAAGACAUAAAAGGGAAGUUCAUGGUAAUUUUAUAAAAUCAUAGUUAUUAUAUCUUGGUUAAAGCUUGAUUCGGCUAAAAUCCUAGAUUAGCAAGUUAUAGGUCAACCUACUAAGUUAGUGAGUUGACUAGUAUAUCAAUUAUGAUAAUAAAUUAUACAUAUAAUAUUAAAUCUAAAUGUUUCAUACAUGUUGGUUGUGGUGGGUUGGUAAUUUUUUUUUUGUCAAUUCAAAAACACCAAGAUUCAAACAUUAUUGUAUGAAUAUUUUUUUCAAAGUCAACCUUUAAAUCAACUAGGUUUUAAAUUUUAGUAGUUAAAUUCACUAAUCAAUCAUUUGAUUUAUGUGAUAGGCCUGCAUUUAAGAUGAACAUUUACCAUAAAUUAAAUGUAUCUUAUAGUAUUAGACUUGUUAUUAUAAAACAUGUUUUCGUUAAGGAGUUAUUGAUACUCCAAGUGAAAAAUUAUGAUAUAAAACCUUGAUAAAAAUACGCUUUUAAGUACUAAUCAAUGUUCUACUAGAAUUUAGGAGAAGCAUAGAGAGUGGGACCCGACUUCUCACGUGCAAGUACAACAGGAGUUCAAGGUAAGGGUUGUCCCCUUGCUUCUUUAAAAUGUUUAAAUUCUUGUAAAGCUAGUAUGUGAUAGACAUUAUGUGUAUUUUGUAUUAUUGUGUAUCAUGAGAAAUAUGGCCUAUGUGAACAUUGCCUACUGGUAGUAUAAAUAUUGUUGCGUGAAAGUUACUAACAAGUAGGAGAAAUAUUAUUAUUGUGUGAACGUUGCCAAUGGGCAAGAAAUGUUAUUACAAUGUGAAUGUUGCCUACAAGCAGGGAAACAAAUACUAAUUCUAUAUGAAUGUUGCCUACGGGCAAGGAAACAAAUACUAAUUCUAUGUGAAUAAUACUUACAAAAAGAGAAAUUAUAUUAUUAUAUGAAUAUGUCCACCUGGUGAAUAUGACUAAAGAAAGGAAAGAUACAGUGAAACAAACAUGGAUUUGAAAUUUGAAUUUUGUUCAUAGUCUCUGGGAUUCGGAGUUCGGAUAUGGGUUUAUAUUAUGUUUAUAUAUAUAUAUAUAUAAAAGAAGAAGAAAAGAUCGCCUAUGGACUUGAUUAGCCGACCUCGAAUAGAGGCAGCUAAUGAUGUUAACAAAUAUUGUUAGCAUUGGCAUGAUCUUGAUGGAAAUAUAAUGAAUAUUGAACUUGAUUAACUAUUUGUAUCACUAAUAGUUAAUGAUACUGAUGAAUAAUGUUUGUAUCGACAAGCCCAUACUAACUUGAUUAACUUUAUAAGGAGGAAGUUAAUGGUGUAAGAGAACUUGGCAUCAGCAUUUCCGAAAACAUCUCCAAUUAUGAUGGAGAGUAAUUGAUUGAGUAUUUCAGGUUAGAAAUGGCUCAAUGGCAUUGAUCGAUUAAGUUGGUGUCGGCAUUGCUAAGGAAUUGAUUAGUUUAUCUAGGUAAGGGUGACUAAUGACACUAAUAGGAGUUAUUAGUGUUGGCAGUGAUUGCCUUAGAAUUUGGGGCGGAAGAAAAAAGGGUAAAUCAUACAAAAGUUAAUGUGUGAUAAUCGAAAAGAAAACCAUAAGUAGGUUGUGGAAGGAUAGGUGUUAGAUGUUGUAAAGGAUCUUCUUUUGCGGAUCAACUAUGAUUAUGCCCUAUCAAGUGGGUACACAUAUGCGUAGUUACAUGUAGUAGUGCCCCUCCAUUAUCUGGUUGUAUUUUAUUUAUUUAAUAUAAUUAUUCUUUUAUUUUGAUGUUCAAGGUCUUUCUCAUUCCUUUCAGGAGUAGUGUCCUAGGUGUCUAGUUCUUUUGUAUGAAUUAGGGAAUUAGGAUUUCCAAUUCUUUUGUAUAACUUAGGGUUAACAUCUUUAUUUCUUCUGUGUGAACUUGGGAUGAAAUGGAUGUUGUAUUUUCUUUAGAUAAUUAUAUGAAGGAACGAUGUUAGUGUUCCUUUAUCUUAAUCUUAGAGACCUUUAGAAUUUUAUGCUUGUAAUAUUAAUGUUAUUAAUUAAGUUUAUUACUAUUAGUUUGUGUUGUAAAUUAUAUGUUCGAAAUGAAUCCCUGGAUUUGCAAUAUAUUAUGAAUAAUAAUAAUUAUGGUCGCAAUGCGACAUGGAUAUGCAUUGAUGAUGGAAUAAACAUGAGAUAUGUAUAGGAUGAGUUGUUGAUAACUUGGGACAUCUCGGUAUAGGGGAGACUCAGCUGAAACUUUGGUAGAAAUUUUGUUACAGUGUAAAAAAAAAUACCUGUAUCUUUACGUACCAAAUUGAGGAAUUAAUUUUAAAUGCUCAUGAAAUCGUUGGGCGUUACAUUACUAAUAAGGCCAACUACCAAAUCCUCACCCGUCGAUGUGAGAUAUUACAAUCCACCCCCCCUUAUGGAGCCCGACGACCUUGUCGGCACAACCAGACAUCCAGCAAGGUUGGCUUUGAUACCAAAUGUCACAGCCCGGCCCAACUUGGCAAAUAUUAUUGACUUUGGGCCUUACCUCCAUCAAGAUAAUUUUUCUUAUUAACAUAUUUCUUGUUUAUCUUGGUGAAUGCAAGCUUUUUUUCUUUACUAGAAUCAUUGUUUCUAUUAAAAGAAUAUUCUAUAAUUGCCACAACAAAUUAGAAAAAAGAAAAUCAAAAUAGUAUGUUCAUAUUUUUAUGUGUGAUUGAAAGUUAAAAAAAUAAUAAAUAUGAUAAAAUCAUGCUCAAAAUAUAUUUAAAAGUUCUAAGAUUAAAAAAGUGAUUUAAAUUGAACUCUCAUGAACAAAUUUUUAUGUCAUAUAUAUAAUAAUUGAAAACAAUUAUUAAAAUUUAAAUAAAAUUUUAUAAAACAAGGCUUACACAUCUGACCUUGCUUUAUAUUUUUAUUAAACUCUACUCGAAUGCUGGAGCUCAAUCAGUUGUUCCUCUAUUUUUAUUAUCUCAUCAUUAGUUGUUGAUAAAAAAAAAACAAAAAACUGGAAACAUCCUCUCGUGGUUGCUAGGAGUUGGCAGUCACAAAAAUUUACAUGACUAGAUGAGAUAACAACAACAUCCUUGUAGAAGAGGUUGCCGAUGCAUUGCGGUUGCUGCUCAUUGCGAUGUCUUUGCAGAUGAAACCCACUAGCUGCUGAUGCAAAGCUUGUUGAAUUUGCCACAUGUUGAGCUUGAGCUUGCAUAAAAGCAUUAGUGUAGAUUAGUUGAGUCUGUUGCAGUGCAUACUUUUUUAACUGCUACUGCUACUGCCGCUUCGAACAAGACUUUGAGGAGAUGCAGAAGUGCAUUAGGUAACUUGGUGCCUAUAGAUGAUGAUGAUGAGAUGUGGUCCGAAUAAACACUUCCAUUACUAGUUGUUGGUGUUUCACUAUGAAUGGAAGCUGCAGCUGCAAAUUGUUUCACAGGCAUUGUUGAAACAGAGGAGUCUGUUAAAUAUAGCCAAGAGAACACAAUUGACUGCCCAACAGUUAAUGGGGUCUGUCCUCCAACCAUAUUGGCCUUCCUCUUUCCUUUCAUAUUUGAAGUGUCAUUUCCUCCAUUUUUCCCUUCUUUAGGCACACGGUAAUUCAUCUGUUGUGUUGCUUGGGCCGUAGUGAUGAAGUGAUAACCAUGCCUUGCUGCCGUUGGAGGGCUUUGGAGAAGAGCAUGAUUCCGAACCAGCAAUGAAACAUCAAGACCUGGGGAAGUUGUGGUUCCGUUGAUGGAGCAAAUGACAUUGCAAAAGGAGGAGGUGUUUGUGAGUAACAUUCUGAUUUUGCAUCAGCUGCCGCUACUAGUUCGGCAGGGAAUGAUUCUGUUGAUGAUUCUGCAGAUGGUUGGAUCUUGAUGAUCGCUGCUGAUUCCACCUAAUUCACUCCCAUGUGGUUUAUGCUGCUGAUUCUGCAAAUGCUUCUGGGAUGACGAGGAGCCACUAGAAAUACUUGGAUUUUGAUGAUGAUGUUGGCUUUGUUGUGUCUGAAUGAAUGGUUGUUGCUGUCGCUGAAGCUGUGAAGGAUGAAGCAUUCAAGAAGAAUAAAAUUGAUCCAUUGAAGAAAGACAGCCUGAGGAUGGGUUCCUUUGUAAGUUGUUGUGGCCCCCAACAUGUUCAGGGAUUGGAAUCUCGUACGCACCAUUCUGUAAAAUUGCCAGGGAAGUUUGGGUAGUUGAAGCUCAUUGUUGUAGCACCAGUUAUUGCUGAUGUCGUGGCAUUUAUUGAAGCAGAACUUUAGCUACUUGAAGAAGCUACAUUGCUAGCAACUGGCUGGUUAGAUAGAAGCUUUUACCACUGCAGUAGCUUGUUAUUGAUCCAUUGGGAAGAUGAAAGCGAGCCCUUGCUUGCAAAAUAUUACUAUGAGCCCUAGGGGGCAGAACUCGCUGAAGCAAAAUCUGCAAGGGCCUAAAUACAAAAAAAAGGACGUUAUGUACAAGUUGAAUAAGAAAUUGGAUAUCAGAUAGAAUUGAUGCAGGCAACAAGGAAAAUAUGGGGAGUCGCUAGCAAGGUCAUUUAUGUUACAAUGAUAUGUUCUUAUUUAUUGCUUUUCUGAAUAAGGGAUCAUGUUCUUAUAUCAUAUACAAGGCUGCUAAGUAUGGAAAGUAAUAACUAUUUACACAUAAAUUGGCUGGGAUCAUGGUGAUACAUAUUUUGUGGAGCUAAUGGAUUCUAUCCUCGUGAUGUCAGCAAUUAAUCUCAAUGAUAGUUCAUGCCAACACUCUCCCUCAAGUUGGUGCACAGAUGCCUUUAAUGCCCAACUUGUCUAGCGAGUUAUAAAACAUCUUGCUUGAAACAACUUUUGUGAGAAUAUCCACUAGAUGGUCUUCUGAUAUUACAAAUGGGAAUUGAACUAUCUUGGCCUCAAGCUUUUCUUUGAUAAAAUAUUGAUCUAUUUCAACAUGUUUUAUCUUGUCAUGUUGAACUGGAUUUUGUGCAAUUUGUAUAUUUGCUUUAUUCUCACAAAACAACCUCAUGGUUGGCCAAGAUGAGUAGCCAAUUUCUUCCACCAACUCCCUUAACCAAAGAAGCUCGCAAAGUCCUUUGGCCAUGCCAAGAAACUCAGUCUCUGCACUAGAUAAUGCCACAACUUUAUGUUUCUUACUUCUCCAAGUGACUAAGUUUUCUCCAACAAAAGUGAAAUACCCAAAAAUAGACUUUCUAUCAACAAUGUUUCCGACUCAAUCUGCAUUUUUAUACCUAUCAAUGCUUAGGUGGUUAUACUUCAUGAACAUAAGCCCUUUUCCUAGAGAUGCCUUCAACUAUCAUAAGAUCCGGAUCAUAGCUUCCAUAUGCUCUUCACUUGAGCUAUGCAUAAACUAACUCACCAAGUUCACAACAUAGGUAAUGUCUAGUCGAGUAUGAGAUAAAUAAAUCAACUUCACAAUUAACUGCUCCUAGUUUGUGGUUUUGGACUGUUGGUGUGUCUGCUGGUUUACAAUCAAGCAUACCUGUCUCAGCUAGUAGGUUAAGUACAUACUUUCUUUGUGAGAUAAAUAUCCCUUUACUUGAUCGAGCCACUUUAAUCCCCAAAACAAAUUUUAGUCCUUAAAGGUUUUUCAUUUCAAACUCAUUCGUUAGAUGUUCUUACAAGCUCAAGAUCUCCUCCUCAUCAUUUCCUAUAAUUAUCAUAUUUUCGACAUAAAUUAAAAGGCAGUUACCAUUUUCCCUCGAUGUUUUAGGAAUAAAGUGUGAUAUGAAUUUCUUUGUUUGAAGCUGUACUUCUUUGUGGCUAAACUAAACCAUCCAAACCACACCCUUGGUGACUAUUUCAGACCAUAUAGUGCCUUCUGCAACUUGCACACUACUCCAGCAUAUGAGGUAGCAAAGCCUGGUUGGACAUCCAUAUACACUUUUUCUUUAAGGUUCCCAUGAAGGAACACAUUUUUGACGUCGAACUAUUGGAGUGGCCAAUCUAAAUUCACAGAGAUUGACAGCAAUGCCCUGAUUGUAUUUAAUUUUUCCAUGGUGAAAACUUCCCCUGAUAGUCAAUGCCAUAUGAUUACAUAUAUCCUUUUGCGACAAGCCUUGCCUUGUAUCCAUCAGCCUUGUAUUUAAUAGAGAAUACCUAUUUACUUCCUAUUGCUUUCUUCCCUUUUGGUAGUGGCAUGAUCUUCCAUGUUUCAUUCUUUUGUAAAGUUGCCAUUUCUUCGAUUAUUACUUGAUUCCAUUUUGGAUUACUCAAGGCUUCUUGCACCGUGUUUGGGAUGUGUUCAGAAGACAGCUUUUGCACAAAGGUCUUGAGUGGCUGUGACAAUCUUUGGGUACUGACAUGAUUAGCAAUUGGAUAUUUAAUUUUCUCCUCUCUAUGGUCUGGUGAGUAUCGACUUGGUGGCUUGCUGCGGUUGCACCUAUGAGGUAAUUUGUAGCCAACAAAACUAUCUUUAAUAUUAUUAAAAGAGAGAUUUGGGAACUGUACCUCAGGAUUAUUCUUAGGACAAUGGUUGUUUGAUACUGAACUGAGAGGGGGCUGUUCUUGUUCUUGUUCAUUCUCUGUCUUGUUAUUCUACCCAACUAUUGUGUUUGUGUCUCUAAACCAUGGCCAGUUCUCCCAAUUACAACCAUGGUCUAUAUUCUGCUCUUCACCAAUCAUCUCCCCCUGAAGAGAAGAAUGAGAACCUGGCUCUUGAAAGAAGUAUUCAGUUUCUAGAAAUGUAACAUCCAUUGUGAUGUAAAGGCGUCUUGUUGCAGGAUCAUAACAUUGGUAGCCCUUCUUAUGCUGUGUAUAGCCCAGGAAUAUACAGCGGACUGCACAUGGAUGAAGUUUGGUUCUUUGAUUUUUAUGAAGAUGAACAUAAGCUACGCAUCCAAAUAUCUUUGGUGGAAGCAUAAGUAUAGAAGGGAGAGGCACAUGAUGGGCGAGAGCUUGUAAUGGAGUACUAAAGUUUAACACUCUAGACGACAUUCAGUUCAACAAGUAGACAACAGUUGUGACUACAUCUGUCCAAAACUGUGGAGGUGCAUUUGCUACUGUUAAGAGGGCCCAAGUUGUUUCCAGGAUAUGUCUGUUCUUCUUCUCUGCAACACCAUUCUGCUGUGGUGUUUGGGAGCACAUUGUCUUAUGGUGUAGCCCACAUGCCUGGAAGUACUCCUGCAACUCUUUAUUGUCAUACUCCCCACCAUUGUCAGAACGGAGGAUCUGAAGUUUGGCAGAGAAUUGGGUCUUGAUCAUAUUAUGGAAAGAGCGAAAAAUCCUUGCUACCUCAUUCUUACUUUUCAUCAAAUAUAGCAAUGUCAUACGUGUGCAGUCAUCCACAAAAAUCACAAAACAUCUGAUGCCUGAAGAAACUGAAACAGGAGCUGGUCCACAUAUGUCCGAGUGAAUUAACAUAAAUGGUGUCUCACACUUUUUGAAUUUAUUGGAUAGGAAACUUGAUGACUUUUAGCUAAAAUGCAGGUUUUACAUUUUAACAUUGUAUUGUCUAAGUUGGAAAACAAACUAGGAAAUAAAUGUCUUAAGUAGGACGGGUGUCCCAAGCGGUGAUGCCACAACCAGAUAUCAUGUUCUUUGUUACCAAGAUGACGAGCAUUGUUCGCCUGAACAACACUGAAGUCAUCAAUGUAGUACAACCCCCCUUGUUUAGUACUACAACCAAUAAUCUCCUUAGUUAGAAUAUCCUGAAACAAGCAAAUUUUAGGAUAGAUUAGUGGGCAGCAGUUCAAAUCCUCAGUAACUUGUCCUACCAAUAAUAAUUUAUUGGAAAGAGUUGGAACAAGUAGAGUGUUUGAUAAAGAAAAAGAGGAUGACAGUGCCACUUCUCCAGCCCCAGUAACUGGAUAUUUUUCACUGUUUGCAUUGGUUAUGCAUGUGAUCCAUUUUGGUUGAGUCGUUUCAAUAAAGUCUUGUGGAUUGAAUGUCAUGUGAUUAGUUGUCCCAGAAUCAAUAAUCCAACCGUGGUUCCUGAUUCAUUCUGGGCUAGGGAAUAAUUUGCUGCUGCUGGUGAAAAAUCCUCCUGAGAUAUAAGAGAAAGGUGAGGUUUGAUGGAAGAAAAAGAAGUGCUCUCAGCGCUGACAAGUGUAGCCCGACCACUUUCACGCUUUUUCUUUGUCUUGAGUUCAUGCCACCAGUCCGAAUAUCCAUGGAGCUUGAAACAGGUUUCCUUAGUAUGUUUCAUAUUCCCACAGUGUACAACCACCUCCCCCAGCUUGUGUUUUUGAUUUCAUGCCUAGCUUCCCAUCUGUUACCAUCUGAAGAGAAGGUUGCUGUUGUGAUUUUUGUCCUCCUUUUGAUAUCAUGGCCAUGCUGGAAAUGGUAUCUGCUUUUGAUAGCAUCACCAUUUGUCUAAGAUCUUCUCAUCGGACAUGGGCAUAUGUCUGUUCGAUUGUUGGAAAAGGGUGAAGUUGAAGCACAUCAGUUUGAAUCUUGUCCGAGCGAUCAUCAAGUCCGUCUAAGAAAGUAUAAACUCUAUCUUCCUGUAUAAUAGAGUUAUAUUUCUAUAUAUCAACUUCACACUUCAUGGGAUUUGGAUGCCGAAAAUCAAUCUCUCUCUAAAGACCUUGAAGAGUGUUGUAAUAUGUCUCAAUUGACCCUUCCCCCUGUUUGAAUCUUGUCACCCUUCUCUUGAGAUCAUAGACUUGUGAGGUGUCAGAGCCAUCAAAAUACGUUGUGGCAAUAGCAUCCCAUACUGCCUUAGCCAUUGGAAAUCUGAUGUAAUUUCCAAUUAGCUUUGGAUCCAUGGAGUUGAUUAGCCAUCCUUUACCACUGCAUUUUCAAUUCUCCACUUUCUGAAAGUAGGAUCUGUCUCUGUAGGUUGUGGAAGAUCUCCAUUCAUGUAUCCCAACUUGUCUUUACCAGAGACAUACAUCUCGACAACUUGGGACUAGAGUCCAUAGUUCGUGUCAUUUAACUUGUACCGAUUGGUGCAGCAACAGAUUCAUGAGUUGCUACAGUUGUUGUCUGACUCAACAUCUGUGAUAUUCUGGAUUUUAAGUCAGCAAGGGUUGAAGGAUCUGCUUGGGAGUUUUGUAUUGGGGAGGUAAGAUCUAUCAUUUUCUCAAUCUUCCAGAAUUCUAUCUUCUUUCCCUUUCUUUCUAUUGGUUCACAGAAAGAAUCAGACAGGUCCUAGAGUUGACGCACUGAUAUCAUGUUACAAUGAUAUAUUCUUAUAUAUUGCUUUUCUGAAUAUGAGAUCAUGUUCUUAUAUCAUAUACAAGGCUACUAAGUAUUGAAAGUAAUAACUAUUUACACAGAAUUUGGCUGGGAUCAUGGUGAUACAUAUUUUGUGGAGCUAAUGGAUUCUAUCCUUAUGAUUUCAGCAAUUAAUCUCAAUGACAGUUCAUUCCAAUAAUUUUUUGGAUGAAAGGCUGUUUGGCGAUGCUGCGCUAUAGUAAAGAAAAAAAAAAAAGCCCUCGAUCACCAUCGUCACAAAGACAAGCUGAGGAUUAGCAGAGUCACAAGACAUGCUGAGAAUUAGCAGACUCCUUCUGUGAUUGCUAGUAGCAAACAAUGGUCGAAUGGGGCUGACAAUAGCUCGCAGCCCUGCUAUAAGAGUAGUUGUUGAUUAAUUGAAUGGAAGCAGGCAAGAACUCACAAACAAUUCUAUCAACUUUAGUCAAGUUUCUUUCAAUGGCAAGCUCGUGCCAUCCAUCAUGCAGUUGCAGGAGCAGACUGUUGAAACUUAAACUCAAUCCAGAAGGUCAAGGAAGGCAACCACCGCCCAGCCAGCCACCAGCUGUCACCGACCAGCCGCCAGCCACUAGCUGCAGCCGCCAGCCGCCUCCACACCUACAGCUGCCAGCCGCCUCCACACUUGAAGGUUGAAUUUUCUUGUUUUGAAUUCGUGUAUAAAUAAAGUGCUCAGCUUAUGUUAUUAUGUGUGGAGAUAAUAGAGAGAAACACUAGAGAGAAAGAGAGGGCGUGUAUUGUUGUUAAGCUUUUGUGUUAAUUAAUUGUAAGCUUGUGUUCUUGAAAUAAAACCUUGUGUUUUAUCCCCUCUGAGUGUUUCCAAGCCACCACCAGUGGUUUCUCCCACCAACAAUUGGUAUCAGAGCCCCGUUCGUCAGAAAACAGAAGAGUUUUGGGGUAUAUUUGAAUUUUCAAAGUUGUCAAAAGCAAGUUUUGAUCAUUCCACAGUGUAGAGCUCCUCUAUACGAGCUCACUGGUGUAAAGAACAGCUUGAUCGGAGUCCGCGGUGAGCCACACACGCCGCCUGAAGAUCCGGUGACUGUCGCCCACGCGCACCAGAGGUUGAAGACGAGUGUCGUCCACGCACGCCAUAUUUAAGCCGUUUAAGCCGCCUAAGCCGAGCCAUUUAGCCGAGCCUCCAUCCCAGCCACGCCGAGCCACAAGCAGAGUCGUACCACCGAGCUAAGCCGAGUCAUCAGCCGAGCCUCCAAGCCUUUCCGUACCGAGCCGAGCUGAGCGGAGCCGCUCCGUACGCACGCCGAGCCGCGCAGGUAGAAUAUUCCCGGUUCGAUCCCAGCGAAUCGCCCGUCGUACAUAAUUGGUUUUUUGACCGGUUCACCCAUUUUCUAACUCGAUUUGGACCAUUCCAGAUCGAUCUACAGUGUCCGUUUGGCCAAAUUCAGCUCCCAGAAGGUGAUGUAGUCAUUCGAAGAGCAAAAUGACUACAGAAAGUACACAAACACUCAUCCUGAAGCUAACCAAAGACAACUAUGAUAGUUGGUGCAUCAGAUUGAAGGCAUUCCUUGGUUCACAAGAGUGUUUGGAUAUUGUACACUAUGGUUAUGAUGAACCGAAGUCCAAAGAAGAAGAUGCUUUACAAGAGGCACAAAAGCAAGCCCUGAAAGUCAACAGAAAGAAAGACAACAAAGCAAAGACCAUCAUCUAUCAAGGUGUUGAUGAAGACACGUUCGAGAUCAUUGCUUCCGCUGAAACAUCAAAAGACAUAUGGGAGGCUCUCUAACAAAAAUACAAAGGUGCUGACAGAAUCAAAAAGAUUCGUCUUCAAUCUUUACGAGGAGAAUUCGAAUUAUUGCAAAUGAAGUCCUCAGAAUCUAUUUCUGAUUAUCACACAAGAAUUAUAGUGAUAGUCAAUCAGAUGAGGAGAAAUGGAGAAGCCAUCAUAGAUUCUCGAAUUACUAAGAAAAUUUUGAGAUCCCUAGAUCCAAAAUUUGAUUUUGUUGUUGUCGCCAUUGAAGAGUCCAAAGAAGUGGACAAGUUGACAGUUGAUCAACUUAUGAGUUCUUUGCAAGCUCAUGAGCAGAAGAUUGUAAAGUGAAAUGGAGAUAAGGCAAUUGAGCAUGCCUUACAAGCAAAGCUGUCUCUCAAGGACAGAUAUGAGCAAGGGGAGACUUCAACAAGUGGAUAUACCACUCAAGCAGGAAGUCAACGAUCCAGAGGAGGAUUUUAGAGAUUCCAAGGAAGAUGAUCUUGGAAUACAAGCUUUAGAGGAAGAGGUGGUAGAAACACCACCAAAGGAGGUCAAGGACAACAAGCAUUCACUCCUAGAGGAAAAGGAGGUGGUUAAAAUAACCGUGACAAAAGGAAUAUCCAAUGUUAUAGUUGCAAUCAAUUUGGGCACUAUAACACUGAAUGCCGAAGGAAAGCUCUGUUAGAGAUACGUGAGCAAGCCAACUAUGUAGAGAAGAAUGACAGAGGAACAGCUGCAUUACUUGUCCAACAAGGACUUGGUGAGAAACAGGAAGAUAUAUGGUAUCUAGAUACUGGAGCUAGCAAUCAUAUGUGCGGCUACCGAGAGUUAUUUGGUGAUCUAGAUGAGACCAAGUAAGGUCUAGUUACUUUUGGAGAUACCUCAAAGGUUCCAUUCAAAGGUAAAGGCAGCAUCCUAAUCAAGUUGAAGAACGGCGAUUCCAGCUACAUCGCCGAUGUGUAUUAUGUCCCAGCCAUAAAGCAGAACCUGAUCAGCUUAGGUCAACUUUUGGAGAGAGGUUAUACUUUUUACUCGAAGAAUUGUCAUCUGGCAAUUAGAGACAACAAUGGGAGAUUAAUGGCCUACUGGACAAAAUAGGUACUUCCUCACUUUUAUUGAUGAUUUUAGCAGGAAAACAUGGAUAUACUUUCUGAAGAGGAAGUCAGAAGUAUUCAAUUGUUUUAAAGAUUUUAAAGCAAUUGUGGAGAAGCAAAGUGGCUACAUGAUCAGAACCGUGAGAUCUGAUCAAGGUGGAGAAUAUACAGCAAAUGACUUUGAAGCCUUUUGUACACAACAAGGCAUCAGACAUCAGACAACACCAGCUUAUACACCACAGCUGAAUGGUGUAGCUGAGAGGAAGAAUCACACGAUUCUUGACAUGGCAAGAAGUCUGCUCAAAGCAAAGAAGUUGCCCAAGCAAUACUGGGCUGAAGCUGUAUCAUGUGCAGUGUAUCUACUGAAUCGCUGCCCAACCAGAAGUUUGCAAGGUGUCAUUCCAGAAGAAGCAUGGAGUGGUCACAAACCAAGUGUUACUCAUCUACGAGUCUUUGGUUGUGUGGCAUAUGCAAAGAUCCCAGAUGCAAGAAGGACAAAGCUCGAUGAUAAAAGCGAGAAAUGCAUCUUUGUCGGAUAUGGUGAAAGAAGGAUGGGAUACAAGCUGUAUAAUCCCAUCACGAAGAAGGCAAUUAUGAGUAGAGAUGUUAUCUUUGAAGAAGAUAAAUCUUGGGAAUGGAAUGAUGAUCAAGAAGCAGUCAAAUGGAUCACACUGAUUUGAUCCUUGAAGGUGAAGAAGUACCAACAGUACUUGUAGAAGAACCAAUUGUGCCAGCAGCUGAACCACAAAGUCCGGUACACAGUUUCCCUGUAUUCAACAGAGGAACACCCAGGAGCAUCAUCAUCAACACCACCAUCACAUCCUCAUCAGAAGGACCAAGAAGGAUGAAUCUUGAAGAGUUGUACGAUACCACUCAGGUCAUGGAAGAUACAACUUUUUUGUUUCUUUGCAGAUAGUGACCCAUUAAGCUUCAAUGAAGCUGUCACAGAAGAGAAAUGGAUAAAGCAAUGGAUGAAGAAAUACAUGCCAUUGAGAAGAAUGAUACCUGGAAGCUGACUUAUCUACCAGAAAACAAGAAAGCAAUAGGUGUCAAAUGGGUCUACAAGACGAAGAAGAAUGCAAAAGGAGAAGUGCAAAGAUACAAAGCCAGAUUAGUGGCUAAAGGCUACAAACAGAGAGAAGGCAUUGACUAUGGAGAAGUAUUUGCUCCAGUAGCCCGGCUAGAGACAAUCAGACUGAUGAUCUCACUAGCUGCACAACAUAGAUGGAAGAUCUAUCAACUCGAUGUGAAGUCAGCAUUUCUGAAUGGCUUCCUAGAAGAAGAAUCUAUGUUGAACAACCACUUGGAUACAUUGAAGCUGAAAAUGAAGGCAAAGUAUACAAGUUGAAGAAAGCUCUCUAUGGUUUGAAGCAAGCUCCGCGUGCUUGGAAUACCAGAAUUGACAGGUAUUUUCAAGAUAAUGGAUUUGAAAAAUGUCCAUAUGAACAUGCAUAUAUGUGAAGAAAGGAGCAGAUGGCAGCAUCUUAUUUGCGUGCCUAUAUGUUGAUGAUUUGAUAUUCACCGGCAACAACCCUACCAUGUUUGAAGACUUCAAACGAAGCAUGGUACAGGAGUUUGAAAUGACUGACAUUGGUCUAAUGUCACAUUUUCUUGGCUUAGAAGUAACGCAGAAGGAAGAAGGGAUUUUUGUAUCCCAAAGCGGUUACGCCAAAGAUAUUCUUGAAAGGUUCAAGAUGGAAAGCUGCAAUCCGGUAUCAACUCCAGUUGAGAAUGGAGUGGAAUUGAGGAAGAGUAAGGUUGGAAAUGUUGAUCCAACUUACUUCAAAAGCUUAGUAGGAAGCUUAAGGUACUUGACAUGUACCAGACCGGAUAUACUCUACGGAGUCGGACUCAUCAGCAGAUACAUGGAGACACCAGACCAGUCUCAUUUGAAUGCAGCCAAGAGAAUUCUUCGCUACAUCAAAGGCACAAUGAAUGAAGGUAUGUUUUAUACCUCAAGUAAAGACUUUAAUCUUGUAGGCUACUCGGAUAGUGAUUGGGGUAGAGAUUGGAUGAAAGGAAAAGCACAACAGGGUUUGUCUUUUUCAUGGGAGACACAUCUUUCACAUGGUCAUCCAAGAAGCAAUCGAUUGUAACAUUAUCAAGCUGUGAAGCUGAGUAUGUUGCUGCCAACUCACGUAUGCCAUUCAAUAUGGUUAAGGAAUAUGCUGAAGUUUUUGGGAUUUCCUCAAGAAAUCCUACGGAGAUUUAUAUUGACAAUCGAUCAGCAAUCGCAUUGGCAAAGAAUCCAGUGUAUCAUGAAGGAGCAAAACAUUGAUACACGUCAUCACUUUAUCCGGGAACAUGUGAAGAAUGAAGAAGUCCAACUGAUAUGUUGCAACACAAAUGAUCAAGUUGCAAACAUCUUCACAAAGCCUUUGAAGAGAGAAGUAUUUAUCCGAUUAAAGUUCAUGCUUGGCAUGAUAUCUCUCGAUUGAGUUUAAAGGGGAGAUUUGUUGAAACUUAAACUCAGUCCAGAAGGUCAAGGAAGGCAACCACCGCCCAGCCAGCCACUAGCUGUCACCGACCAGCCGCAGCCGCCAGCCUCCUCCACACCUACAGCCGCCAGCCGCCUUCACACUUGAAGGUUGAAUUUUCUUGUUUUGAAUUCGUGUAUAAAUAGAGUGCUCAUCUUAUGUUAUUAUGUGUGGAGAGAAUAGAGAGAAACACUAGAGAGAGAGAGAGGGCGUGUAUUGUUGUUAAGCUUUUGUGUUAAUUAAUUGUAAGCUUGUGUUCUUGAAAUAAAACCUUGUGUUUUAUCCCCUCUGAGUGUUUCAAAGCCACCACCAGUGGUUUCUCCCACCAACACAGACAUGGGUUAACACACACAUAUAAUAUGCUUUCUAAGUCUCGGUCUUUGAAUUAAAAGCAAAAUCAGAAAACAACAAACCCCAACCAAAGCCAAAUCAAACUUAGUCGACACAAAUCCGCUCCUCAAAACAGAGAAACCUCUCUAUAAGAUUCUUCCCCGCUCCCUUGGAUGACUGUGUCCCUGUCUUCUCUUCCACUACUGGUCUCUAUUUAUCUGCCCUUUUCUUUAUUCUAGGCCUCUCACAAUUUCACUUUUCUCCAUGCGGUCAAAAAUAGGAAGACGGUUCAAAUGCCUUUAUAAGAGAGAGAAGUUUAAGUUACUGUUAUCAUGAGCUUUGGUUAGAAGUUUAAAGAUUAUUUCACCUGUAUAAACUCAGAAUUCUGUCUUGCAUACAUACAAAAACAAAAAAAGCUUGCAGUUGUAAAACAAAUACUGAAGAGCCAUGCAUACCUGCUAAGACCAUCGGUGAUGCUGGCCUGCUAGGUGGAUGCUGCACUGUUAGUGAAGGAGUAGAAGGACUGCUAAGUUGGUGACAAAAAAGAAAGGCAAUGUGGUGUUCUUUUAUAACCCCACCAGGGAGCGUUUCCUGAUUACAAAAGAAAAAAAAAAUCCUCCUACUCUAUGAAAAUAAGGUCGGCCACGUGCACAAGCUUUUUUUCCUCUUCGAAAAUAACAUGGUAACACAAAAGAAAAGGAAACAACAAAUUUUCUAUAAAUAGAGUGCCUUAAUUGAGAGAAAAGGAGGAAAGGAUUCUUGGAGAUACAAAUUUCAUUCAAAACAAGUUUUUUGGGCGGUCUUCAGAACCAUCAAAAUAUAAUUCUGACUUAAUUAUCACAAACAAAAUAAAUUUGUAGUAUAUAUGAUUGUGAAAUCUAGGUCGAACCUAAGGGAAAAUUCAUUUCAUCUUCCUACAAUAUACUAAAAUAAGAAAGAACGGGGGGUUUGAAUGAAAAAAAAAUCAAGAAACAAUAAUUCCAAAAAUAAUAAAUUGAUAUGUUGUUAAAUCAGUUCAAGGGUCCACACAUCCAUUCUUAUAAUUCUAUUGGUCAUUGAAGUAAAAUAAAUAUGCUUUCAUGUCAUGCAAAUAAAUUUGAUAUCCCUUAAAAUUGAGGGAAAUAAAUGAGAUUACAAGUAUAUUAAUUAGAAAAAGCUUUCUAAUCAAUUUCUUACCAUUAAGCGAAUGUAAUAUUAAAAGCAAUUUGCAUUUAUUCGGUAAUAGUCUAGGAAUAAAAUAUGUGCAUUUAUUCUAAGCAAACGUUCAAAAGCUUGACAAUUUAACUUAGUUUAUUCUUCCCUAAUAAAUCAAGAUGAGAGUUGCAACAAUCAAAUUUAUUCUUUUGCUUCUUACUCUAAUCCCUAAUAAGAAUUACGGAUUGAAAGAAACUAGAAAGCAUACAUGCCAUCUCAAAACAAUUCAAUAAGCUUGAAUAACAAUCAAUAGUAUGAUUCUGAACAAGGAAAAAUAAAUACUUGAAUCAGAAAAAAUUACAAUGAUAACAUUACUUCUCACAACUUGCUAAUGGAGAUGGUGUGUAUCCCUUUUGAACCAAAUUCAGGAGUUUAGUUCAUAAUUGCUGGAAAAUUGACAAAGCAGAGAAGAAAUGAAUGUUUUUCGAAUCCUGUUUCAGCUAUGUUCUGCUCUAUUUAUCCUCUUCCUUGGCUAUAGAAUUUCUUCAGGAUUAUUAGGCUAAUUAUAAUUAUUCAUGAUACUUAAUUUGUUCAUUUUUUUAUCUGGUCCUUAAGGUUGGAUAAAUCUCUCAGAAUUUGUUUUGAAAACUAACUCUGUUGCUAUCAUAUCUCUACCGUAAUUCCAACUCUGCAGCAACUUAGACUUUGUUUCUGACUUGGAUUCUUGCAAUAUCCAACUAUCACAGUUGUAUUCAUUCGUUCAUUGCAUGUUAGAGGCUUGAUCUAAAUCUUUUUUAGGUCCUAAGGCCCACCGUUUUUAUCUUAGACUCUCAAUCAUAGUAGGAUGCUUGACACCGUUAGUUUCCUGAUCAGAUCAAGAGACACAUCUCAUCCUUCAAAUUGCGUUCGGAUUUUGGUCCUCAAAAUGAUCUUAUUUGACUUGGAGUCCUUAUCAAAGUUAUAGUCCUAAAUGCGUAAAUGAAUUUGGGCUUUUUAAUCUCCUGAUUUUGAUAUUUGAAAAUCAAGAUAUUCCUGUUUGAAUAUCUAGUGUGAAAGUAGAGAAUCUUGUUGUGAGUAGGAUUCUGACCCGAGUUUGCAAGUCUAAUUAGAGAUCCAAAAGAGAUCGGGUUUUUACCCAUAAUACCUUCCUGGAAAGCUUGACAUGUGUAAUUCAACUUAGAUUCAGCCCACGUUCUCAUUUGGGAACACUAACUUGACGAAAAACCUAUCAUAAGAAGCUAGGUCUAGAACAUAAAAUUCAAAAUUUCUUAUCAUAAGCAAUCAAUUCAUAGUCUUUUAGGCAUGCCAAAAUCAUAAAAAUAACUUCCAAUAAACUUAGAUAUUCUCAAAAUACAUUAAAAAUCAUAGUGUAAAAGGAGUAAAAACAUAUGUAUAUUUUGCACUUAUCACUCGUUAAGCAAGAAAGCUCUCUGUUCAAGCAAGCAAGCUCUGUCAAAAGUUUUCAAGCUUCCUUCAUCUACGCUUGAAGUCUACAAAGAAUGAAGCUUUGUUGGAUCAAGCCUAAAACGCCCCACAAGAGUUCUUCAACAACACUUUGAAAACAAAUCAAAGGUACUCUUCAAAGUAUCAAAUCACCAAAUCUUGUUUUGCAAUACACGCCCAAAUUCCCGUUCUUGCAAAGUAUAAAUCUUGGCUUGAUUCGUCAAAUAAAUCAAGUCACCAUAUAUCAACUCCAAGGGAAGAAUCAUAGGAUUGUCUUUUUUUUUUGAAAAGAAUACUUAGAUAGAGAUUGUACCUGGUCAUAUAUUUAAUAAAAUCAUAUAUUUGUACAUGUAUGCUUGUUUAAUUUCAGGUGCUCAAAAUUGUGUAUAUAUAGAGAUGAUGACAAACUGGAUGUUGGGCUGGCUAAAUUUGUAGUGGGAUGUUGAUUUAUGAUAAAAUUUGGGAGGUUUGUGGUGUUUGUUGCAUAUAAAAAUAGAGAAAAAAGAAGAAAUGGGAGAGAGAGAGAGGAGGGUCCUUUCAUUCCUUUUCAAUGUAAUUCACUCGAUAUAUAUCGAGGAAAUAUUUGCGUUGGUGUUUACUGAUUGAUACUGCGAGGGUAUAUUCAAUCAGAAAAAUUUACCGCAAUUUACUAACAAAAAUAUUCUAUUAGUGUAUUCAUUUGUGUUUGUCAAUUUUUUGAUUGUGUUAAUAGUUAGGAGAUGAUAGAAGAAAACACAUAGAUUUGACUGAAUAAACCCUAUUAGAGUUGGAUUUUCAAAUCAAUUUAUCCAAAACUUCACUUUAUAAAACCACUUUUGAUAUCUUAUCAAAUAGAGAAUCAAAAGAUCCUAUCUCUCUUAUUCUUAGAGCACUUCUCUAUUUGAAAUUCCAUAUCCAUAAAAAUCCAUCUUACACAUCCAUAUUAGCUAUAGAGGAAACUUGAUCUUCAGGUAGACUAUAUAGUCUAGGAAAUUGAACUGCAAGACAAGAAUCUAUCAGCCAGACAUCAUUCCAGAAAUGUUGACCUCAUAGGUUAGCCUUAUUGUUGAUCGUUUCAAUAGAGAAGUGUUGUAACUAUAUUUAUCUGUGGAAGCCUAAGGUUGUCUUGUUUAACUACUUUGUUUUCGCUAUUUUUUUUUAAAAACUUUUAUGCAUUGACCAUCAUGUUGGAGUCUUCUAAUGAAGAAGUUAAAAAUGAUAUAAUCGAUCUUCAAGUUCAGUUUCUCAUUGAUAUCUUCCUAAUUUAACAUUAAAAAUGAGAAAACUAUAAAGAAAACUCCUACUAAGCCUGUCAUGACUAACUCUUUCAACUUGUCUCAAGGUGUACGCAUCAAAAAGAUAUCUUUUAAUGAUGAAGACAUGUUGCUUGGAUCAAAACUUCAUAAACAACUUUUUUUUAUUAAAAGAUAUGUCAAUGAAAACAUGGUGAACUUUAUCUUGGUGGAUGAUGGUUCGAAUAUUAAUAUACUAUCUCUUAAGAUUAUAAAUGAGCUCGGGAUUCAUAUUUAUGUUUAUAUAUAUAAAAUAAUGUUGUUUUGACACACACACAUAAAAUUAAGGUUAAUCCAAGUUGAUCUGGGACUGAUAAAAAAUCAUGACACAAAUUUUACCCCGAGUUAACUCCCAAAUCGGGUCUAAUGAGGAUUGUUUGGAAAACGAUUAUAGAAAACCACCAAUAUGUAUAAGGAAAUCACUAGGAAAUUACUGAAUGGUUGUGUUUAAAAAUCAAAAUGGCACACAACAAGUCAAGCAUACGCGUUCACGACCUUUCUUGGCUAGUAAUGCUAUAAUGAAGAGAGAGUGGUAUAUCCACUUUCUCAUCAAUUACAACAAAAAUAAACAACCAGUCAAUAUGGUCCACGCAAAUUGUUUGGUGAGGUUACAUGCCAAUAAAACUAAUUGGAAUAUUUUUAAUGUUUGUAAAACUGUUAAAUGUUGUAGUGAGCUAACAUUAUGUUUUCUUGAUUUUGAGAUACAGAAAAAUAUUAUAUUUAGAAAAGUUUUGGAUUAAUUAAAUAGGUUAUGAAAAUAUAAUUGCUUAGUGGUAUAGAUCAUGAAAAUAUGAUUGCUUAGUGCUUGUUAAAUGGUAUAGAAGUAUCAGGUUAACAAUUAGAUAAUAAAGUUAGAAGUUGUUAAUUUAAGUAUUUUACAGGGCUACUGUUUGAUUCAAAAAAUGACUUGAUUAAAUAUAGUUUUUUACCCAAAUUUUAGGAUUUUAUUAGUCCAAGCACUUAUUUGUUGAGGCGAAACUGAUCCAAUUCAGAGUUGAUGUUUAUAUCGAUCGAUCAUAAAAGAAAAAUUUUGAUUCAUUCCGAUUAAACUUCCUUCCUAUUAAUCUGGAAGUUCUUCUCAGAUAUAAGGAAAUGUUUCAGUUCCAAAGCCAAAGAUCGUAGUUCUCGAACGAGCAAUCAAAAAGAUUUUGGAGCAUCCUCAGGUUUAGGUAUUGUUUGUCCACUGAUUGUAGUACCAAACACUUCUUGGCGAGCUCUAAUAUGAUCAGAUUUAUAAGUAAGCAUCUCUUGUAAAAUACGAGAAACACCAAAUCCCUCUAGAGCCCAAACCUCCAUUUCUCCUACUCGUUAUCCCCCUUGUUUGGCCCUUCCUCUAAGGGGUUGUUGUGUAAUGCCCACUGGAACGUCCAUGUAUUUCUCAUAUUUACUGUUGUACAUAAGAAAUGAGUCUCGAUUUUUUUUUUAUUGCAAAUUUAGAAGAUGUUUUCUUUCACUCAUAUAACUAUCUAAUUUAGUUCAUCAAUUUAAAUGAUGAAUAAAAAAAUUAAGAUAUAUAUAUUCAAUUAAUUUCACCUUCUUCCUAAUAAAGAAAAAGGGAAUAGGGAAAAAUUUAUGUUUCAACGCAUCGCACGUAGAGAUAUGGAUAAUACACAGAGAGUUUAUGGUAUUUCAUAACUAAUCAAUUGAGCGACAACUCGUAGACCACCUAAAAAGGAAUAUUUAUUAUUUGUUUAUACAUAGGAAAAGCUUGUUCUCUCUGGUUUUUAUUAUCAUAAACGGUGCAUUAAUCUAGUUUUUAUAGAAAUAGCUAUGAUGAAAAUAGUAAAGAAUACGUGGACUAUAUGUCAAUAAUGCCGGGGAUGAUUUCGAGGAUUAUUAUUAUAAAUUAUAUAAAAGGAAUUGCUAUUUGGAUUAUAUAUAUAUAUAUAUAUAUAUGAAUGAAAAGGUAAUUAAGACUAGUUUAAGUGUUGGAGGGAUUUUAAUGGGUUAUAUGCUUGCGAAUAGGUUUUUUGAGCUAAGAUUUCAGACCUCCGUUGUUUAAGUAAAGAAAGUAAGAGCUUGUUUGGCUACGUGUUAGCGUUCACGUUUCUUCAAAAAUACAGGAAAAAGUCGUUUGAUUACAGAUUGUUAAACAAUCAAAACACAUAGGUCCCACCAUUUAUAUGCGGCAGGACCACGAUGUUUUGGAAGCAGUAAAAUACUGUUUUUUUUACAAGUUUGAACCUGUGAAACACACACUGUUCACGAUUGAUUGCAUUGUUCACGUGAACAAUGCAAUUCACUUGCACUGUUCACGUGAAUAUUUUUUUUUCCAGUGUGUUAAUUUAUUUAACAGUUUUUUGUUUUUUUAAAAAAACUAGUUUAGAUUUAAUUAAAUUCACUCGCAUUGUGAUGUGAACAAUAUUUUUUUUUUCCGAAAAACUAGUAUAGAGUGAAUUAAAUUCACUUGCACUGUAAUAUCAAUUUUAUACCUGAUAAUAUUUUAUCUAAUUUUAUUACAUGCUCACAAAAUUAUAAAAACUGUAGUUCUUAUCAGCUAAAUUUUGUACGUAAUGAAAUUAUAAAUAGUUUAAUGGAAUAAUAAAAAAUAUUUUAUCUAAAGUAUUAUUUAUUUCAUGAUGUAAUAGGAGUAGUUAAUUCUACAAUAUUUAAAUUUAAAACCAUCAAUAUUAAUAUAUAUUUUUUAAAAUUAUUUUAUGACCUCAAUUUCAAAAACAUUCUUAACCAAACACAUUAAACUACUUUUUUUUUCAACCUCAAUUUCAACCACAGUUUAAACCAAACACCUAUUUUUUAAAACCUACCUCAACUAAAAGUACUUUUUAUAAAAUAAUUUUUUUAAAACCACAACCACAACAGCUACAACAAUACCAAACACACUCUAAGUAAAUAUUUAAACACCCUAUUAUUUUUAAAUAGAAUAGAUAUUUUUCUAAAUUGUGCAUGUUUCAUCUACUAAAGGUAUUACAUUCUAUAUAUAUAAAGAUCAAGCAAUGGCUAUGUUUAGAUUGGUUUAGAAUUUCUGUAAGAAUGUUUUAUAAACUGAUUUAUGAAAGAAAACGAAAGAUGCGUCUUUAAUGUCUCCAUUCUGCACAUGUAAAUCAUUACGUUUCAUUCUUAAUGACCAGGCAAAGUAUAGAGAAGUUAGUAGCAGCGAGCAAGAACCCUGAGCUCACAAACCACAUCGAUAUUAGAAAUGCGAGGAAUCAUUAGCAAAAGUAAAAACAAAUAAUUAAUGACAUAAGCAAGUAUCGGUCAACUAAUAUACAUAGACAUCUAUUUUUAAUUCCUCCAGAGGUCAGUAUAGGUCAGUAUAGGAGUUUACUUGGCCACCCUUCUGUCUAAAAAUUGUGGCUACGAGCUUCAUGGUUAAUUUUCUUGAACUGGAAGAACCCUUCAUUUAUGGCUAUGUUCCAAGAUAUAUAAGUGAAUUGGUUGCAAACCAGGGGAGUAUCUGUGUAAACAUUACAAUAGCAUUUACUCUGAGUAAGAACACCUCUUUGCAUGUGCUGUAAUUGACAAUAUUCAUGUAUGAAAACAUUUGAACGGGAAUAAAGAAAAUAAUUCAUCAAACAGUAUGAAUAAGGAAAUCAGCAGGAAAUUACUGCAUGGUUGUGUUUAAAAAUCAAAAUGGUACACAGCAAGUCAAGCAUGCGCGUUCACGGCCUUUUAAUGCCUUAACUCAUCUUGGCCAGUAGUGCUACAAAGAAGAGAAAGUGGUACAUCCACCUUCUCAUCAAUUACUUGAGAUUUGUGGAAGAUAAGAAAAUGAUUGCUAUUAUCGACAAUUUCUCUGUUAUAUAUAUAUAUAUAUAUAUAUAUAUAUAUUUGGUGGAGUUUCAUGAAUCCUUUCCAUUAGAUAUUCAAUAAUUUAUAUAUUCAUUUUGGAGAAGUAACUCAUUUUCACACCCCAGUUUCAUGAAAACGAAGACCACUCAUCAUGGUGUGGAACUAACUAAUAUACUGUUCCCGUCAUGGGGUCACUCAUUACUAUCAGAAGAAAUUAAACCAUUUUGGUGUCCAUUGUUUUGAUGCACUGAAUACCAUCUGGACCUGUUAACUGCCAAGAACAUCUAUUUUCCUGGCAAUCAAUUUGAAGAUGAAAACUCGAAUGCACAACUGUAACUGAGACUAGUUUUUCAAGAGACCUGCAAUUGAUUUAAAAUUCUUUCUUUCAAGGGCUCACAAGAUUCUGCAUGCAAAUGGAAUGGACUAGUUCCGAGUUGUUGAAGUUGUUUUCUUGACCUUGAUUGUGAAUUGUUCUCCAGCAGCUUGAUCCUUCUCUCUAUCCAAGGCAAUUUGUAUAACGUCGCCGGCCUUGAGGUCCUUUGAACGAACAAAUAAAAACCAAUCCCCAUAAAGGGCUCAUGAACCACCUACUGGUACUGGGGCUCUACAACGAAAUGUCCAUACUUGACCAUCCUCGUCUUUAAACUUCAAAUAUGCUUCAUGGCCUCUCGGGAAAUCGUUUAUACAAUUUUCUGAUAGCAGUAGCCUUCUCUCAACAUCAAUAUUGUUGAGUUUCUUCAUGAAGUUUUUUUCCAUUGCUUAUUUCGAAGAACUAGAAGAGCAAUUGAUGAGGCAACUUGCCCUUUUCAAUCUUCAACUCAUCUGACAGCUCUUCCGUGGUGACAUUGGAUCUCACAUACAACAACUUCAUGGGCUCAAUUUCAAAUUGGAUUGGCAAUCUUUUGAGACUGAGUGUUCUUUAGAAAGCUAAUCAUUUUGAUGGUCAGUUUCCUACUCAGAUAUGCUUGUUAGAAGAUUUAAGCAUUUUGGAUGUUUCACAAACAAAACUCUCUGGUCGUCUACCAUCCUGUCUAUCCUGUCUGGGAAAUUAUUCUCUCUCAAGGGAUGAUGUAGAACAAGUAGCGGAAGCAUACAUGCUCAAGAGGGAUCACCCGAAAUUCAAAGGCAACUGAAUUUCGGCAGCUGGGGCGUCGAAGUCGGAAUGCCACGAAACUCAUCGAGUCAAUGCGUUUUGCCAUUUGCGGAGGAAGUCAGGGCAUAGCCCCUGUUGUCCACCAGUUUUUGGCCAAAUUCCAUCGUUUCGGCCCCGAAAUCGUCAUUUUUGCCAUUUUUAGGAAAAUUUCGUUUUCGCCAUGACUCUUGAUUUCCGAGUCUGAAUUGACUUUCGUCAAUUCCUGCUUGCUCAGGGGUUAUAGGCCUUUCAUAUUCUGCAUUUAUCUCAAAUUUUCCAUUUAUGGUAAAUUUAAUGUUUUGUGUCGUUUCCUUAUCCGUCAUGGGUUAGGUUAGAGUUUUGCUUUAAAUACCAUUGUAAAGCCUCUGACCGGGGGUACCUAUUGAUUAUUGAAUAAAAAACCUUGAGUUUUCUGAGAGUUUCUCUCGCUGUAAAUCAUUUACGGAAUAUUGACGUUGGUCGUAUUCAUUUACUGUUUUCUGCUGCGUCAAUUGGUAUCAGAGCACGGAUUUGCCGAACUCGAUGGCGAAUAAUGAAGCAGGAGACAAAAACUCUAUUGGCGGAGACCAUGGAGUAGAGGCCUUGUGGGGCGGUAGUGGAGGAGACGUGGCAACAAGUAGCGCAGAUUCACGAGAUGCUUGCUGCCAGGAUUAACCUCAACGCCAAUAACAGGCCACCAGUUAAUAGGGCUCGCGCCGAAGGAAUUGCCAGAGGCCAACCUGUUCAUAGAAGAUGCAAUCCAGCACCUCGCAUCCAACUUGACAGCGAGGAUGAUUCAGAUGAAGAAGAUGACAUGGGGUACGGUUUACCUCCACCUGCGAGAUGUCCGAGGGAGCAAGAUGAUUAUCGCCUGAAAGCAGAUCUGCCCAGUUUCAAUGGGAAUCUGCAAAUUGAAGAUUUUCUUGAUUGGGUUACCGAAGUGGAGUGAUUCUUUGAGAUGAUGGAGAUACCAGAAGAAAAGAUGGUGAGGUUUGUAGCCCUUCUGAUUGAAGGGAGGGGCUGCAGUAUGGUGGGAUCAAUUACAGAAGAAUCGGCAGCGACAAUGAAAGACGCUUGUAAGGACUUGGCGUAGGAUGAAGCAACUGAUGAUAGGGAGGUUUCUGCCACCAGAUUAUGAACAAUAUCUGUUUCAAUUACUUCAAGACUGCUCACAAGGAUCCAUAUUUGUGUUUGAUUAUACUGCGGAGUUCUCUAGACUCUUGGAGCGAAACAAUCUUAACGAGACAGAGGGGCAGCGCAUAGCCAGGUAUAUGAAUGGAUUGAAAUCGUCAUUGUGAGAUAAGAUUGGGUUACAGGUGGUUUGGACUGUGGAGGAAGCUUAUAAUCUGGCAUUGAAGGCUGAACUGAUGGAGCGAAGAGGAGGAAUCUCAGGGUUUCGUCGAAACAAUCUAGAGUCUUCGUUUAAUACCAGAGACAAGGGUGGCAAUAGCAGCCAAGCAGGCAUGUUGAAUCAGAACAAAGAAGGAGGCAGCAGCAGCAGCUAAGCAGCCCAAAGCAACAUGAAUAUACCCAGAAAUCCAAAUCAGAACAUGAACACGAACUUGAAUCCCAACCCUUACGCCAGACCUGCACCUGGAGUCUGUUAUCACUGUCGGAAACCUGGGCAUCUCUCUAACACUUGCCCAGAUCGUCGCAGACCUGUCAACUGGAUCGAAGGGGAUCCAGAGGCUGCUGGAGAUUAUGCAGGGGAGGAUGACUGUUAUGAGGGGGUAGAGUUCGCUGAGGAGGAUGGAGAACGAGUCAACUGUGUAGUGUAGCGAAUAUUAUACACUCCAAGGCAAGAGGACGCAGGACAACAGAAUAAUAUCUUUCGCUCAUACUGCACUGUGAGCCAGAAGGUGUGCGACUUAAUUGUGGAUAGCAGGAGUUGCGAGAACUUCGUUGCAAGGGGCCUAGUUGAACACCUAAAGCUACCAACCGAGAAGCACCCGACUCCAUACACUAUCGGCUGGAUCAAGAAAGGACCUAUAGUGAAUGUAACUGAAAUCUGUCGCAUUCCUAUUUCCAUUGGAAAAAUAUAUAAAGAUGAAGUAGUUUGUGAUGUGAUUGAUAUGGAUGCUAGUCAUGUGUUGUUGGGUCGGCCGUGGCAGUAUGAUGUUGAUGUUACCUACAAGGGUCGGGAUAAUACUUAUUUGUUCACGUGGGGGUCACAUAAAAUUGCUAUGGCUCCUUACAAAAGGAAGGCCCUGUCCGGUAAGGCUUCUAAAGUGGAGAAGCAGUCAUUUUUGACAGUGUCCAGUUCGGAUACAGAGUUUGUGCCAGACAUCAAGGGUGCGCCAGAGUUCUAUGCGCUCGUAGUGAAGGCCCUCGUGGUGGAAGGGGAAGUUGAGGCUUCGGUCACAGUCCCUGACAGGCUGAAACCAUUGAUAGAUCAGUUCAGGGAUAUCACUUCAGAAGAGUUGCCGAAUAAUCUACCGCCCUUGAGGGAUGUCCAGCACCAUAUAGACCUCAUACCAGGGGCCAACUUGCCAAAUCUGCCUCAUUAUCGGAUGAGUCUGAAAGAGAACGAGGUCUUGCAGAAGGGUUUUAUCCGCGAAAGCAUGAGUCCAUGCGCGGUUCCUGCGUUGUUAAUGCCAAAGAAAGAUGGGACUUGGUGUAUGCGUGUGGACAGCCGAGCUAUCAACAAGAUAACCGUCAAGUAUCGCUUCCCAAUUCCCUGCCUAGAUGACAUGUUGGAUCACCUUGAGGGUUCAAAGUUAUUCUCAAAAAUUGACCUCCGCAGUGGAUAUCACCAGAUUCGAGUCAGACCGGGGGACGAGUGGAAGACAACAUUCAAAAGCAAAGACGGGUUAUAUGAGUGGCUAGUUAUGCCGUUUGGGUUAUCAAACGCGCCCAACACUUUUAUGCGCGUGAUAAAUAAGGUAUUGAGGCCUUUUAUAUGGGGAAAUUUGUUGUCGUUUAUUUCGACAAUAUCCUUAUCUAUUGUAAGACCGCGGAUGAGCAUGUGUAGCAGUUACGGGAUGUGUUGGCAGUGCUACAAGAGAACCAACUAUUCCUUAAUCUAAAAAAGUGCAGCUUUAUGACGGAUAGCUUGUUGUUUCUGGGUUAUGUUGUAAGUUCAGAGGGGAUUCAUGUGGAUGAAGAGAAGGUUCGAGCAAUUAGAGAAUGGCCUGCACCGAAGACCAUGGGUGAAGUUCGGAGCUUCCACGGAUUAACCACUUUCUACCGCCAAUUUAUUUGGAAUUUCAGUACUGUCAUGGCACCGAUAACCGAGUGCAUGAAGAAAGGCAAAUUUCAGUGGGGGGAAAAGGCAAAAACAAGCUUUGCGUUGAUAAAGGGGAAGCUAUGCACCGCGCCAGUAUUGGCCCUACCUAGUUUUGAGAAGAUUUUCGAAGUUGAAUGUGAUGCGAGUGGCGUGGGAAUUGGGGUUGUGCUAUCCUAGGAGAAACGACCAGUAGCCUUGUUCAGUGAGAAGUUGAGUGAGGCUCGUCAGAAGUGGAGUACGUAUAACCAAGAGUUUUACGCGGUGGUUCGAGCUUUGAAGCAUUGGGAACACUAUCUAGUGUAGCGGGAGUUUGUUUUGUACACUGACCACCAAGCUCUGAAAUUUAUUAAUAGCCAGAAGCACUUGGAUAACAUGCAUGUCAAAUGGGCAACUUUCCUUUAAAAGUUCCCUUUUUUCUAUUCGACACAAGUCUGGUGCUUUGAAUCGGGUUGCCGAUGCGCUGAGCCGUCGUGCCAAUCUGCUGGUGACAUUGGCUGAUGAGAUAGCGCGGGGUUUGAGUGCCUAAAGGAGUUGUAUCAGGAGGAUGAGGAUUUCAAAGAAAUCUGGGCGAAGUGCAUUGAGAAACACCCCAUCAGCGAUUUUCAUGAGAGCGAAGGUUUUCUGUUUCACGGAAAUCGUUUGUGUAUACCCCGGAUGUCGCUGCGAGAGAAAUUGAUAUGUGACCUUCAUGGGGGUGGAUUGAGUGGACACUUGAGUAGGGACAAAACAAUGGCUAGCUUAGAGAAACGAUAUUUCUGGCCGCAAUUGAAGAGAGACGUCAGCAAUUUUGUAUAGAGGUGCUAUAUAUGUCAGGUAUCUAAAGGUCAGUCACAAAAUACUAGUCUCUAUACACCUUUACCUAUUCCUAACAAUAUUUGGGAGGAUUUGUCUAUGGAUUUUGUGCUGGGGUUGCCUCGCACCUAGCGAGGGGUGGAUUCUGUUUUUGUGGUGGUUGACAGGUUUUCAAAGAUGGCUCACUUCAUCCCUUGCCGAAAGACCUUAGAUGCUUCGCAUAUAGCCCGGUUAUUUUUCAGGGAUGUGGUCCGACUUCACGAAGUGCCGCAGUCAAUUACUUCUGAUCGCGACACGAAAUUCCUUAGCUACUUUUGGGUGACUUUAUGGAAGAUGUUUCAGACUUCGCUGAACCGAAGCACAACCGGCCACCCGCAAACUGAUGGGCAGACAGAGGUGACAAACAAAACUUUGGGAAAUCUGGUUCAUAGCAUUUGUGGGGAUAAACCAAAACAGUGGGAUCAUGUGUUGCCACAGGCUGAGUUUGCUUACAAUAGUGUUGUUCAUAGCGCAACGGGGAAGACUCCUUUUGCUAUGAUAUAUGUGACACCACCGAGACAUACAGUGGACUUAGUUCGUCUACCCAAGGGAGGCCCAGGAUUUAGUAUGGCAGCUGAGAACUUGGCGACACAAGGUCAAACCGUGCAGGAGGAAGUCAGGUAGAGGUUGGAAGCAACAAAUGCAAAGUACAAGGCUGAAGAGGUGUUUGAAGAGGGAGAUUCCGUGAUGGUUUUCUUGCGCAAAGAAAGGUUUCCCGUAGGCAGUUACAACAAGCUGAAGCCCAAGAAAUAUGGUCCGUAUCAGGUUUUGAAGAAGAUCAACGAUAAUGCCUAUGUGAUUGAUCUUCCCGAAACCAUGGGCAUUUCCAAGACUUUCAAUGUUGCAGAUUUGUUUCAGUAUUAUGCAGAGGAACACUUGUAUCCUUAUCCCGAUCCGGAACCUAACUCGAGGUCGAGUUCUUUUCAAGUGGAGGAGUCUGAUGUAGAACAAGUAGCGGAAGCAUACAUGCUCAAGAGGGAUCACCCGAAAUUCAAAGGCAACUGAAUUUCGGCAGCCGGGGCAUCGAAGUCGAAAUGCUGCGAAACUCACCGAGUCAAUGCGUUUCGCCGUUUGCGGAGAAAGUCAGGGCAAAGCCGCUGAUGUCCACCAGUUUUUGUCCAAAUUCCAUCGUUUCGGCCCCGAAAUCGUCAUUUUUGCCAUUUUUAAGAAAGUUUCGUUUUAGCCAUAACUCUUGAUUUCCAAGUCCGAAUUGACUUUCGUCAAUUCCUGCUUGCUCAGGAGUUAUAGUCCUUUCAUAUUCUGCAUUUACCUCAAAUUUUCCAUUUAUGGGAAAUUUAAUGUUUUGUGUCGUUUCCUUAUCCGUCAUGGGUUAGGUUAGUGUUUUGCUUUAAAUGCAUUGUAAAGCCUUUGACCGGGGGUACCUAUUGAUUAUUGAAUAAAAAACCUUGAGUUUUCUAAGGGUUUCUCUUGUUGUAAAUCAUUUACAGAAUAUUGACGUUGGUCGUAUUCAUUUACUGUUUUCUGCCGCGUCAAGGGAGAUUAAGAGAGAGUAGUAGGUGCUCAUGAAUCAAUCAUUCCAUACAAGUCCAUGGACAAGCAGUAUUCUGAAACAAUGGGACAACCACUAGCUAGUAAGGAGUAUCGCUAACGAGGACGGCAGUUUUCCAUCCAUCAAUAUAGAAGAAGCAAUAGAAUUUACAUCUAAAAGAAUGUGUUAUCACUACCAGAAUUUCUGUGUUUAAAAAUAAAAAUGGCACGCAGCAAGUCAAGCAAUAUCCGCGCUCACGACCUUUCUUGGAAAGAAGAGAGUGGUAUAUCCACUUUCUCAUCAAUUACUUGAGAUUAUGGAAGAUAUGAUACAAGAGAUAAGAAAAUGACUGCUAUCAUCGACAAUUUCUCUGUUAUAUAUAUAUAUAUAUAUAUAUAUAUAUUUAUUACGCGUAUUUCGUGAAUCCUUUCCAUUAGCUAAUCAAUAAUAUUGUAUAUAUUCUUUUUGGAGAAGUAACUCAUUUGCACACCCUUGUUGUAGUUUUCCAUUCAUUUUCACACCCCAGUUGCCACCCUGCUUUUCUUUCCAUUCACGCACACAGAUAGUGCAUACAAGCACUACGACAAUAGUUGACUCCCAGUCAAUACGGCCGACGCAAAUUGUUUGGUGAUGUUGCAUUCCAACAAAACUAAUUUGAAUAUUUUUCCCAACCUGGCAAAUAGACUAAGGGCUCAACAAUAAAAUAAAAUAAUAUUCAAAUCCCAAAACAUGGAACUUGAACAAGUAUAAAUAGGACCUCUAUGGUUGCCCAAAGGCACAUAACAAACAACAAUAUUCUACGUAGUAGUAAUUCAUAGAAUUUUCUAAGAUGAUGAAAAGAAUGGGGGCUUGGAUGUUGCUAGCAUUAUUGACUUUCGUUGGCGAAUGGUCUGGUCGUUGUUAUGGUUGUUUGGAGGAAGAGAGGAUUGGUCUCUUGGAGAUCAAAGCUUUGAUCGAGCCAGAUGGCUUUUACUUGAGACAUUGGGCGGACAAUAAUAAUUGUUGUGAGUGGUAUGAGAUCGAGUGUGAUAACACUACAAGGCGAGUGAUCCAACUCUCUCUUGUGGAGUAAGGGGUGAGAGCUUGGGCGAUUGGGUUCUCAACGCAUCUUUGUUUCAGCCUUUUAAAGAAUUGCAAAGUCUUGAAUUGAGAUAUACUAGAUUGGUUGGUUGCUUGGAGAAUGAAGGUUAGUUCAAUGUUUCUGCACUUAAUUAUAAUAAUAAAAUAAAUGAAGGUUGGUUGGUGUUUAAUGUCAAUUAUCUUGCUUUGAUGAUUCUCUUUCAGGCUUCCAAGUCCUAUCAUCAAAACUGAGGAAACUUGACCUAAGUUAUAACCGAUUUAAUAAUGAUAAAAGCAUUUUGUCAUGCUUGAGUGGGCUUUCCACUCUCAAGUCUUUGGAUCUAUCAUCUAAUGAGUUGACAGCUGGAUCAGGAGGUAGCUUCUAUGGUAACCUUUUAAUUAUUUAGCUUUGAAACCUUUUAUUUUCUCCUUCUCAUAUCAUUUCUCUCUAUGCGUUUAAUUAUUUCCUUCCAAUAUGCUCUUGAGGAACCUCAUGCAGGUCUCAAAGUCUUGUCAUCAAGGUUGAAAAAGCUGGAGAACCUUCAUCUAAGUUGGAAUCAAUACAACGAUAGCAUUUUUCCAUCUCUUACUGGAUUUUCAUCCCUCAAGUAUUUGGAUCUUUCAGCCAAUCAGCUGACAGGAUCAGGUAUAAUACACAGUUUCUACCUAAAUGUUUCACAUGACAUUCAGGAUCAGGUAUAAUACACAGCUUCUACCUAAAUGUUUCACAUGACAUUCUCUUAAUUAUAUUUUUUCUUUAUCAACAAAAAUGAGGACGACUUUAUAUCUACGUAAAGAGGCACUUGGAAUGAGGUCCAAGAGGCAUAUAUUUUAUUCUUAUUUUGGCCCUUUUAUGCCAAAAGUGUUUUAAUAUUUAGAUUAAAUUAGCAAUCAAAAGUUCACUUCAAAACUCUCCUAUAAAUAUAUAUUUUAUAUUUAUCUUUUUAAAUAAAUAUAUUUUUAUAUAUGUUUCUUCUAUCUUGAGAUACUUAGUCGAACACUAUUUUUUUUUAAUUUUAAUGCAUUUGAGUUUUAAUGGGUUUUGAAUAACAUAAUAAGAAGGUCUCUCCUAGAAUAUUAUAAUUAAGAAAAUUGUAAUUAUUAAAACUUGGAUCUUAACAUCAAUUAAAAAAAAAACUAUCCAAUACAAAUCACUCGUGUUUUAUCAAUAAAGAGAACAACAUAAAACCCACAUAUUUGAUAUUUAAUUCUUGUUUGUAGCCAUUUAUUAUUUCCUCUCUUUCUAAUCAUGGUUUUAUAUUAUUUUGGACCUUUUUUUAAUCAAAAUAUUAUUCUGCGGUGGAGGAUAUAUUGCCUUAUGGUCAUGGUGAAUGGUGAAAUAUUUGGACUUUGAGAAAUAAAACGUGAAAAAGUUUAUAAUUCUUUAAUGCCAUGGAUAAAAUUGGGAAAUUACUUCCUAGAAAACAGAGGCAGUUAGGAACAAAUUAUAAUUACUAAAUUAGUGACAACUAAGCAUCUUACUAACUAAAUAGAUAGAGGAAUUAAUUUACGAUUAUUAUUCUUGUUUUAAUUACUGAUGAGGUCUCAAUUAUAAGUUUCUUUAUCUUGUUUUGUAAGUCUAUCAUAACUUAGCUUCCAUCUUUUUAUGUAUAAUUUGAGAAUCAUAUAUGAAAUGAACAACAACAUCUCAUCAAUUCUAAUUAUCUUUAGUUUCUAUCUAUUAUGCAUAUCGUGAGCUCAUAAUUACGACUUACUCUUAGAAACAACUCUCUUGCAGGUUUUGAGAUCAUAUCAUCACAUUUGGGGAAACUCGAGAACCUGGACCUGAGCUAUAAUAUAUUCAACGACAACAUAUUCUCACAUCUGCGUGGACUUUCUUCUCUCAAGUCUUUAAAUUUAUCCGGCAAUAUGUUGCUAGGAUCAACGACUGUCAAUGGUAAAGUUGUGAAAUCCUAGAUUUUUCAAGCAAUUUGUUGUUUAUAUCCAAAAAUCAUCUCACUAUAAAAGUAUCAGUUCCUUAUCAUAGGUUUAAGAACUCGAUCAAGAUAACACUUAAUUCCACUAAUUACUUGAUUGCCUGUUUUCAAUUCUACACAUCAUAGGUUUAAGGACGCUGGAAUUCCUACAGACAUUACCAAUAUCCCUGAAGACCCUUUCUCUCAAGGAUACUAAUUUAAGUCAAGGUUAAUCAUAGUUUAGUUUGUUAAAAUCAUAAUUAAUAAUAUUGAAUGGAAUGGCCAUUCUAUACCACCACUAUUUUCAUCAGUUCUUUUUUCUUCUUCUUCUUCUUUUCACAGGGACUUUCUUCAAUUCUAGCACCCUUGAAGAAUUGCAUCUAGAUAAUACUUCUCUCCCAAUAAACUUUCUCCAGAACAUUGGAGCAUUGCCUGCUCUUAAAGUUUUGUCUAUUGCUGAAUGUGACCUCCAUGGCACCCUACCCGCUCAAGGUAAAUUAACAACUCUCCAUCCGCCUAUAAUUACAUCAUCAAUAAAAGAUUCUUUCAACUUUGUUUUGACUAUUUUGAGAUAAAUUAUACAGGUUGGUGUGAAUUGAAGAAUCUGAAGCAGUUAGAUCUCGCUAGAAAUAAUUUUGGAGGUUCACUCCCAGAUUGUUUAGGGAACUUGUCAUCUCUACAACUAUUAGAUGUUUCUGGAAACCAAUUUACUGGAAAUAUUGCCUCCAGUCCUCUUACCGACCUCAUAUCCCUUCAAUUCCUCUCACUAUCAAACAACCUCUUUGAAGUUCCCACUUCAAUGAAGCCUUUUAUGAACCACUCAAACCUCAAGUUCUUCUCCAGUGAGAACAACAAACUUGUAACAGAACCUGUUGCCUUUGAUAAUUUGAUUCCAAAGUUCCAACUAGUCUUUUUUCGCUUGUCAAAAACAACGAAAGCACUCAAUGUAGAAAUUCCUGACUUCCUCUAUAACCAAUACGACUUAAGAGUCCUUGAUCUCUGCCACAACAACAUCACUGGAAUGUUUCCAUUGUGGUUGCUUAAGAACAAUACACGAUUGGAGAAACUAUAUCUGAGCCAGAACUCCUUUGUUGGCACUUUGCAGUUGCUAGAUCAUCCAUAUCCGAAUAUAACAGAAUUAGAUAUAUCAAACAACAACAUGAACGGUCAAAUUCCAAAAGAUAUUUGUUUGAUCUUUCCAAAUCUAAAGAGUUUAAGGAUGGCUAAGAAUGGAUUCACAGGUUGUAUUCCUUCUUGUUUAGGAAAUAUUAGCUCUUUGUAUCUUUUAGAUUUAUCCAACAAUCAAUUGUCCAUAGUAAAACUAGAACAACUAGCAACAAUAUUUUUCAUCAAGCUGUCAAACAACAAUUUGGGUGGGAAAAUAUUGACCUCGGCGUUCAAUUCUUCUACCCCAAGAUGUCUCUACCUGAGUGGUAACAACUUUCAAGGUCAGAUAUCAGAUUUUCCAUUAUAUGGGUGGAAAGUGUGGAUUGUAUUGGAUUUGAGUAACAAUCAAUUUUCAGGCAUGCUUCCAAGGUGGUUCGUCAAUUCUACACAAAACUUAACGUAGUUGAUUUGUCCAAAAACCAUUUUAAGGGCCCGAUCCCAAGAGACUUUUUUUGUAAGCUUGACCAGCUUGAAUAUUUGGACCUUUCUGAGAACAACUUGUCUGGAUAUAUACCAUCUUGUUUCAGUCCACCAUCUCUAAUCCAUGUGCAUCUAUCUGAAAAUAGAUUAAGCGGUCCAUUAACAUAUGGAUUUUAUAACAGCUCUUCUCUAGUUACGAUGGAUCUUCGAAAUAACAGCUUCACUGGCUCCAUUCCAAAUUGGAUUGGCAAACUUUCAUCAUUGAGUGUUCUUGUUAUGAGGGCUAAUCACUUUGAUGGUGAGCUCCCUGUUCAGUUAUGCUUGUUAGAACAAUUAAGCAUUUUGGAUGUUUCACAAAACCAGCUAUCUGGUCCACUACCCUCCUGUUUGGGCAAUCUUACUUUAAAGGAAAAUUCCCAGAAAGCGUUGGCAUAUCCCCAAGGUUAUUUUGUACUAGAGUCCAUAGAAAAAGUUUAUUAUGAAACAAUAGGUCCACCACUAGUGGAUAGUAUUUUCAACUUGGAAAAUCAUGUUUGGAUUAACUUUACAGAAGAAGUGAUGGAAUUUACAACUAAAAAUAUGCAUUAUGGUUACAAGGGGAAAAUUCUCAGCUACAUGUCUGGUAUUGAUCUCUCCAAUAACAACUUCGGAGGAGCAAUCCCACUAGAAUUUGGAAACUUAAGUGAGAUACGGUCAUUAAACUUAUCACACAACAAUCUCACUGGAUCUAUCCCUGCAACAUUCUCAAAUCUAAAGCAGAUUGAGAGUUUGGAUGUUUCUUACAACAACUUGAAUGGUGCCAUCCCUCCACAACUUACUGGAAUUACCUCACUGGAAGUUUUUAGUGUGGCGCACAAUAACUUGUCAGGUAGGACACCCGAGAGAAAAUAUCAGUUUGGGACCUUCGAUGAAAGCUCUUACGAAGGAAAUCAUUUCUUGUGUGGACCUCCAUUGCGAAACAAUUGUAGCAAGGAAGCAGUGUCGUCGCAGCCAGUGCCCGAUGAUGAACAAGGAGAUGAUGGUUUCAUUGACAUGGAGUUCUUCUACAUCAGUUUCGGUGUAUGUUACACAGUUGUGGUGAUGACGAUUGCAGCUGUUCUCUACAUCAAUCCAUAUUGGCGAUGCAGGUGGUUGUACUUCAUUGAAGACUACAUAGAUACUUGCUACUAUUUUGUGGUGGCUAGUUUUCGCAAGUUCUCCAACUUCAGAGGAUGAAUUUGUUAUGAUUGUAUGUCUAGCUAUUGGGUGCUUCAUUUGUAGUGUACUGUCUCUAAGCUCAGCCUUUCUAUUUGAUUAGUUAUGUGGGCUAAAUAUAUAAGCUGGACUUGUCAUUCCUGAACCAUUAGGAAGGGAACUGAUUUGGAUUGGUCAUUGCCUCGGAUGUGAUGACUCUUUUAACUCUCAAGACUUGUCCGAAAAUAAAUUGCCAAAACCACUACUAAGUAGAAACAAAAUAUUCCAUGCCUGUGUGACAACACUUACAUUUGCCUUUGUUUCAAGGGCGACCUUCUUCAACAGCCUUCCUGGCCGUUUCUAGUAGCUUCUUUGCUCUGAUCCUCAUUUCCUCUGAUUCUUCACCCAUCAUAAUUUGACUCAUCUACAGCUUCACUUUUAACAUGAUCUCCAUGCAUUCUAGGCCAUUCCUUAACUCCAGUCACCAACUUUUCAUUAUAAAAUUGCUCAGCAAUUAUUGCCCUUAUGCCUUCAAGAGUUGAGUUCCAUCCUCAAUGAGUCACAAAUGCCCCUAUUGCUACAUGAUCAAGAAUCAAACCAAAGCCAGUUGUCUUGGAAACUUUAAUCUCUGUUUAUCAAGCCUGUCUUUUUAACAAGAUUGUCUUUCUUUGGCUCAUGAGGCUGCCUGUCGCGCCGAAGAUUUGCCCGCAGCUUGUAGGAAUCAAACCAAAGCCCCUUUUAAGAAAAUUUAAUGACCAAAAGGAAGAAAAUCAUAAAAAAAUCUAGUUAGAUCAAAGGAGAAGAUAUAUUAUAUAUUCAUAAAAAGCUUAAAGUAGACAAACAUCAAACAUUGAUUCAACAUGUAACAAUGCAAGUAGCAAGGUAAAAGUGCUACUCAUAUCAACCAGGACUUGUUAUGAAGGAAUAAAUAUUUUGGAGCUUCAAGGGUGGUUUUUCUUUAAUUUAUGUGGAACCCAUUAGUAGAAAAGCAAGCUAUGAAGGCUAGGCUAAGAGAAAAUUGUCUACAUUUACCAUCUCAUUAUAUCAGGGACAAUGAAAGAGGAAAAACAUUUUCGCCAAGUCGAGAAAGAGCGAAUGUAAAAGCUGAUGUUGGAUUGCGCAAGCAUAAAUGGAUUCAAUUGAUUUUCAUGGGACUGCAAUUGAGGAACUGGAGGCUGUCCUAGCUGUAGAUUAGGAAUAGUCCUCCUGAAUCUGCUUGGGUUUAGAAAACUUACAAUCUGCUUCUCAUAGGAACCCAAUUUCUCCUUGAAACUGGGUGUUGUGAUGUUUUUAGAGACCUGUAAGAAUGUUAUCAAGCUCUCCAACAUGGCCUUGAAUACCUCCAGCUUUCCAAGCUGUUCUGACUUCGGUUGUUGCGGAUGAGAGUCAAGCUGGAAAGCAAAGUUAACAUACACGAGAAUUAAAAAUUGCAUUGAUCCUUUGUAGCAAAACAUUAGUGAAAAAAAAUGUUUCUAUUCAAAUUCUUCUGUUGUGGGGCGGUUGGGGGGAGGGGUAGGUGAUUAGUGCAGAUGAUACAGUGACAGGCAAUGCUGACGAGGAAAACAAAUUAAUACAAAAGCUCGACGUGGGGAAAUUGCAGAUAAUCAUGCAUGGGCAGAUAAUCUGCAAGAAAUUGCAGAGACAAUUUACCUGCUGUAACUUGGCAGCAAUUGUCUGGUACAUUUCAUUUAUUUCAUGGAAGUACAAAUAACCAGCAAAACACUAUCAGUCAUAUGCUUGAUUUCUUCAGGUGCCAGUCAGAAAGAAAGUAACACAAACAAACUUAAGGGAAUUGAUAAAAAUAAAAUAACAAAAAAAGGGCAGAGGACAACAUAUAUUAGUUGAGAUAAAAAUAGCAGAGUGGAAUUAAUGCUGGAAACUCAAGAGGAUGUCGAUAUUGAUGGAAUGGAAAGAUGCAAAGGGCUGUUUAAGUACACCUUUAGACAAGAUUCAGGGGUUGGUUAAGUUCAGUUACUUUGUCUCCCUGCAAACUACUCAUCAUUGUUUUCUGCUGUCAUAGCUCAAGUAAAUGGAUGUCACAACUUUAGCAACGCUUCUUAUCAAAUAUGCAGUUAUGACAUGAGACAUUCAGAAUUUCAACCUCAUUUUCUAUAAAAUUCAAAUAUGGUAAUGAUUCAAUGGAAUAAGUCCCACUUAUUUUCUUUUCCUUCCAUUGUCACAUGUUUCAGAACAAGUUGAUUGCAAUCGUGCAAAUAACUCUUCACUUAACCAAAAUAAACUUUAAGUCAUUCAGAUAUAGUGCACUCUUAUUUCUAAUUCUGUCUAAUGCAGUAAGAAGUACGGACAAUAGGACUCGUUGGAAAUAAAUAAAUAAUUCACCACACAACAAAUAUAGGGGGAAAAUCGAAAGGGAGAGGUUUGCAAUAAAAAACUGCCGUGCCAGAACCAAGAAAGCAAUCCUCUUGACCUACAAAUCUGAAUAUUUUUACCUUCAUUCAUCUUAUCAAUGAUUAAUCAUUUCUUAGUUGCUGCAAUCAUGGAACUUACAAUGCUUCCUAACUAAUCCCAACCAUAGCUGAAUAAAAUUCCUUGGACCAAUCCCAGGAGACCUUUCUCCAUUGAAAUCUUGCAAGACUAUGGCAUACAUAAACUCCAUCUAAUGAACAGUAAAUCACAGAAAUUACCUUCUGAUAGAUCUCCUCUUGCUAAUAAGCGCCUUUUGCAUGUCCAGUCUGUGCUGUAGAAUCUAGGGAUGCCGCAAAAAUUUCAAUGCGGGCAACAAAAGAUUAGAAUUCAUGUAUUUCUGUGUGUUUUCCAUAUACAAGGGUAUUUCUGUAAUUUUCACACUUUCUGAAAAUUAUGGAAUAUUGCAAGUCUCAGUUUUAUUUUCCAUUUAGUAUUUUAUUAUCCCAAAGUAUAGCGAGCUUCAUUAGAUUUUUCCUAUUCUAGAUAGGACUAUUAGUAUUUUCCUACAGAGGAAUACAAGUCCUUUUCGGACUAGGAGUACUAGGAAUUCCAUCUAAACGUUAUGUAAUCAUUCAAACUGACGGACAGACCCUAUAAAUCCAGAAUGAGAGGUGAACAGCUGGUGCAAUGCACUGGAGGGUAUGAUGUGGUAACAAAUGCGUGUGUGAUUGCAAUGGUUUCAAUAGCAGUGGCAUUACUAAUGCCAAAAGUUGCAGCAGUAGCACAUAAAGCUACCUAAAAGAGCAUUGCUGACUAGAACCAUUAUGAGAGGUGAAAGGUUGGUGCAGCGCACUGGAGGGCAUCGUGUGGUGAUAAAUGCAUGUGUGAUUCCCAUAGCAGUGGCAUUUCUAAUGCCAUAAGUGGCAGCAGUGGCACAUAAAGCUACCAAAAAAAGCAUUACCUGGCAUUUGUCUCUGAGAAUUGGCAAACAUAGUGGAGGGAUUCCCUUGUCUCAUUGAAUUCCCCACUGAGUUCUGUGAAAAACCGGGGAUACUCUGCAUGUUAGGAUCCUGGACAACAGUGUUGGGGAUAGUCUGGGUUGCACCGCCGACAGGAGGCAGUGCCGCUUGUAAACCAGCAGAACUUUAAACUCCAUUAGAUGCCAUGCAAUUCUGCAUGUUCUGUUAUAACAACUGCUGGCGUCCUUGAGACUGAUCAGUGGACAAUAGGAUAGGGAGAAACAGCCCGUGAUUCUGAACUUGAGGGGGCAUACUAUGGGAUGCUGUUCAAGAUAAAAGGCAAAAAAGAAAACCUGUCAAAGAAAAAAAGAAGGCACUGAACAAGGAAGACAAAUGAAACAUCGGGCAGUUCACACAUUUACUAUUUAAUUAUUCCCAAAGUAUAGCGAGCUUCAUUAGGUUUUUCCUAUUCUAGAUAGGACUAUUAGUAUUUUCCUAUAUAGGAAUACAAGUCCUUUUUGUAUUAGGAACUUCAUCUAAAUGUUAUGUGAUCAUAUAAAUGCAGAAUGAGAGGGUGAACAAAUGCGCUGGAGGGUAUGAUGCGGUAAGAAAUGCGUGUGUAAUUACUAAUGCCACAAGUGGCAGCAUUGGCACAUAAAGCUACCUAAAAGAGCAUUGCUGACUUGAACCAUUAUGAGAGGUGAACAGUUGGUGCACCGCAGUGUAGGGCAUCGUGUGGUUACAAAUGCAUGUCUGAUUACUGUUGUUACCUAUUUUUUAUUCCCUGUAAAAAAAAAUUAUAUAUCAAAAAAUUAUAUUUGAAAGGAAUAAAAAAAAAAUAGGAGGGAGAAAAAAAUGCUAAAACGCUGAAAAAUAGUCAAAAUUGGUUGAGAAGGUUCAAAAAUACAAGAGGUUGAAUUUGACAGUUUAUCGUUAACUUAUGAGAGUCUUGUUAAUAAAAAAAAUUCAAUUUUUUUUUUAAAAAUAAAUAUAUUCAAACUCAGAUGUUUAUGAACUCAAUUAAAUUUUAUACAAGAUUUAAUUGAAUUUAUAGAAGAUUUGAUCGCAAGAAAAUUGAUUUUUUAAGUAAAUUUAGGCUUUUAUCGGUAGGAAUUAAAGUUCGGGGGUCCAAUUAUAAUUUUAAAGAGUUGAUUUGGUCAAAUCAGGGGCUUAAUUGCAUAAUUAUUAAAGUUUAAUGGCCAAUUAUGGACUUAAUUGAAACAAUUCGAAACGAAGGAUCAAACCAGAAAAGGCACUAACAUUAAGGGAUCCAAUUACAAUUUUGUCGGAGGGGUUGGAUUAUAGAACAACGAAAACUUCAAGGGCCAAAUUCAAAGAAACCAAGCGGCGUCGUUUCCACCAUUAAUGGUCUUCAAACAGCUGCACAUCUGUGACAAUAAUGGAAGGAAACGUUAGCAGCGAUUAUGGAAUUAUUCUUCAAUCAAUGGGGCGGGUAUCGCGGCUGACAUCCCUCGUCACCGUGAUGGAUGCCGGCUUACCAAAAUGGCUGGCGUCCUCUGGCUAUAAAAGCCAGAGGAAGAGCUGCACCAGUGGAGGGAGAAAGGGGAGCAGAGAACAGAGGUGACAGUGAGAAAAAAAAAAGAGUAGAACAGAGAAGGAACAGCAACGAGAAAAAAAAAACGGCAGAGGGAGAGGGGAACAUAAGGAAGAGAAAACAGAGGGAGGAAGAGCAUAAGAAACUAAAAAAACAGGAGCAAAAGGAAGAGAGAAGGAGAGUCUGCACGGCGAAGCAGAGGACACAGCACCAUCGCCGUCUUCACCUCUCCAUAACCAGGUAUGUGCAUUUCCCUUCUCAGUCCCUGCAACAGAAAUGAUGUAUGUUAGUAUGUAAGAAAAACAAAAAGAAAACUUGAGGGAGCCAAUACAUGAAAUUGUCCGCUUCAACACUCUGUUUUGUUUCAUUCUCGCUGCAAUAAGGAUGAUGAACAGUGCGAACGUAAUUACCUUCACCCUGUUCAUGCACGCGUAAAAUAUCACGCGUGCAUGGGCGGCUGGGGCUGGUCACUGGCAUGGGCCAGUGACCAGGCUGGGCUGCCUAGGUCCAGCCCUGCCAGGCAGGUUGGCUGGGCCCAGCCCAGUCAUAUGGGCCGGGUUGAGCCCAGCACAAAAAAAAAAUUUAUUCGUAAAUUAUUUCAAAAGAAUCUGUGAUUUUCCGCAAAUUUUCUACUGCAUGUUGAACAAUAUUGGUUUGUAUUUUUAUACUGUAAAGAUACAAAUCGGUAUUAAAAUACCCGGUUUUCGUAAAGACAUUAAAAAAUAAUUUUUUUUUAUGCAUACGGGCAAGUAUCUCUAAAAAAAUAAUCAUAUUGUAUCUUCAUAACAAUAAAAAAAAAAGGUUUUAGCAUGCAUUUUGGGCUUUAAUAACCAGUUUAUUAAAGUCACAAGAACUAGGUUAAUAUUUCAAAAAAUUCAAAAAAAAAAAUAUUUUCUUUUAAUAUCUAGGGUUAUGAUCUUAUACGUAAGACAUACUUCAGAUAUUAAACUCUUUUGUUGAAGUUAGAACGGUUAAGUUUUUUUUCCGAUAAGAUAAGGAUCUUUUUACCAAGAAGAAAUUUUUCUUAAUUACAGACGGACCAACAACUACAAAGCACGAUAAGACUUUAGAUUUAUCAGACAAUAAAACAAUGCAGCUUACCUUAGGUAGGGUAUAUUUGAGGUGCUAAUACAUUCCAUUUACGCAAUCAGUCCCCGAACCCGAUCUUUGAGACUAGUUAGGGUUCCUAGUGAUCAAAAUACCAGGUGGCGACUCCCAUUCUAUUUUUCCACUAAUAAAAGACAAGAAUUCCUUGUCUUCACACAUUUGCCACAUUAGAUAAGAUUUUGAGGGUGGAUGUUUUCCACGCGAUGCCGCACACGUGCGACAAUUACAAUAGUUCCAAUAGCAGUGGCAUUUCUAAUGCCAUAAGGGGAAGCAGUGGCAAAUAAAGCUACCGAAAAGAGCAUUACCUGGCAUUUGUCUCUGAGAAUUGACAAACAUAGUGGAGGGAAUCCCUUGUCCCUAGGGGUGAGCAAAAAAACCGAGAAACCGAAAAAACCGAAAAAAAAUAACGGAAAAAACCGAACCGAAAAAAAAAACCGAUUAAAGCGAUUAAAAUUUUGAAAAAACCGACCGGUUCGGUUCGGUAUCGGUUUUAGGCUUAUAAAACCGAAAAAACCGAACCGAACCGAACCGAAAAAAUAACCGGAAAAAAACCGAGCCAAACCGGAAAAACCGAGCCAAACCGGAAAAACCGAGCCAAACCGAGCCAAAACCGGAAAAAAUGAGCCAAAACCGGAAAACCGAGCCAAACCGGAAAAAACCGAACCAAACCGGUUUUCCCCCUAAAAAAACCGAACCGAACCGAAACCGGCCGGUUCGAACUGGUUUCGGUUCGGUUUCGGUUUUUUUUUCCAAAAAAAAACAAUUUCGGUUUGGUUACUUUUUUUGAUAAAAACCGAACCGAACCGGUUUUGCUCACCCCUACUUGUCCCAUUGAAUUCCCCACUGAGUUCUGUGAAACACCAGGGAUACUCUGCAUGUUAGGAUUCUGCACAACAGUGUUGGGGAUAGUCUGGGUUACACCAGAGACAGGAGGCAGUGCCGCUUGUAAACCAGCAUAACUUUGAACUCCAUUAGAUGCCAUGCAAUUCUGCAAGUUCUGUGAUACCAACUGCUGACGUGCUUGAGACUGAUCAGUGGACAAUAGGAUAGGGAGAAACAACCUUUGAUUCUGAACUUCAGGGGGCAUACUAUAGGAUAUUGUUCAAGAUAAAAGGCAAAAGGGAAAAAUAAAUAGGUCAUAAUACAAAUCUCAGAGACCUAGGAUCAACAUCAAUUAUUCAUCAACUUUUUUUCUCUUAUUGUCUUUGUAGAGAAAGUGACAUACAACCUUGUUAAUCUCAAAGAUCAAAAUUCUCUUAACAUAGGUCAUAAUACAAAUCCAAAUUUUUCUUUGAUGAAUAACCAUUCUAAUCUUUUUGAAGACACUAGGGGCUUUAUCAUAGACACCAAACAUGUAGCUUGAUUUUUUUAUGGUGCUUGACUUUCGACAUUUGCUAUGUCUUUUCUCAAUUAAAAACCUCUUUUGCCCCUCUUAGAAUUGAUAGGCAUUCUCCUUCUAUUCCACUUUUUUUUUUUUUUUUUUGCUUUUACAUAGCCUUCCUCAAAGUUUUCUUAGAUGACUCUCAAUCUAUGACUUUUCUCCUUCUAGCCCUUUCUCAAUCAUUAGAUUUUUGUUCUAAGCCUUUCUUUUAUCCAUUACUUCUAUCCCUUUCUCAUUUGCUUUCAUUUGCUCAAAAUAUCUCUCAUCAGCUUAAAAGUUUUUGAAAGAGCUUCCUUGCUUGGAAUUUUAGUUUGUAGCAAUGGCCUUCUAUAGUUUGUAAAUAAAAUGACGAAAUUUGAGAGAAUUAAUUUUUCUAGAAAUUUAUAGGAUAUAAUUAAUAACUUGACUUUAAUUUAAAAGGAUUAAUGGACAUCAUAAAAUUUCAACUAAUAUAUAUAUAUAUAGGAACUGCAUGGCCACAAAAAAAAAAAAAAGAGUAAGUAUUUUUAAUAUUUUAGCUAACCAAUGCCGACUUGGAUCAUUGAUGAGUUGUUUAUAUUGGAUGUAAAUAUAUUUCAAACAAUUAUCCACAUCCAAAUUAAGUUAAGGGUAUGUUUAUAAAAAUUAAAUUUUUGACGACCCUCCUUAAUUUUCAAUUGAAAUCUUGAAGGAUGACACAAUAAGUAUGUAUCAUUUUGUGACAAUAUUAGAGCAAGGUAAAACUAUAGAGAAAGUGAAGAAAAUAUUAGAGCAAAAGACAUUUUUCCAACCCACUAAUCAAUUCCUUCAAAGAGGAAGAUUCUCUAUUUCUUGAAAGGCUAAUUUUGCACUAUUUUUUUCUUGCGGAAUGCAUUCACACUACAUUUAAAAUUUAGGAAAACUAAAUCUAUGAUUUUUUUUAAAUUCAUUUUAUUGUUAUUUCUUUAUCGUCCCAUAUAUACCUUAAGUAAACCUUACUUUUAAUUAUUUCGAAUGAAUAAAACAUUUAGUAAAAUCACUUUAAUUAUUCUUUCAAUCUUCCCGUGUGAUUCACUGCUUGGUGAUUCUAAAGUCGCCUAUUUAAACUUUAGCACAUUAUACAACUAAAUUUAUUCUUUCACUCGGUAUUUAUUAUAUAUUCAAUUCGUUAAUCGUUAGAAAUACAAAAGAGAAAAAGACAACUAUAAAUAUAUUUAUAACCAGAAAAGUUAUGAUUAAUAAAUUAUCUUUUCUAGUUUUGUUAUAAAGUUAGUGAUUAAUUCUGUUUUAUUUUUAAUUUUUGAACUAUAAAAAUAUAGAUAAAUUUAAAAUAAAUAUCUUUUUACAAUAGUUUUUAAGUAAAUUUUGUACUUUUAAAAUAAAAAAUAUAUAUAUAAACAUGUUUUUUAUGUUCCCUCUACUUUUGUAUUUUAUAUCAUGGUAAUUAAAUGUUGCCUGGUUAACAUAACACUAAAUCAUAAUAAAAAAAAUUAAUUGUGGAAUGGCAUGGUAGUUGGAUCUAUUUUUUUUUAUGUGUGUGAUUAAAUUAAUUAUUUCGAUAAAUGAAAAAUGUAUUCGGGGACAAAUAAAAAAAAUAAUUUUAUUGCUAGAGAGGCAUGGGAGCCUUUAAUAUUUUGCAAAGGCAUUGGAACACGAUGCCAAGGAAAUGUAAGAUAUUCUCAUCAUUUCGAAGAAAAUUCUAUAUCAUGGAAAUUAAUGCAGAUGGUAGUAUAUAGUCUCAGGGACUAUCUCACGCAAAUUCUUAUCCAUUUUACUUGUUGAUUGUGUUAUAAAAAAUAGACUUUUUCGAAAAAAAAAGAAGAAGACUUAUUAUCAUGACAAUAACAAGAAGUAUUUUAGAAAUAAUAUAAUUUGUGGUUCAUUUUAUCAAUGAUAUUGUUUGAUUUUGCCAUUACCGUCAAGAUUAAGAUUAAUGCAUGAUUUUCCACAUGUUAUUUCCAUAAAGAAAGUAGCAAGUCUUCUUUAUCCGUCAUCGUAAUGAAAGUAGUGUUAACCUUUGAUUCAUAUUCUUAAUACCUUUGGUUUCUUAAGAAAAAUGUCAUAUAUAAAACUUCCAUUCGCAUCUAAAUUGAAACAGUCACAAAUUGAUAUAAUAUUAUUAAUAUUUAUUUUUAAUAUAUAUAUAUAAUGAAAUAUUUUAAUAAUUAAUUAAUAUUGUUAAGCCAUAUAUAUUUUUAUGUUUUUUUUCUUUAAUUUCAUCUCUUAAUAUUGAAUUUUCUUAUCCCGAUCUCAUGAUCCGGGUCGAAGACCUGGUGGGUUAACUUGAGUUUUUUUUAUGUUAUUACUUCCUCCCCUGUCUUGUAUAUAUUGUCCUCUGUUUUUCUUUUAUGCUAGCUAUAGCCUCUAAUUUUGGCUCUAGCACCUUUCUAUAAUAAUACUCGACUAUUAUUUAAAAAGAAAAAGAAAAAAGCAGAAGCACAAAUAACUCGACAAUUUCUCUAAUGUGCAAAGGAGUGUUUGACGUGCUAAGGAUAUAGAGCCUUCCUUCUCUCCUUCUGAUCAAUCGUCUUGGAGGGCCUAUGUUCUUGCCUUGAUCAAGACUCCUAUCUUAUCUUAGUUAUUCAACAAAUAUGAAGAAAUUUUCUAAAAUCAUUUCUUGACAUAAUAUCUUAGUUUUCAUUGUCUCUGAGAAUUAAUAUAAAGCUCAGCAUUUUGUUGAUGGUACCUGCUGCUUGUGGGCAGAGGUACAUUUAUUUCUGUUAACUUUCUAAUAUUAGAUCUUGCAUAAUUUAUUAAAUUUAUUUUAAUAUAUUAAAUAAUGUAAGGCACAAAACAGAUCAUAAUAGAAGACAAUAAAAACAAGUGAUAUAUUUGUUGCACAUGGCAAGUUAUAAAAUGUUUGAUAUACACUUUAGACAUCACAAAGGUUGAUCAUUGUCUUGUACACACAAUUUUUUUUUUAUAGGACUAUCUCAAUCAUGUGCUCAUAAUCAUGAGAUUAGUGUAUUUAUAUAAUUUUGACCCGUUUCCUUUUUCAAUGUUUUUUUUUCUAGUUUCUUCAUUCGAUAUUGGAUAUGAUUUUUUUGUUACCUUUUAUCAAAGCAUAUAGUUGUUUGAUAAAAAAAAAAAAAAACUCUACACUUAUCUCUUGAUAUUUCUAAUUUUUAUUUUGAGUCAUCGUUUAUGGUUUUUUCGCUUAUUAACACAUAUAAUUUUCAAUUUAUUUGACUAUAUUUAUAAAGUUUUUGAUUUUCACUUAAAAGUUUUUUAAAUAAAAUGAGUGGGCACUCAAAAAUUCAUAUACCUUAUCUUCCAAGCAAGAAGAGUCAAGAAAAGCAAUGGGUGAUGUUCUUUUCUCCAACUGUAAAUGGAUGAAGAGAUCAAUACAAAAAACAUGGACAAAAAUUGAUGUGGACCCACACCACUUUGAUUAUUUUUCUAUUGAAGUACUUGAUAAUCUAGUGUAUGUCCAUAAAUUUGUUUACAUUGGUUUCUCUAAUAAAAGUAUAUAAAAAAAUAUUCAAUAAAAUUAUAUUUUUAUUAAUAGAUUUGAACUAAAAAAAACCGUAUAUUUUCAAGCAACCAAGAGGCAGCCAUCCUUCCAAGAAAAUCAUUGUUGCUAAUAGAAAUACUAUAAACAAGAUGGCUGGAAUAGAACCGAAAAAUUCCAGUUUUUUAAAUUCAUGGAACAAGAUAAGAUUAUGAAGAAGAUGUAAUAUUUUUUAAUUUAUUCAAUUUUUUUAAAUUAAAAUAAAAUAUACCUGCCAUUAUAGACAUCACAUAAUUAAAUUAAAAACCAUAACUUUUAGAGCCCCAAGCGUACGGCCCCAUCUCGUGGAAAAAAUGCAUGAUGGCAAUAGUCUCAUAGACCAAUGUGCAGAUGGCAAUGAACUCAUAAAUGCAUGAUGGUGAUUGUCUGUCGAACCCAUUUUGAGGAAAAAAAAUGCAAUUAUAGGAGGAUUGCCACCAUUUAUAGUCAUAUUUUCACCGUUAGAGACAUACAGUAAUUUAGAGAGUUUUAUCAAGGAACAAAGAUAUUUUCGGAGAAUAACAUUUAUAGCGACACUUUUAUGCAAUUCAAUUUUUUUCUUUUUUUAGAUGAACGUGACUUUCUUAAGCUAGUUGUAGUAUAUAGAUUUUUUUAAAAAUAAAAAAUAGAAAUAUAAUUCGCAUCCGAGUAAAUACCUCCACAAAUAUAAUUUCAUUGAAAGUUGCGUCAUGUAUUAAUCUAAAGUCCGUUGUCCAUUAAUAAAUCGGUUGUUGCAUUCUAACACUUGAUAUUUAUUUUUUAUGCUUAAGCAUUUUUUUUUUUUGCAAACUAAUUAAAUUUAAAUUAAAGCAUAUUAAUUAUCCAUUCCCAAGCUUACAGGGUAAUGGUCUCAUGGACCCAUCUCAUAGAAAAAAUGCUUGAUAGCAAUGGUCUCAUGGACCAUUCCGCUGGCAUACAUCGUGGAAAAAUAGAUUGAUAAAUACUUUAGAAAGAAAAAAAAAAAGACUUAUUGUCAUGACAAUGACAUGAAGUAUUUUGGAAAUAAUAUCACCUGUGGUUCAUUUUAUAAACAAUACUAUUUGAUUUUGCCAUCACCAUCAAAAUUAAUGCAUGAUUUUCCACACGUUAUUUUCAUAAAGAACCACAAUUUUAAUGAUGUAGUUUUCAUUUUUUCUAAAAAAAAUAAUAUUAAAAUGAUACAAUUUUAGAUUAACUCUAGUUAACAUAAGAUAACUUGUCCGAACUAUGACCCAAAUCUUGAUCCGAGUAUUAGGGCAAUUUUUGACCUUAACCCUCAUCUAGUUUAAUAACUUUGGUUUUAAUGAAAGAGACAUUCUUAAGAAAAUGUCAUAUAUGACACAUUUAUUCACAUCCAAAUUAAAACAUUCACAAAUUGAUAUAAUAAUUAUUAAUAUUUAUUUUUAAUAUAUAUAAAAUGAAAGAUUUUAAUAAUUGAUUAAUAUUGUUAAACCAUGUGUUUUUAUGGUUUUUUUUCUUUAAUUUAAUCUCUUAACAUUGAAUUUGCUUAUCCUAAAUUCAUGAUCCAGGUCAUAGACUUGAUGCGUUAACUCGAUUUAUAUAUAUAUAUAUAUAUAUAUAUAUAUAUAUAUAUAUAUAUAUAUAUAUUAUGUUAUUACUUUCUCCCCUCUUGUAUUAUUAUAAAAAAAGAAAAAGAAAAAAAGAAGCAGAAGCAGAAAUAACUCGACAAUUUCUCUAAUGUGCAAAGGAGUGUUUGACGUGCUAAGGAUAUAGAGCCUUCCUUCUCUCCUUCUGGUCAAUUAUCUUGGAGAGCCUAUGUUCUUGCCUUGAUCAAGACUCCUAUCUUAUCUUAGUUAUUCAACAAAUAUGACGAAAUUUUCCAAAAUCAUUUCUUGACGUAACAUCUCACCCACCCCUUAUGCCCUUGCACAGACUUGCCCGCGGGGCAUCUUUUAUAUGGAAUAUAUAUACAGUUUCCAAAAGGUCUGAGGAAUCGAACAAAGAGGGCAAUGAUUGGGCAUCAAUCUUGAAACUUUUGCCUUUCAGUUUUUCCUCUUACGCUCUUCAAUAAAUGGGAAAGAGGAAACACCACGGAAAGGUGUAAACUGACAAGAAAUUCAAUGCUCACACUUUGAAUUUUAAUUUGCAUGUUUCGGGUCAUUGACAGCUAUGCAUUAAAAUCUCAUUUAUCGGGGAUCAAAAACUUGAUGGACAGAUUAAUGUUAAAUAGGAAUUUUUAUGGAGCGCAGUCACAGACAUAUCUAGAGAAGAUACAGAGUUAAGGACAUGUUUAUAAAAAUUAAUUUUUUUACGACCCUCCUUUUCAAUUGAAAUCUUGAAGGAUAACACAAGAAGUAUAUUGUAUCACUUUCUGACAAUAUUAGUGUAAGGUAAAACUAUAGAGAAAGUGAAGAAAAUAUUAGAGCAAAAGACGACAUUUUUCCAACCCACUAAUUAAUUCCUUCAAAGAGGAAGAUUCUCUAUUUCUUGAAAGGAUAAUUUUGCACUAUUUUUUUUUCUUGCGGAACGCAUUCACACAACAUUUAAAAUUUAGGAAAACUAAAUCUAUGAUUUUUUUUUAUAAAUUGAUCUUAUUGUUAUUUUUUUUAUCGUCCCAUAUAUACCUUAAGUAAACCUUACUUUUAAUUAUUUCGAUGAAUAAAACAUUUAUUUUUAAUUUUAUUAUAAGUUUUUUCUUAAUUUUUUAUGAUAAUUGAGGAAUAUAUAUAUUAAUACCGAAAAAACACCCAAGUUUAAAUGACCUGCCAUCAAAAUUAAUCAAUCGGUGGUUGCAUUAUUCUAACACACUACAUUAAGAUUUAUUUUUUUUCAAUUUGAAUACUUAUAUUCAUUAAAUGUAAUCAAGAAAAUAUCUUUAUUAGUUUUUUUUUUAUUAUUAGUGUUGUUACCCAUUUUUUGACCCACCUUUUUAAUAAAUUUUUUGAAAAAAUCCAAAAAUAGUGAAAAACAAUAAAAAUCCAAAAAAAUAUGUUUUUAAUAUAUUUGCAAUGUUUUUAGCAUUUUCAACGUCUUCUAAAAAGAAUUUUAAUUUUCAAUUGUUUUUUUCGAACGCGUUCGACUUUUCACGCAUCAUUUUAAAAUCAUUAUUUUUCUCAUAGAAUUGAUGUUGAUUUUGCUCAUUUUUUAAAAAAUACAAGAAAAAACAAGAAAAAUCAAAAUUUAUAUAAAAAAAAAAGUUGAGGGGCCAAUUUGGAGGCUUGAACAAACUUUUACCUAUAAAUAUAGGUUGAAAGCUCAAAGGAAAAGGGGAGGGGGGGACAAUUUUGUAAUCAGGGGGAGGCAACACAAGGGGGAAAACCCUAAAAAACUAAACAGCUUCCUCUCCCUCAUGAAGGACCAGCCGGCAGCCCCUGCUGGGUUUUGAUUUUUUUUCAGCCGCCGGCUCCCCCAGAUAUCCCCUUUUGGAUUUUUUUUGCUUCCCCUCAGCAGCGGGCACAAGCAGCAGCCCCUCUCUUGCAAAAAACACAAACCAGGGCACAUCCGUUUUCUCCUUCAUUUUUUUUUCCUCGGUUCCACCGAUCAUCCUCCACUCAAAAGCCAAACAAGCCCUUCCCCUGGUUUUGAAUUUUUUUACAUUGGAACCCCCCUCUUCUUCUUCUUCAGCCCCGAUCCAAACGGAGCCGUCCCCCCCGCUGGUUUUGAUUUCUUUUCUCCAGUCGCCGGCCUCCCCAUUUUUUCUUCUCACAGGCCGACACCGGCCAAACAGUCCCUCUCCCUUCUCCUCCAAAACCGAACCGAUCCCCUCCUGGUCGAUCCAUCCUAGCAGCUGCUUCUCCCCGCAGACCCGUGAUCAUCAACGCCGCCACAGACCCGAUUUCCUCAGCACCAUGACCGGCUAGCCUCACAGACGACAGCAACAAGAUCCACGGGCAACAGCAGCAGGCGAUCUUCCAUCUUCAACCGGCGACAGACCCACGGUCUCCCUCUUCAGUCGCAGGUGCCAUUUCUUCUUCGCCCUCCGAUCAGACCACCGUUUCUCUUCCCCUGGCCGGACAUCCAUCCCAUCGCCACCGUAGCUUCAGCGGCCACGGACGACCUGCAACCGGCAGAGAAUCCCCACAGAGAAGAAGGCGAAACAGAGAGGGGCAGAUCCAAAACGGCGGAGAGAGGAAGGACAGAAAAAAACAGAUCUGAAAAACUAAGAAAAAAUUAAAAUCAACUGCUUUACUUGCGUUUUUUGUGCGUUUGCAGGUGACGGUGGGUGUCACCACCGGCAGAGAAGGGAAGAGAAGGAGAAAACAGGGCAGAUCCGCCCGUUUCCGGCAUGGUCGGCCACUGUUCCUGCGGGUGGCAGAAGGGCAAUGCUGCAAUUUCUGGAGUUUAGAGACUAUUUUGUAAUUUUGUAAAUUAUGUAAUGUAAUUUUUAUUUAGUUUGAAUUGUUUUUAUAAUUUGUAAUGUGAUGUAUAAAAAGAACAAAAAAAAAAGAGAAAAUAAUAAUAGAAAAAGAGUUGUGUGUGUGUUUGGUAUUUGUUUUUCCUAUGUAUGUUGUUGAAUCAAAAGAAAAAAAAUGAAUUUAAUAUUUUAAUUUAUAUGCACAAAUAUCUAAAGGACAGAUAAAAAUCAUGUUGAAUUUUCCAUGGAAAUGUAGAACAUGUAUCUACAUAUAGUCUGGAAAAGUAAUAACUGAUUUAUCAAAGCCUUAGAAUUGGGCUAAAAUUUUCUUGAAAGUGUGUAUUUUUGUUUAUGAAUGUUUUUUUUAUUUAUGAUAAAAUUGCAAGAAUAAAGAAGAAUUUAAUAUUCUGAUUUAAUCACGGAUAAACAAUCAUGAACUUACAUGUAAGUUGUAUUUUCUAAAAUUCGAUGAAAGAACAAAAUUUUUAAAACUUCUUUAACACAUCAAGUCCACAAAGCAGCUUACCUCAGGUAGGGUGCGUUAGGGGUGAUAAUACCUUCCCUAACCAUAACCAGUCCCUUACCCGCGAUCUCUGACAAGACCAGUACAUCAGGUUUCCUAGUAGCCCUCAAUGAAUUACUAGGUAGCGACUCCAAAGAACCAAAUCAACAAAACAGAACGAAUAAUCGCCAGCCGAUGCCGCGAUCCGGAUUUUUUUGGGGUGCGACAAUUAGAAUGAUGACGACAUAGUUAAUUCUUUUUAGAUUAGUCUGGAUUGAUUUUACUUUAUUUUUAAUUCAUAAACAAUAAAGUUAUGUAAAAUGCUUAUCAUUUUUUAUUUAUUUAAGUACUCUAAUUGAUUUUAUUUUUCUAUUUAAGUACUUGAUAAACUAGUGCUUGUAUAUAAAUUUGUUUAAAUUAAUUUCUCUAAUAAAAGUAUAUAAAACAAAUUCAAUAAAACUAUAUUUUUAUUAAUAGAUUUGAACUAAAAAACCGUAUAUUUUCAAGUAAUCAAGAGGCAGUCUUCCUUCCAAGAAAAUCAUUGUUACUAACGCCAUUAACAUUUGAAUUAAUAGCCCCAUCUUAAUAUAAAUGUUGAUCAAUCAUUACUAAAUUGCUUCUGGUAUAAGUAACUAUCUCUUGCAAAUGGCAGCUAGAAGUUUCAAUUAGAGUUAUAAUUAGUGUUUUAUUUUUUCAAAUGUACCAAUAUGUUUUGGUUUUUGUGUAUUUUUACUUGUUUGUUCUAUAUAUAUAUAUAAUUCAAAAUAUUAAUUUAACAAACAUAAUUUCAAGUUAAAUUUAAAGAUAAACUAACUUGAAAUUAUGCAAUUUAAAUUUUAAAUAUAAGUAAAAAAAUAAGAGCUAAAUUGGUAUGACUCAAUCGAUUCAAUAAGCUCAAAAAUAGUCUGGACAAUUAAUAAAAAUAUAGUUUUACUUAAAAAAGUUCAAAAUGACAUAUUUUUUUAAAAAAAUAUUGAGAUAAGAACAUGUUGGAUCGAUUUAAGUCAAUAUGGGUUAACCUUAAAAAUCAAUGACUCAAGUCAUGAGACUAUAAUAACCCCAAAAAAAAAAAAAAAAAAAAAUUAUAAAUCUUAAUAUUCAAUAAAUCUAUUCAGCCUGAUGGGCAGUAAUUGUUUUGCGUGGUCUAGGAUUGGGGGUUAGGCGAGUGGGUUCUCAACGCAUCUAUGUUUCUGCCUUUUAAAGAUUUGCAAAGUCUUGUAAAAAUAAUAUCAUUUGUGGUUCAUUUUAUUAACUAUACUGUUUGAUUUUUCUAUCACCAUCAAAAUUAAGGCAUGAUUUUCCACACGUUAUUUCCAUAAAGAAAGUAGCAAGUCUUCCAUAUUUGUCAUUGUCAUUCAAAGUGAGUUGCCUAGUGUUAACCUUUGAUUCAUAUUUUUCCAAAAAAAAAAAAAACCAGCGUGGUUCAAUUUUAUAUAUAAAAAAAGUGACAUGGGUUCAACGUUAUAAGAAGGAAUACAAGUUUUCGGUUAAUUACUUUUAUGCAAUUCAAUUUUUUUCUACAAUGUGGUUUUAAUCAGCAUUGUUAAAUUUAAUUCAAGCCUAACAUUUUAAUUUGGAACCUAACCCGAUUUAGGUUUAGAAAAAACCAAGUGAGAGUUGACUCAAUCAAGCCUAGUUGACCAAAUAAAUCAACCCAUAACUUAGUCACCUCAGUCAGAAACUUUUUUUAACCACGUAGUUUUGAUUUUUUCUAAAAACAAAUCUUAAAAUGAUAUAAUUUUAGAUUAACACCAUUCAACAUAAGCUAACUUGUAUUAGGCCAAUCUAUGACCUAAACUCUUCUCUAGGUAUUAAAUCUAAUCAUGUUAAAUAAUUUUGGUUUUAAUGAUCGAGACAUUCUUAAGAAAAAUGUCAUAUAAAAACAUUUAAUCGCAUCCAAAUUGAAACAUUCACAAAUUGAUAUAAUAGUUAUUAAUAUUUAUUUUUAAUAUAUAUAAAAUAAAGAUUUUAAUAAUUGAUUAAUAUUGUCAAAUCAUAUAUGUUUUGUGGUUUUUGUUUUUAAUUUUAUCUUUUAAUAUUGAGUUUGCUUAUCCCAAUCUCAUGAUUCGGGUUGUAGACUUGAUGUAUUAACUCGAGUUUUUUUUAAUAUAUAUAUUAUGUUAUUACUUCCUCCCCUGUCUUGUAUAUACUGUCCUCUGUUUUUCUUUUAUGCUAGCUAGCCUCUAAUUUUGGCUCUAGCACCUUUCUAUAAUAAUACUCACUAUUAUAAAAGAAAAGAAAAAAAAAGAAGCAGAAGCAGAAAUAGCUAGCUCGACAAUUUCUCUAAUGUGCAAAGGAGUGUUUGACAUGCUAAGGAUAUAGAGCCUUCCUUCUCUCCUUUAGUCAAUCGUCUUGGAGAGCCUAUGUUCUUGUCUUGAUCAAGACUCCUAUCUUAUCUUAGUUUUUCAACAAAUAUGAAGAAAUUUUCCAAAAUCAUUUCUUGACAUAGCAUCUCACCCACCCCUCAGCCCUUUGUCAAGUCCACCGUCUUGGAGAGCCUAUGUUCUUGCCUUGAUCAAGACUCCUAUCUUAUCUUAGUUUUUCAACAAAUAUGAAGAAAUUUUCCAAAAUCAUUUCUUGACAUAGCAUCUCACCCACCCCUCAGCCCUUUGUCAAGUCCACCGUCUUGGAGAGCCUAUGUUCUUGCCUUGAUCAAGACUCCUAUCUUAUCUUAGUUUUUCAACAAAUAUGAAGAAAUUUUCCAAAUUCAUCAUUUCUUGACAUAACAUCUCACCCACCCCUUAGCCCUUUGUCAAGUCCACCGUCUUGGAGAGCCUAUGUUCUUGCCUUGAUCAAGACUCCUAUCUUAGUUAUUCAACACAUAUGAAGAAAUUUUCCAAAAUUAUCUCUUGACGUAACCCCUCAGCCCUUUCUCAAGUCCUCCGCCACUCUCGGUAAAUUAUACUAUAACAUCUCAUAUACAGUUUCCAAAAGGUCUGAGGAAUAGAGCAAAGAAGGCAAUGAAUGGGCAUCAGUCUUGAAACCACAAUGAUCCGAUGGACGAGAGCCGCUAGUGGAGAAUGAUUCAUGCAUCUCUGGUUUUGUGUGUUUCUCAUGCUCUUUUUCACUGUACAACAGAACUUUUGCCUUCUCAGUUUUUCCUCUUAGACGCUCUUCAAUCAAUGGAAAGAGGAAACACCACAGAAAGGUGUAAACUGACAAGAAAUUCAAUGCUCACACUUUGAAUUUUAAUUUGCAUGUUUCAGGUCAUUGACAGAUAUACAUUAAAGUAGACUUAAUGUUUAUUGUAUUACAAAAAAAUAGACUCUUUAGAAAGAAAAAGAAGAAGACUUAUUGUCAUGACAAUGACAAGAAGUCUUGUAGAAAUAAUAUCAUUUGUGGUUCAUUUUAUCAAUGAUACUCUUUAAUUUUGCCAUCACCAUCAAAAUUAAGGCAUGAUUUUCCAUUCGUUAUUUCCAUAAAGAAAGUAGUAAGUCUUCUAUAUCCGUCUUUGUCAUUCAAAGUGAGCCGCCUAGUGUUAACCUUUGAUUCAUAUUUUUCCAAAAAAAAUAGAGAGACAUUGGUUCAACUUUAUAAGAAAGAAUACAAGUUUUUGGUUAAUUACUUUUAUGCAAUUCAAUUUUUUUCUACAAUGUGGUUUUAAUCAGCGUUGUUCAAUUUAAUUCAAGCCUAACAUUUUAAUCUAGAACCUAACCCAAUUCAAGUUUAGAAAAAACUAAGUGAGAGUUGACCCAAUCAAGUCUAAUCGACCAAAUAAAUCAACCCACAACCUAGUCACCUUCGUCAAAAACUAGUUUUACUUUUUUUAACUACACAAUUUUGAUUUUUUCCCAAAAAAAUCUUAAAAUGAUACAAUUUUAGAUUAACACCAUUCAACAUAAGCUAACUCGUCCGAUAUAUGAUCUCAAUCUUGAUCUGAGUAUUAGGCCAAUCUAUGACCUAAACCCUCAUCUAGGUAUUAAAUCUAAUCAUGUUAAAUAAUUUUGGUUUUAAUAAAAGAGACAUUCUUAAGAAAAAUGUCAUAUAUAAAACAUUUAUUCGCAUCCAAAUUGAAACAUUCACAAAUUGAUAUAAUAGUUAUUAAUAUUUAUUUUUAAUAUAUAUAAAAUGAAAGAUUUAAUAAUUGAUUACUAUUGUUAAACCAUAUAUGUUUUUAUGGUUUUUUUUUUUUAAUUUCAUCGCUUAACAUUGAGUUUGUGUAUCCUGAUCUCAUGAUCCGGAUUGUAGAUUUGAUGCGUUAAGUCGAGUUUUUUUUUAAUGUGCAAAGGAGUGUUUGACAUGCUAAGGAUAUAGAGCUUUCCUUCUCUCCUUCUGUCAAUCGUCUUGAAGAGCCUAUGUUCUUGCCUUGAUCAAGAAUCCUAUCUUAGUUAUUUAACACAUUUUCCAAAAUCAUUUCUUGACAUAACAUCUCACCCGCCCCUCAGCCCUUUGUCAAGUCCUCCGUCACUCUCGGUAAAUUAUUCUAUAACAUCUCAUAUACAGUUUCCUAAAGGUUUGAGGAAUCGACCAAAGAGGGAAAUGAUUGGGCAUCAAUCUUGAAACCACAAUGAUCCAGUUGAGAAUAAUGGAAUGUGUUGGGUUGUGCCUUAGCCAACCUUCCUAUUUAUAUAGAGGCAGCAGAACACUGCUGUAACUGUAAUGAUUACAACAUCCUAUAUUACUUUCCUAUUCUGAUAGAUACAUGAGCAACUGUAAUGAUUACAACAUUAUAUAUUACUUUUCUAUUCUAUAAUAUGCCCCCUCAAGCUGAGGGUGGGGGAUUAACCCGAAGCUUGAACCAAAAAGCAGUAAAUGAUGCAACAGGAAGCGGUUUAGUGAAGACAUCGGCAAGUUGAUCCCGAGAGGGAACAAAACGAAUCUGAAUUUCUUUCUUGGCAACACAGUCAUGGACAAAGUGAUAAUCCACUUCAACAUGCUUAGUACGAGCAUGGAAGAUAGGAUUUACUGAGAGAUAGGUAGCACCAAGAUUAUCACACCAAAUGGUAGGAGCAGAGACUGAGGGAACCUACAAAUCUAUCAACAAGUAUUGAAGCCAAAUGACUUCAGCGGUACCAUCAACAAGGGCUUUAUACUUAGCCUCAGUAGAGGAGCGAGCAACAGUGCGUUGCUUGCCGGAUUUCCAAGAAAUCAGCGUCUGACCAAAAUAAACAAGAUAGCCGCCCGUAGACUUGCGAUCAUCAAUACUACCAGCCCAAUCUGCAUCUGUAAAGCCAUGUAGAGCAAAAGAGGAGCCUCGAGUGAUAUGGAAACCAUAAGAUGCCAUACCUUUAAGAUAGCGUAAAAUAUAUUUGACAGCGGCCCAAUGAGAAUCUGUAGGAGCAUACAUAAACUGACAGACUCUGUUAACAGCAAAGCAUAUAUCUGGACGGGUGAAGGUAAGAUAUUGAAGAGCACCCACAAUUUGAUGAAAUCGUGUAGGAUCAGAGAAUGAAUGAUCCAGUAAUAAAAUGACUUUCAAAGGGGAGACUGGAGUAUCAACUGGUUUGCAGGAAGUCAUACCAGCUCGGGUGAGGAUGUCAAAAAUAUAUUUAUGUUGACGUAGCAUUAAACCCAUAUCGGUAGACUGAACUUCAAUACCUAGAAAGUAGUGAACAACACCUAAGUGAGUUGUAUCCAUCAUCUUCAUGGAAAAUGAGGGCUCUGUAUCCAUCAUCUUCAUGGAAAGUGAGCUGGCCAGCGUCAACCAUUUAUUCAUGUUUUUCUACAAAAGACUUUGACUUGGGGUUAACUUGUCGGUUAAUGUUUUUUUAUAAUGUUAGAAAAAUCACUUUAAUUAUUCUUUCAAUCUUCCCGUGUGAUUCACUUCUUGGUGAUUCUAAAGUCGCCUAUUCAAACUUUAGCACAUUAUACAACUAAAUUUAUUCUUUCACUCGGCAUUUAUUAUAAAUUCAAUUCGUUAAUCGUUAGAAAACUUAGUGAUUAAUAAAUUAUCUUUGUCAGAGUUAACUGUUUUUAGAUAAGUCUGGAUCAUUAUUUCUGUUUUAUUUUUAAUUUUUGAACUAUAAAAAUAUAGAUAAAUUUAAAAUAAAUAUCUUUUUACAAUAGUAUUUGAGUGAAAUUGGAGUAAAAUUUAUACUUUUAAAUAAAAAAUAUAUAAAAACUUGUUUUCUAUGUUCCCACUAUUUUUGUAUUUUAUAUCAUGGUAAUUAAAUGUUGUCUAGUUAACAUAACACUAAAUCAUAAUUUAAAAAAAAAAUUGUGAAAUGGCAUUGUAGUUGGAUAUUUUUUUUUUGUGAUUAAAUUAAUUUUUUCGAUAAAUGACACCUGUAUUCGGGAACAAAUAAAAAAAUAAUCUUAUUGCUAGAGAGGCAUUGGAGCCUUUAAUAUUUUGCAAAGGCAUGGAACACGAUGCUAAGGGAAUGUAAGGUAGUUGUUGAUAGCUGGCGUCAACCAGAAAAUUCUAAAAUAUUCUCAUCAUUUCAAAGAAAAUGCUCUCCUGUACCCAUCUCGUAGAAAACAAUGCAUCAGAGUAAAUAGAUUUUUUCCUUUUUUUUUAGAUGAACGUGACUUUCUUAAGCUACUUGUAGUAUAUAGAAUUUUUUAAAAUAAAAAAAUAGAAAUAUAAUUCGCAUCCGAGUAAAUACCUUCACAAAUUAAUAUAAUAUGUUUUAAUAUUUACUUUUAAUAUAUAUAAAAUGAAAGAUAUUAAGAGUUGAUUAAUAUUGUUAAGCCAUAUAUGUUUAUAAAAGUCAUUUCUUUUAAAACACAUGAUAUGUUUACAUAUUUGCAAUAUGUAUGUAUUUUGAAUUUAAUAUUAAUAAUUAUAAAAUUUAUAUAGUUAAUAAAAACAGCUCCACUUUUGUUCUAUUGUCUUUCUUUCACUAUUGUUCUUUUUUCUUCUUCUUUUGAAAUGCCUUGUCUCUCUUUCUUUUCUGUUUUUCAUCUUUCAAUCCUUCAAGAUUCAAAAUACAUUGCAAUUUACGUUAGGAAUAUUGAUGAAAAAUUAAAUAUAACCAGAAAACAAAUACAAAAAAAAAUGAUUUUCUAGUAAAGCAUUUACAUUUCCAUUGGAAGAUGCGUCAUAUAUUAAUUUAAGGUUCGUUGUCCAUUAAUUAAUUGGUGGUUGCAUUCUAACACUUGAGAUUUAUUUUUUAUGCUUAAGCAUUUAAUUAUUAUUUUUUUGUAAACUAAAUUGAAAUUAAAGCAUAUUAAUUAUCCAUUCCCAAGCUUAAGGGGCAAUGGUCUCAUGGACUCAUCUCAUAGAAAAAACGCUUGAUCAUGGACUAUAUUGUGGAAAAAAUGUAGAUGGCAAUAUAUAGUCUCGAUGACCCAUCUCACACUGCAAAUUCAUAUCCUUCUUACUUGUUGAUUGUGUUACAAAAAUUAGACUCCUUAGAAAGAAAAAAGAAAAAGACUUGUUGCCAUGACAAUGACAAGAAGUCUUGUAAAAAUAAUAUCAUUUGUAGUUUAUUUUAUUAACGAUACUUUUUUAUUUUGUCAUUACCAUCAAAAUUAAAGCAUGAUUUUCCACACGUUAUUUCCAUAAAGAAAAUAGCAAGUCUUCUAUAUUCGUCUUUGUCAUUCAAAGUGAGCUACCUAGUGUUAACCUUUGAUUCAUAUUUUUUCAAAAAAAAAAAAAAAACAAAACAAAACAGACAUGGGUUCAACUUUACAAGAUGGAAUGCAAGUUUUCAGGUAAUUACUUUUAUGCAAUUCAAUUUUUUCUACAAUGUGGUUUUAAUCAACAUUGUUAAAUUUAAUUCAAGCCUAACAUUUUAAUCUAGAACCUAACCCGAUUUAGGUUUAGAAAAAACCAAAUGAAAGUUGACUCAAUGAAGCCUAGUUAACUAGAUAAAUUAACCCACAACUUAGUCAACUCAGUCAGAAACUAGUUUAACUUUUUUUAACUACGCAAUUUUGAUUUUUUCUAAAACAAAAUCUUAAAAUGAUACAAUUUUAGAUUAACACCAUUCAACAUAAGCUAACUUGUCCGAUUUAUAACCCAAAUCUUGAUCCGAGUAUUAGGCCAAUCUAUGACCUAAACCCUCAUCUAGGUAUUAAAUCUAAUCAUGUUAAAUAAUUUUGGUUUUAAUAACGAGACAUUCUUAAGAAAAAUGUCAUAUAUAAAACAUUUAGUCGCAUCCAAAUUGAAACAUUCACAAAUUGAUAUAAUAGUUAUUAAUAUAUAUAAAAUAAAAGAUUUUAAUAAUUGAUUAAUAUUGUCAAAUCAUAUAUGUAUUUUGUGGUAUUUGUUUUUUAAUUUCAUCUCUUAACAUUAAGUUUGCUUAUCCCAAUCUCAUGAUCCGGGUCGAAGACUUGAUGGGUUAAUAUAUAUAUAUAUAUAUAUAUAUAUAUAUAUAUUAUGUUAUUACUUCCUCCCGCUGUCUUGUAUAUAUUGUCCUUUGUUUUUCUUUUAUGCUAGCUAGCCUCUAAUUUUGGCUCUAGCACCUUUCUAUAAUAAUACUUGACUAUUAUAAAAAAAGAAAAAAGAAAAAAAAAAGCAGAAGCAGAAAUAACUCAACAAUUUCUCUAAUGUGCAAAGGAGUGUUUGACGUACUAAGGAUAUAAAGCCUUCCUUCUCUCCUUCUGGUCAAUCGUCUUGGAGAGCCUAUAUUCUUAGUUAUUUCUUAUCUUAGUUAUUCAACAAAUAUGAAGAAAUUUUCCAAAAUCAUUUCUUGACACAACAUCUCACCCACCCCUCAGCCCUUUGUCAAGUCCUCCGUCCCCUUUUGCCCGAUGGUUGGGCAUCAGUCCUGAAACCACAAUGAUCCGAUGGACGAGAGUGGAGAAGGAUUCAUGCGUCUCUGCUUUUGUGGAUUUCUCAUGCUCUUUUUCACUGUACAACAGAACUUUUGCCUUGUCAGUUUUUUCUCUUAGACGCUCUUCAAUCAAUGGAAAGAGGAAACACCACAGAAAGGUGUAAACUGACAAGAAAUUCAAUGCUCACACUUUGAAUUUUAAUUUGCAUGUUUCAGGUCAUUGACAGCUAUAUAUAUAUAUAUUUGAAGUUUUUGAAUAUAAUACUGUAGCCACACAAUUCAUACGGAUAAGAUUUAUAAUUAUUCCAAGUUUAUUAUUAUUGAUUAUUUAUGCAUUUAAUUAUAUAUAUGAUAGUGAUGACACCAUGCAAAUACUUCUAAAUGAUUCUAAAUUAUGACCAGAGAACUAUAAUUAUUAAAGUCAAAAAGAUUUUACGCCAAAUCACAUGGAGUAUUGCAACAAUGUUAUUUUUUUAUAUAUAUAAAUUGGAUAAUUAGUAACCCUAAAUAACAUUCAAAUCCUAGAAUAUUCCAAAAAAUAAAAUAAAAUAAUAUUCAAAUCUCAAAACAUGUAACCCUAAAUUAUGACAAGGGAAGUACAAUUAUAAAGUCAAAAAAAUCUUACACGAAUAUAGAUAACAAUGUUGAAGUACUACAACAUUUUUUUUUUUUUUAUUUAUAUAAAUUGGAUAAUUAAUAACCAAAAUAUAAUUUAAUGCAAAUAGACUAAGUGCAAAACAAUAAAUUAAAAUAAUAUUCAAAUCCUAGAAUAUUCCAAAAAGAAAUAAAAUAAUAUUCAAAUCUCAAACAUGAAACCCUAAAUUAUGAUGAGAGAAGUACAAUUAUAAAGUAAAAAAAAAUUUAUGCAGAAUCACACACGAAUGUCGAUAACAAUGUUGAAGAACUACAACAAUUUUUUUAUUUUAUUUAUAUAAAUUGGAUAAUUAAUAUCCAAAAUAUAAUUUAAUGUAAAUAUACUAAGUGCUAAACAAUAAAUUAAAAUAAUAUUCAAAUCUCAAAACAUGUAACCCUAAAUUAUUAUGAGAGAGGUAUAAUUAUAAAGUUUGUUCUAACCCAAUUUUUUAUUCACUAAGAUUUUAUUGAAUGUUAUUUUAUUUCUAUUAUUAUUCAUAAAAAUCCAAAAAAAUUAAGAAAAAAGUUUAAUAUUCAAAUUAUAUUUUUCUCGAGUCAACCGCAUCUUUCCAUAGAAAACCGAGCCCGCCGGGUCAAUACAGGUCAAACCAUGUCGACCAGGGUAAAAAAUGAGUUUUCAUGACGUUUCGGGUCAAAACUGUCAUUUUCGAUCAAAACCAUCAUUUUUUAUCAAAACCGAGCCCACCGGGUCAAUACGGGUCAAACCAUGUCGACCAGAGUAAAAAAUGAGUUUUCAUGACGUUUCGGGUCAAAACCGUCAUUUUCGGUCAAAACCGUCAUUUUUUAUCAGAACCGAGUCCACCGGGUCAAUACGGGACAAAUCGAGCCUGUUUGGCUUUGCAGCUGCGGCUGCGUUUUAUUUAAAACGCAGUGCGCAACUGUUUGGUAACAUAUAAAAUCAAUUUAAAACGCAAUGUGCAGCUAUUUGGUAACUUAAAAAUAGUGAACAGUGCAAUUCUCUUGCACUAUUCGCUUGCUUGCGAGAACUCUUUUUUUUUUUAGUGUGUUAUUUAAAAAAAAACUAGUUUAAAGUAAAUUUUAUACCUGAUAAUAUUUUAUUCAAUUUUAUUAAAUGCUAAAAAUAUUAUGAAAACUGUAGUUUUUGUCGGAUGUAUUUCGUACGUAAUGGAAUUAUAAAUGGUUUAAUGGAAUAAUUAAAAAUAUUUUAUAUAAUUUAUGAUUUAUUUCAUGAUAUAAUAGAAAUAAUUAAAUUCACAAUAUUUAAAUUAAAAAUCUUUAGUAUUAAUAUAUAUUUUUAAAAUUAUUUUAUAACCUCAAUUUUAAAAUUAAACACUCUUAACCAAACACAUUAAACUACUUUUUCUUUAACUUCAAUUUCAACCACAAUUUUAACCAAACACCUAUUUUUUCAAACCAACCUCAACUAAAAGUACUUUCUAUAAAACAACUUUUUUAAAACCACAACAGCUACCGCAAUACCAAACACACAUCAUGUCGACCGAGGUAAAAAAUGAGUUUUCAAGUUGUUUUGGGUCAAAACCAUUAUUUUUCGGUCAAAACCCGGUUCACCGGGUUGAUACCCAUCAAAUGUUUUUUUUUUUGUGUUCCAAUAUAAUUUUGUUUUGGUAAUUAAUUUUCUUUUUUUUAUUUUGCAGUUGAAAUAGGCUUUUUCUAAUACUAAUUUAAGUUUUUUUAGUUUUGCCCAUAUAAAUAUUUAUUAUUAUAUAUAAUAAAACAAAAUUAAUAAUAUAGGAAUUUAUUAUAGUAGGUGGGUUAGUUGCAGCGGUGCAUUUUUUUUCUUGUGAAUAAAUACGUUGUCCCCUGCUGAUUGGCUAUAAAUAGCCACGACAACAGAGGGGAAGAGGAGGAAGAAAGAAGAAAAGAAAAGAGUGUACUAUUCAAUAUUUUUUCUAGUUUUUCUUCAUGAGAGUAAGAUAUUGUUUUUUUUUAAAUUUUUUUUUGAAAAAUACCAAAAAUAUCCUAACCGUUAGAACUAAUAGUGUUAGUUCUGGACCUUUGAUGUAAUAGGAUACAAUAGGGUUUACCACACUAGAUUAAAACGUAAAUCCAUCUCAGCCUUUGAAAUAAUCUUCUAUUUUAUCUUGUCAUGCCACAUCACCCGAUGUACCUAGCUUUCGGUGCACUGCUCCACACCAGAUAAAAGCUCAGCUCAUCCGAAACGCGUGUGAGCCACACGCGCCACCAGUGCCAUUUUCAUAAGUUUUCGAAAAAUCCGAGGGUAUUUCAGUCUUUUACCUAUACAGUCGCACUAGGGUAAAUUGUUUUGAGAUUCUUAACAUUUUUUUUAUAUUUUUUAUAUAAGUAUUUGUAAAUUUUCUUGCAUGUAAAAAAUAAAAAAAACAAAAAUAAAUAUAAAAGGAAAAAUGACGCAGGUCCAACAUCCAUCUUAUCAUGUUAUUGUUUGUGGGUUCAAAGCCCAAUUCUCAAGAAGGGUUGUACCUAUUUCUCAAUGAUAUCAAAAUAUUUUUUGUUUUAUAAACGAAUAUUGUUUGUCGACACGUCUUUUUUUACAGAAAAAGACCGAUGUCAAAAAUUUUAAAUACCAAAUAUGGAUUAUAUAUGUCCAUAAUUGUUUUUUUUUUUUGGUAACUCAGACGUAAAUCUUUUUUUUAAGGUUAAACAUCAAUAUUUUAGAUGAGUCUUCUAUUUUUAGGGAUUGAUGCCAUUUUUAACAUGUCUCCUAUUUUUAGGGACCGACAUUAACCAUUUAAAAAAUAAUAAAAUUGCAAAUAAGCUCAAAAUAUAAUAUCAUUUGAAACAAAAAAAAACACACACACACAAGUAAAGGUAACUUUUCUCUUGAAGGGAUGAUUUAAGGGUGGUGUCUACCUUCCCUUAAUCAUAAUUAACCUAAUACCUGAAUCUCUAGGACCAGUGUCUAAUUUGGAAUUUCUAGUUCCUUCAUAUUACUAGAUGACGACUCCAAUAAAAUCUUUAUUUUCCCUAAUUGAAAAACAAAAUCUUUUUGUUAAAUAAACAAAAUAAUAGGAGUUGUCACCCAACGUCGUGUAUCGACAAAGUCAUGAAAACAAUCUUACGAAUGUCUACAAUAUUUUUAUUUAUUUAUUUUUAUAUAAAUUGGUUAAUUAGUAACCAAAAUAUAAUUAAAUACAAAUAGACUAAAGGCGGAACUGAACAAUAAAAUAAAGGCCGAACUGCACAAGAUAAUAUUCAAAUCUAUAUUAUCGACAAACACACCAUAAAGGAUGAAGUGUCAGACUUUGUCACUUUUAGGUUAAUUCCGUUGGAUCAUGUUGAAUUGUCAACAAUGGUGCGAGGUUCUCUAGGAUACUUAGACCUGAGUACUUGCACACAAGCCAACUGACGGGCAAAAGUUAUGUUUACAGUUUUGGAGUGGUUCUUGUGGAACAACUAACUGGGAUGAAGGCAAUUUCCUUCGAUAAGCCUGAGGGCCUUUAAGUGCUAAACAAUAAAAUAAAAUAAUAUUCAAAUCCAAGAAUAUUCCAAAAAGAAAUAAAAUAAUAUUUAUGCACAAGAUAUGCAGAUAAAGUCAAGGAAAUUAAAUGGCCAAAGUGUAGUAUAAAUAGGACCUCUAUGGUUGCCCAAAGGCACAUAACAAACAACAAUAUUCUACGUAGUAGUUCAUAGAAUAUUAUCUAAGAUGAUGAUGAAAAGAAUUGGGGCUUGGAUGCUGCUAGCAUUAUUGACUCUGGUUGGCGAAUGGGCUGGUCGUUGUUAUGGAUGUUUGGAGGAGGAGAGGGUUGGUCUCUUGGAGAUCCAAUCUUUGAUCGACCCAUAUGGCAUUUACUUGAGAGGUUGGGUGGACAGUAAUAAUUGUUGUGAGUGGUAUGGGAUCGAGUGUGAUAACACUACAAGGCGAGUGAUCCAGCUCUCUCUUAGUUGGUCAAGGGAUGAGAGCUUGGGCGAUUGGGUUCUCAACGCAUCUUUAUUUCGGCCUUUCAAAGAAUUGCAAAGUCUUGAAUUGAGAUAUACUGGAUUGGUUGGUUGCAUGGAGAAUGAAGGUUAGUUCAAUGUUUCUGCACUUAAUUAUAAUCAUAAAAUAAAUGAAGGUUGGUUGGUGUUUAAUGUCAAUUAUCUUGCUUUGAUGAUUCUCUUCCAGGCUUCCAAGUCCUAUCAUCAAAACUAAGGGAACUUGAUCUAGGUAUCAACCAAUUUAAUAAUGAUAAAAGCAUUUUGUCAUGUUUCAAUGGUAACCUUUCCACUCUCAAGUCUUUGGUUCUAUUACGGAAUGGGUUGACAGGAUCAGGUAGCUUCUAUGGUAACCUUUUAAUUAUUUAGCUUCGAAACCUUUUCUUUUCUCCUUCUCAUAUCAUUUUUUCCUAUGCGUUUAAUUAGUUCCUUCUAAUAUGCUCUUGAGGAACAUCAUGCAGGUCUCAAGGUCUUGUCAUCAAGGUUGAAAAAGCUGGAGAACCUUGAUCUAAGGUUUAAUCAAUACAACGAUAGCAUUUUUCCAUCUCUAACUGGAUUUUCAUCCCUCAAGUCUUUGGAUCUGUCGUACAAUCAGCUGACAGGAUCUGCUAGUAUCAUUAGUAAGUUACAUAUAAUUUCUACCUAACUGCUUUACGUGACGUUCUUUUAUAUUUAUUUAAUAAUCAACGAUAGCAUGUCAUCAUGUUUGAUUGCCGUAGCUUUCAUCUUAUCCAUAAAUUGUUUUUCUAUUAAGACAGGAAGAGAUUAAAGUCAUGAGCUAGCUAGAUCAAAACUAGGAUGAUUAAAAAUUGCAGAUACUUGCAAUCGAUCUAUCUUCUUCCUUAAUCUAUGCACUGUAUAUUUUUUAUGUAUAUCUUGUAGGUUUUCAACUCCAACCGAUGAGGCUGGGAAAGUUAGAGAACCUUGACCUGAGUUGGAAUCAAUUGAACAACAGCAUCUUAUCAAUUCUGAGUGGGCUUUCCACUCUCAAGUCUUUAGAUCUAUCAGGGAAUGGGUUGACAGCUGGAUCAGGUAGCUUCUAUGGUAACCUUUCAAUUAUUUAGCUUCGAAACCUUUUCUUUUCUCCUUCUCAUAUCAUUUCUAUGCUUUUGAGAAACAUCAUGCAGGUUUCAAAGACUUGUCAUCAAGGUUGAAAAAGCUGGAGAACCUUGACAUGGGUUGGAAUCAAUGCAACGAUAGCAUUUUUUCAACUCUAACUGGAUUUUCAUCUCUCAAGUCUUUAAUUCUUUCAGGCAAUCAGUUGACAGGAUCUGCUAGUAUCAUUAGUAAGUUAUAUAUAAUUUCUACCUAACUGCUUUACAUGACAUUCUUUUAUACGGUUUCGUAAUCAAGAAAAUUGAGGACUUUAUAUUUAUUUAAUAAUUAAUCAACGAUAGCAUUUCAUCAUGUUUGAUUGCGCUAGCUUUCAUCUAUGAAGAUUUAUAUCUAUGGAGCUUUGAUCUUAUCCAUAAAUUGUUUUUCUAACAAGACAGGAAGAGAUUAAAGUGAGCUAGCUGGAUCAAAACUAGGAUGAUAAAAAAUUACAUGUAUAGAUCAAUGGAUACUUGCAAUCUGUCUUCUUCCUUAAUCUAUGCACAGUAGCAUCUUAUCAAUUCUGAGUGGGCUUUCAUCCCUUAGGUCUUUGGAUCUAUCGUAAAAUAUGUUGACAGGAGCAGGUAUAAUACAUAGUUUCUACCUAAAUGCUUCACAUGACAUUCUCUUAAUUAUAUUGUUUCUUUAUCAAGAAAAAUGAGGACUUUAUAUCCAUGUAAAGAUGAAUUUUUUCACAACUCAAUUUCUAGGUCCAUAAUCGGCAACGUAGGAGUGGUGUUAAAAGAACACCCUAUGUAUAUACGAAGAACAAGUUAUUUAAAAAUACACAACAUUUCAUAAUUUUAAAAAAUAUUAUAUUAUUCAAAAUUAAUAAAUCCAAAUGAUUGUUCAAAACUUCUCUUUGAUAAUUAAAACAAGAACAAUAAUGAAUAACACUCAUUAUAUUAUCAUGAAAAAUGAGGACUUUAUAUCUAUGUGAUGAUCAAUUUAAUGAUAGCAUUGUAUCAUGUUUGACCAUCUUUAACAACUUUAUAUCCUUAAAUUGUUUUUUUUUUCCAAUAAGAUCAAAAUUAGAAUGAUUAAAAAUAUUUCUUAAUCUUUGAAGUGUACACAACCUAUUAUACAAUUAAAUAUGCGUUCGUGAGCUCAUUAUAAUUAAAUAUAGCAUUUUAUCAUUCUUUUUAUGUGUAAUUCGAGAAUCAUAUAUCAAUUGAACAACAUCUCAUCAAUUCUAAUUAUUUUUAGUUUUUAUCUAUUAUGCAUAUCGUGAUUAUGACUUACUCUUAGAAAGAACUCUCUUGCAGGUUUUGAGAUCAUAUCAUCACAUUUGUGGAAACUCGAGUCAUUAGAUUUGUCACAUAAUCAGCUGACAGGAUCUAUCACUAGUAAGUUACAUUCUCUUUAUCAAGAAAAUUGAGGAAUUUAUAUCUAUAUGCUUUCAUGUAUCAUUUUAAUAUCUAAGAUACUUUCAUCACUGAUUUGACUAUUUCGAGAUAAAUUGUAUAGGUUGGUGUGAAUUGAAGAAUCUAAAGCAGUUAGAUCUCUCUGGAAAUAAUUUUGAAGGUUUACUCCCAUAUUGUUUGGGAAACUUGUCAUCUCUACAACUAUUAGAUGUUUCUGAAAACCAGUUUACAGGAAAUAUUGCCUCUGGUCCUCUUACCAACCUCAUAUCCCUUAAAUUCCUCUCACUAUCAAAUAACCUCUUUGAAGUUUCCACUUCAAUGAAGCCUUUUAUGAAUCACUCAAGCCUCAAGUUCUUCUCCAGUGAGAACAAUAGACUUGUAACAGAACCUGCUGCCUUUGAUAAUUUGAUUCCAAAGUUCCAACUACUUUUUUUUAGCUUGUCAAAAACAUCGGAAGCACUCAGUGUAGAAAUUCCCGACUUCCUCUAUUACCAAUACGACUUAAGAGUCCUUGAUCUCUCCCACAACAACAUCACCGGAAUGUUUCCAUCGUGGUUGCUUAAGAACAAUACACGAUUGGAGCAACUAUCUUUAAGCAAGAACUCCUUUGUUGGUGCUUUACAAUUGCAAGAUCAUCCAUAUCCGAGUAUGACUGAAUUAGAUAUAUCCAACAACAACAUGAACGGUCAAAUUCCAAAAGAUAUUUGUUUAAUCUUUCCAAAUCUGUGGAGCUUAAGGAUGGCUAAGAAUAGAUUCAUAGGUUGUAUUCCUUCUUGUUUGGGAAAUAUUAGCUCUUUGGAAGUUUUAGAUUUAUCCAACAAUCAGUUGUCCACAGUAAAACUAGAACAACUAGCAACAACAAUUUUUCUCAAGCUAUCAAACAACAAUUUGGGUGGGAAAAUACCGACCUCGGUGUUCAAUUCUUCUACCUUAAGAUAUCUCUAUCUAGGUAGUAACAACUUUUGGGGUCAGAUAUUAGAUUUUCCAUUAUAUUGGAGGAAAAGGUGGAUUGUAUUGGAUUUAAGUAACAAUCAUUUUUCAAGCAUGCUUCCAAGGUGGUUUGUCAAUUGUACAUACCUUAGAGCAGUUGAUUUGUCCAAAAAUCAUUUUAAGGGUUCGAUCCCAAGAGACUUUUGUAAGCUUGACCAGCUUGUAUAUUUGGACUUUUCUGAGAACAACUUGUCUGGAUAUAUACCAUCUUGUUUCAGUCCACCACCUCUAACCCAUGUGCAUCUAUCCAAAAAUAGAUUGAGCGGUCCAUUAACAUAUGGAUUUUAUAACAGCUCUUCUUUGAUUACGAUGGAUCUUCGAGAUAACAACUUCAUCGGUUCCAUUCCAAAUUGGAUUGGCAAUCUUUCAUCGUUGAGUGUUCUUCUUCUAAGGGCUAAUCACUUUGAUGGUGAGCUCCGUUCAGUUAUGCUUGUUAGAACAAUUAAGCAUUUUGGAUGUUUCACAAAACCAGCUCUCUGGUCCACUACCCUCCUGUUUGGCAAUCUUACUUUCAAGGAAAGUUCCCAGAAAGCAUUACGGAUCUCAAUAUUCUUUUUCCAUCAUGUCCAUAAAAGCUUAUGAUGAAACAAUGGGUCCACCACUAGUGGAUAGUGUACAGCUUGGAAAAGGAUUUUGGCUAACUUUACAGAAGAAGUGAUAGAAUUUACAACUAAAAAUAUGUAUUAUGGUUACAAGGGGAAAGUUCUCAGCUACAUGUCUGGUAUUGAUCUCUCCAAUAACAACUUCAUAGGAGCAAUCCCACCAGAAUUUGGAAACUUAAGUGAGAUACUAUCAUUAAACUUAUCACACAACAAUCUCACUGGAUCUAUCCCUGCAACAUUCUCAAACCUAAAGCAUAUUGAGAGUUUGGAUCUUUCUUACAACAACUUGAAUGGUGCCAUCCCUCCACAACUUACUGAAGUUACCACACUGGAAGUUUUUAGUGUGGCGCACAAUAACUUAUCAGGUAGGACACCCGAGAGAAAAUAUCAGUUUGGGACCUUCGAUGAAAAUUGUUACGAAGGAAAUCCUUUCUUGUGUGGACCUCCAUUGCAAAAAAAUUGUAGUGAGGAAGCAGUGUCGUCCCAGCCAGUGCCUAAUGAUGAACAAGGAGAUGAUGGUUUCAUAGACAUGGAGUUUUUCUACAUCAGUUUCGGUGUAUGUUACACAGUUGUGGUGAUGACGAUUGCAGCAGUUCUCUACAUCAAUCCAUAUUGGCGACGCAGGUGGUUGUACUUCAUCGAAGACUGCAUAGAUACUUGCUACUAUUUUGUGGUGGCUAGUUUUCGCAACUUCUCCAACUUCAGAAGGUGAAAUUGUUACUGGGGAGACGGUCGUUCCUAGUUUGUGAUGAUUGUUUGUCUAGCUAUUGGUAAUUUGUAAUGUACUGUCUCUAAGCUCAGCCUUUCUAUUUUAUUAGUUAUUUGGGCUAAAUAUAUAAGCUGGACUUCUCAUUCAUGAAUCAUUAGGAAGGAAACUGAUUUGGAUCGGUCAUUGACUCGGGUGUGAUUACUCUUUCAACUCUCAAGACUUGUCUGAAAAUAAAUUGCCAAAACCACUACUGAAGUAUAAACAAAAUAUUCUAUGCCUUUGUUUCAAGGGCGACCCCACCUCAGUUAUUCAAUCAAAGCAUUGAAAUCAGAGCAAGAAGAUCCACCUUCUUCAACAGCCUUCCUGGCCGUUUCUUUGCUCUGCUACUCAUUUCCUCUGUUUCUUCACCCAUCAUAAUUUGAGUGAUUGCCUUCUCUAAGCCAUUCCUUAACUCCAGUUUUUAAAACAUCAGUCACCAACUUUUCAUUAUAGAAUUGCUCAGCAAAUAUUGGUCUCCUAAGCACAAAAAAAUAAAUUGUCCUUCUCAAACAUGCAGCUGUGACUUGAGACAUUCAGAAUUUCAACCUCAUUUUCUAUAAAAUUCAACAAUACUGGAUAUGGUCAUGAUUAUACUGGAUAUGGUCAUGAUUCAAUGGAAUAAUCCCCACUUAUUUUCUUGAGACCUUUUUCCAUUGAAAUCUUGCAAGACUAUGGCAUAAUGAACUCCAUCUAAUGAACAGUAAAUCAAAGAAAUUACCAUCUGAUAGAUCUCCUCUUGCCAAUCAGCGCCUUUUGCAUGUCCAGUCUGUGCUGUAGAAUCUAGGGAUGCUACAAAAAUUUCAAUGCAGACAACAAAAUGUUAGAAUUCAUGUAUUUUUGUGUGUUUUCCAUCUACAAGGGUAUUUCUGUAAUUUUAACACUUGCUGAAAAUUAUGAAAUAUUGCAAGUCUCAGUUUUAUUUUCCAUUUAGUAUUUAAUUAUUCCCAAAGUAUAGCGAGCUUCAUUAGGUUUUUCCUAUUCUAGAUAGGUCUAUUAGUAUUUUCCUAUAUAGGAAUACAAGUCCUUUUUGUAUUAGGAACUUCAUCUAAAUGUUAUGUAAUCAUAUAAAUGCUGAAUCAGAGGGUGAACAGCUGGUGCAAUGCACUGGAGGGUAUGAUGUGGUAUCAAAUGCGUGUGUGAUUGAAAUGGUUUCAAUAGCAGUGGCAUUACUAAUGCCACAAGUGGCAGCAGUGGCACAUAAAGCUACCUAAAAGAGUAUUGCUGACUUGAACCAUUAUGAGAGGUGAACAGUUGGUGCACCGCACUGUAUGGCAUCGUGUGGUUACAAAUGCAUGUGUGAUUGCAAUAGUUCCAAUACCAGUGGCAUUUCUAAUGCCAUAAGGGGAAGCAGUGGCACAUAAAGCUACCAAAAAGAGCAUUACCUGGCAUUUGUCUCUGAGAAUUGACAAACAUUGUGGAUGUUAGGAUACUCUGCAUGUUAGGAUUCUGGACAACAGUGUUGGGGAUAGUCUGGGUUACACCAGAGACAGGAGGCAGUGCCGCUUGUAAACCAGCAUCACUUUGAACUCCAUUAGAUGCCAUGCAAUUCUGCAUGUUCUGUGAUACCAACUGCUGACGUGCUUGAGACUGAUCAGUGGACAAUAGGAUAGGGAGAAACAGCCCUUGAUUCUGAACUUCAGGGGACAUACUAUGGGAUACUGUUCAAGAUAAAAGGCAAAAGGGAAAACCAUGUCACAGAAAAAAAGAAGGCACUGAACAAGGAAGACAAAUGAAACAUUGGCAGUCCACACAUAAAGUUAUGAGCGAAAGAAUUGGGAUGGAUUUGAUUGAAAGCAUAAAAGUGUCCUCUGACAAUUUUCGGGGGAUGGGGGAAGAAGAGGCGGCUGAAAACAAAAAUAAUAUGACAAUUUUCAGGGUGGGGGAAAGAAAAGGAGGAGGCAGAAAACAAAAACAAUCUGUAAUAUUCUUGCAUAACAUUCAUCAAUUACUCAACUUUUUGAUUAAAGCAUGCCAUACACAUAGCAAUAUGUUGCAAUAAAAUGCAAAAGAGUUUGAUAACAAUGUGACAAACAAAACAAAAGGUAAGAUGUUUAGAAAUUCAAUGCUCGGCAGCAUUAUUAUAUAUGAAAAAAAAAAAAAUACUUUCUCUUGGAAGAAAAGCAAGAAAGUGACGUCUUACCUCCUAAACAGGAAAAUCUUUAAAAUCUACCAUCUCAAUCAUAAAAUAUAAAAUACCAUGCAUCACAGUCCUUGUUGCUUAACAAGUUAAGGAUGAAACACUUCACAUGCAUUAUAGAAUUAGCAUCGUGGAGGUGAUCAUGAGAUUUUUCCAACAAGGCGAUAUACAUAGAAAUAUGCAGGGGGCAGGGGGCAGGGGGCAGGGGGCAGUGGGCAUGGCGUUUUGAGACCUGAUCUCCAUUGAAAGCAUCUCCAGAGAUAUUUUACGCAGAUAAUCAUACUGAAAUCAGAUAUUAAUAACAAAACAUUAGAUCUCAGAGCAAUCCAUGUUACAAGAGGAGGAAAAUGGAUAUAUGCUCUAUCAUUUCAUCUUUUGUGAGGAUAUACUUCUGUUUCCUCUCUUUUUAUUUAAUUAAUUAUUUAUUUAUUGAUUUGCUAUUUUCUUUUUGCACACUUCCCUUGUACUUGAACUUGUUCACUCUAAAUAAAACACUUGUCAAGAGAAUUAACAAAAAGAUGCGAACUCCCAAUCAGCCUUGCAUACAGAGUGAACGGUGAGGAAGUGUAAGCACACUACACACACAUUUGUACAUGCAUAAAUGCAUGUGUAUAUUCAUGUCAAGAGAAUAUCAUAAUUAUCGAACCUCGCAUAGGCAAAUACCUGAUUGGUGGUGGUAGUAUAAAUCUUUUCCUCAAAACAUAUGGCAAAUUUCUUGAGUUCUUGUAAUCCCUCCUGACCAGAAAACAAAAGUUGCCUCUUUAUUGUCUCCAUUCUGCACAUGCAAAUCAUUACGUUUCAUUUUUAAUGACCAGGCAAGUAUAGAGAAGUUAGCAACAGCAAGCAAGAACCCUGAAUUCAUAAACCACACCAAUAUCAGAAAUGUGUGGAAUCAUAGCAAAAAGUAAAAAACAAAUAAUGAGAUAAGCAAGAGUUGGUCAAGUAUUAUAAGACAUCAAAAUACAUAGACAUCCUUUCCCUGUAUUAUUCCAGAGGUACAGAUUAUAGGAGUUUACUUGGCCACCCUUCUGUCAAAAAAUUCUAGCUACGAGCUUCAUAUAUUAGUGACUUAGUUGCAAAGCAGGGGAGUCUGUGAAAACAUUACAAUAGCAUUUACUCUGAGUAACUUCUAUUCUUUUCCGUGAGUCAGGCCGCAAUUGAAUUCUCCAAUCACCCGUGUCCAUGACAGGUUCUCCGCCUGGGACAGUGGGCCAACCAAAAAGAAAAAAUAAAUCAUAUUGCAUGUUAGAAAAGACCCUAAAAAGAAAGUCAGAAACGGCAAGAAGAGCAAAAGCACAUCAAGAACAUGAAAAAUGGAAUAUCAGUUUAUUCAGACUUGAAUAGAUUUAAAAAGAACUUCCGUCUAAUAUCAUGUACUUUAUUAAAGAAUUCAGCCAAAUAUAGAUGCAUAACAAAUAUACACAACCAUUCAGGUCAAGGUGCUAGGAUCCUGGGUAUUCGGCCAUUCAAAGCAAAGAAUCUUCAUGGUGCUUCUAAACCAAAGAAGCAUUCCCUUCUAAGCAAGUACUUACUGUCAAACCCCACUCCCCUUCCCUCCUGUUCUUGUUAUUUAUGCAUAUAUUUACUUCUCUGAAAAAACAAAUAUUGUAGGGAGCAAAUAGUGUAAAUAGAAAGAGGAAAAUACCACAUCCCCAAAAGAAUAAAGAAAUAAGAAGAAGGCAAAACAAAGUCAUAAAACGAGGCCUUUCAAUCCCCAAUGAAUAUCAGCAGACUAAAUACCACAGCACAAAUAGAAGAUGAAGAGGCCAGAAACACUAAUCCAUCCCGAAGAGAUUGUCUAGGAUGUUUUAGUCUAGGAAAAAGACAAAGAAAACAACGAGCAUUAACAAUGAAUAUUUCAUGUUAUCAUCAACUCUAAAGAGCAGACUGAUAAGAAUCAACUUAACAAAUUUACAGGCACAUCUUUCUUUGAACAGACAACACAAUAACCCUGACCAUACUAAAUGCUCCACCCACAGUAGAAUCGGCUGAUUGUAUUGAGGGAAAGAAUCCCGAAUGAUUAGAUGAUAUGCUGUAAUCAUGGGAUUGAAUGUUUAUCUCCUAUAAUAGCUCCUAGAAUAUCUCCUAGUAUAGUGGAUCUAAUUGUAUAUAUAUGCUGUGCAUAUGUUGUUCUUCAAUAUUACGAAAUAUACAGAGAAUCAAUUAUAUUUUCAUUCUCUCUUUAUGGUAUCAGAGCAUUGAUUCUAAGAACCCAAAAAUACCUCAUGUCAGGUGACGAAGAUCAAAGGUUCCUUGAACAAAACAGGAGCUCAAUGUCUUUCAGGACCUCAGAAGCAUGGGAGAAUUCCAACCAUCCACUCUUCCUCCAUCACGCAGACCAACCAGGGGCCGUCCUUGUCUCACAAAUGCUGAUGGAAGAUAAUUACACAACAUGGGUGCAGUCAAUAAGCAUGGCACUUACUAUCAAAAACAAAAAGGGGUUUGUAGAUGGAACCCUCAGGAGACCGAUCCACAACUCUAAUGAGCAACAACAAUGGGAAAGAUGUGAUAUCCUUGUAAGAACAUGGCUGCUUGGAUCCGUGUCGAAAGAUAUCUCAGGCAGUGUCAUCCAUUGCAAGGAUGCAAGAGGUAUAAUUCCUUUCCUCCUUGCAAUUGUGAGGCAGCCACCACGGUCAAAACCUUCCUGGAGACACAGAAGACCAUGAAAUUUCUAAUGGGGCUCAACGAAAGCUAUGCACAGACCCGAAGCAAUAUCAUAAGUCUGGAUCCCCUUCCAAAUCUAAACAAAGCUUAUGCCAUGGUUUUACACCAUGAGAAGCAGGCAGAAACCUUCACUGGCAAAUUGAAUACAGCACCAGAAGCAUCUGCAUUCACAAUAAAGAAAGUGACCCGUGAUUUUGCGUCAACAAAUGGAGAAAUCAAAUUUUGUGAGAAAUGCAACAUGAACAAUCACAGCACUAAGAAUUGCAGAGCUCACCUCAAAUGCACAUAUUGCAACGGAAAAGGCCAUACCUAUGAUUAUUGCAAAAGGAGAAGGAAUGCUACUGCAGGUGGACAAGGAAGAUCAAAGGCCAAUCAUGUAGCUCCUCAAAAUCACAGCAAGGAUGAUUUACCAGAAUUCCCCUUUUCACGAGAAGAAUGUCAUCAACUUCUCAGCCAACUUUUAGCAAACACAAAGUCUGCAUCAGCCAACCAAGUCGGUAACAUUCCAAAUUAUGAGGAACUGUCAGGUAAAUCACACCAAUUUUCCCAAAGUGCUACAGAAAUGACAUGGAUACUAGAUAGCGGUGCCAGUGAUCACAUUGUUUGUAGCCCAACUUUCCUUACAUCACUUAAACCAGUCCACAAUCAUUGGGUCAAACUUCCCAAUGGCAAUUCCACACCGGUCACCCAUAUUGGCACAGUAGCCUUCUCUCAACACUUUGUUCUUCAUAAUGUGCUUUGCGUCCCACUUUUCUACCUCAAUUUAAUUUCUGUGAGCAAACUGGCAUUUGAUUCAUUCUAUAUUACCAUUUUUCUCAGACAAGUUUGCUUUAUACAGGACCUACGAUUGGGGAAGAUGAUUGGGACGGGCAUUGAGAAGGAGGGUCUUUACUGCCUCAAUUUGUCACCAACAGCAACAUGCAAUGCAGUAUACAUCAACACAGACACUUGUGGCAUCAAAGACUUGGUCACCCCUCAACUAAAAUAUUCAUUAUUUCUGUUUCUUGCCAAUAAAGCAUGUAUUUCCAGCAAUUGCUAUAUAUGUCCUUUAGCCAAACUCACUAGACAGCCUUUUCCAUUGAGCACUACACGUAGUGCAUCCUGUUUUGAUUUAAUUCACAUUUGAGAUUUGGGUGGUUUCAUGUUCCAUCUCUUCUGUGCAAAUAUUUUUACCAUUGUUGAUGAUCAUUCACGAAGCACAUGGGUAUAUUUGAUGAAACACAAAUCUGAGGCACGAACUUUACUCAUUCAUUUUAUUCAAAUGGUUGCAAAUCAGUUUAGCAAGUGUAUUAAGGUCAUACGUAGUGAUAAUGGCUCAGAAUUUAAAAUUCCUGAAUUUUAUUCAUCCAAAGGCAUUAUUCACCAAACUAGUUGCGUCAACACACCACAACAAAACGGUGUGGCUGAGCGCAAACAUAAGACAUUUGCUAAACGUUGCUAGAGCCCUUCUUUUUCAAGCAACUCUUCCAAAACACUUUUGGGGGAUGCCAUACUCACUGCCGCUUACUUUGAUCAAUAGGACACCGACUCCCAUCCUUAAAGGAAAAACACCAUUUGAAUGCCUUUUUCUCACAAAACCAAGUUACUCUCAUUUAAAGGUUUUUGGAUGUCAAUGUUUCGUGUCCACACACCCCACUCGUCCCAGCAAAUUUGAACCUAGGGCUCAUGAAUGUGUUUUCAUUGGGUAUCCACAUGGUCAGAAAGGGUAUAAGCUUUACAAUUUAACAACUAAAAACAUUCUUGUUUCAAGAGAUGUGAUUUUCUUUGAGCAUGUAUUUCUAUUUAAACCAAGUCUUGUUCCUCUCUCCCAGUCUCAUUCACCCAAUCUCACUCCUACAAUUUCUCACACACCUUCCACCCAUAUCCCCAUCCCUAUCCUCCAUCCUUCAAAUUCCCAAUCUUCCGAUGUUCCUUCCUCUCAUCAUCCUAUCCCAUCACCAGAUUUAAUUUCUAGUACAUCGACAGACAACAAUCCCCCCAUCCCUUCUGCCUACACUAACACACCUGACCCACCUCUUCCUCUCAUCUCCUCACCCUUACCAACCCAACCAUUACCCCCAAACCCACGCCGAUCUUCUCGAGCCACAAAACUUCCAACUGCAUUGCAGGGCUUUCAUAUUGAUGCAACCCUCCCCUCACACCCUGAUCGAUCAGACUCCUCGAUCGAGGUCCUUUCUCCAGGUCAGGCUCAUAGUAUUUCCAAUGUCCUCUCUUAUGCCAAUCUUUCUUCCCCUUACAGAACAUUUACUGCUAAUAUGACAAUUCCUAGAGAGCCUCUCUCUUUUUCUCAGGCCAUCCAGGACCCUAAAUGGAGAGACGCCAUGCAGCAAGAAGUCCAAGCACUUCAUGCUAAUAAGACUUGGAGUUUGGUUCCCCCUCCGGCUCACAAACGCCCCAUUGGCUGUAAAUGGGUUUUCAAAAUCAAGUAUCAUCCUGACGGCACGAUUGACCGUUACAAAGCCAGGUUGGUAGCCAAGGGAUUCAGUCAAGUUGAAGGGAUUGAUUAUAGGGAAACUUUUGCGUCGGUUGCCAAGCUCACCACAGUUCGCGUCCUACUCAAUCUUGCGGCCAUGCAGAAUUGGCAUCUUCAUCAAUUGGACGUCAAUAAUGCGUUUCUUAAUGGAGAUCUUGAUGAAGAUGUUUACAUGCAGCUCCCUCCUGGAUUCAGACGAAAGGGGGAGCAUCGGGUUUGCAAACUACAUAAAUCAUUGUAUGGCCUGAAGCAAGCUUCACGACAAUGGUUUCUUAAACUUUCCUCAGCACUCAAAUCAGUUGGCUUCACACAAUCAUGGUCUGAUUAUUCCUUAUUCGUCUGAAACCAUCAAGGGAUCUUCACAGCCUUGUUGAUAUAUGUUGAUGAUGUUAUUCUAGCAGGGAACAAUUUAGACGACAUCACAGAGACCAAACGCUUCCUCUCCAGCCGUUUUAAGCUAAAGGAUAUGGGACAAUUGAAUUACUUCCUUGGGAUAGAGGUAGCAAGAUCUAAGCAUGGGAUUUCUUUGUGCCAAAGGAAAUAUGCGUUGGAAAUUUUGGAGGACACAGGUUUUCUUGGUGCUAAGCCUUCACGUUUCCCAGCUGAACAAAACAUAACACUUACACAAGAAGAUGGGGACUUACUAGAAGACGCCUCUCAAUAUCGGAGAUUGGUUGGCCGUCUCAUUUACCUGACUAUCACACGGCCAGACCUUGCAUACGCAGUUCAUAUACUUAGCCAGUUCAUGGACAAACCCAGGCAGCCUCACUUAGAAGCAGCACACAAGGUAUUGAGGUACAUCAAACAUGCACCUGGUCAGGGGAUUCUUUUACCAUCCAAAGGGCCAUUGGAAUUGAGGGCAUAUUGUGAUGCAGACUGGGCUCGCUGCAAAGAUACUAGAAGAUCAACAACUGGCUAUUGCAUUUUCCUUGGACAUGCUCCCAUCUCAUGGAAGACGAAGAAGCAAAGCACAGUGUCACGUUCAAGUGCUGAAAGUGAGUAUCGUUCCAUGGCCACUACGUGCUGUGAAAUAACAUGGUUGCUAUACAUUUUGAAGGAUUUGAAUGUUAAGCAUGAGCAGCCAGUUAAAUUGUUCUGCGAUAAUAAGGUAGCAAUACACAUAGCCUCAAAUCAUGUCUUUCAUGAACGAACCAAACAUAUAGAAAUAGAUUGCCAUGUGGUGCGAGACAAAGUGCAAAAAGGAUUGGUUAAAUCAGAACACAUAGGGACCAAGGAGCAACCAGCAGACAUAUUCACAAAGCCACUGAGUUCGAACCAGUUUGCCACAUUACUAGGCAAGUUGGGAGUGAUCAAUAUACACUCUAACUUGAGGGGGAGUAUUGAGGGAAAGAAACCCGAAUGAUUAGAUGAUAUGUUGUAAUCAUGGGAUUGAAUGUUUAUCUCCUAUAAUAGCUCCUAGAAUAUCUCCUAGUAUAGUGGAUCUAAUUGUAUAUAUAUGCUGUGCAUAUGCUGUUCUUCAAUAUUACGAAAUAUACAGAGAAUCAAUUAUAUUUUCAUUCUCUCUUUAGAUUGCGCCUUUCUUCGAGUUGCGUUAACGAGCAGCGAUUUCAUCGAUCCGAUUAUAUAUCUUUUUAAUUUACUUAUUAAAAUUGAAUUUAUCUCUCUGGAUAAGAAUUUCAGUUAAAUAAAUGAAAACGCAGACGUAAAUUUUAAAAAUAAAAAACAUGAUAGAAAAGGAAGCACCUGGUGGAGAUUUGAAGCCUUAUUGGUUGAGGUGGCGGCGGUUUCCUAGAGCGGAGGAGGGAAAGAGAGCUCAGGUGGAGAGAGGUGAAGAAUGUCGGACCAAAGUGAACAGAGCUUGACAGAUGACUUUUUUUUUUUUUAAUAUGAAUAUUCUAGUUAACUUAAUAUACCUUUAAUAAUUUUACAUACCCUAAAAUUCACAAUCAUAUAAAUAUUUAUAUAAAUAUCUAAAAAAAAUUAAAACUCAAAUUAGUGAUAUGCAGUAGCAAUAUAUUAUUCUUUCCAGAUUCGCUAACAAACUAAAAGAAAUGUAUUCACUGUGCUGCUUUACUGUUCAUAACUAACAAACUAAAACUAAAACUAAAAGAAUUAUAUAUAUAUAAAAGAGUGCUCAUUAAAACACGGUGCACUGUGUGUGAAUCCUGUGGCUUCACAGUCUUUACCGCGCUUCCUCUCUGUUUUUCGCCUUUCUUCUCGCGCGGUGGGUGUUCCCGCGCUUUCUUCUCGGCUGCUUAGGCUCCCUGGCGUCUUUUCAUCGACUUUGUCUGGUGCAUGUUCAGAUUGAGGCGGGGUGCUACGCGCGCGAGGAGAUGUCAGCCAACGGGAAAUCACCUGCAUCGGCUGGGAUGGCUUCAUUGAAGCUGUCCUCUUGGUCUGUGGCGGGCCUACUCAUUAAUGAAAAAAUUAUUCUAACUGAGACAUUGUUUUUGUUUUUGUAAACUCUUUUCUAUUAUAUUUUUUUUAUCCAAAUUUUUAUAGAAAAUUAAUCAUUAUCUCAAUUUAAUUUUUAUUUUGAUUAUUGAUUUAUAUACAUGUUUUAUAUUAUGUGGAAACUUGAUCAUUAUAGUAAAAAGGAACAAUAAUUGAUUAUAUGUUGAAAUAGAUUUAAAAAACAGUUUAAUUUUAAUAGGAAAAGUAAAGUGUAUAUAUCUUCUGUUAUCUGUGUACUUAUUGUCUUGAUUCUACUGGGAAAUAAAUUUUAUGUUGCAUGGUAUUUUCCUUUGUUGUUGCGUUGAUAGGAAAAAAAAAACAAAAGAUGGGAAAAAAAGGUUGCAUAUCUGGAUAAUGAGAGAAUGAAUCUUAUUGUAAAUAAAUUAUAAUUGUAAACACUUAUGAGUUUAGAUAAACUCCUAGCAUUGAUGAUGUAUUGUUACCAAGAAGACAAAUCUUAAAAAAAAAAAAUCUUCAAGUGGUGUAAUUUGUUAAUGUGGAUUUAUCAAGGGCAUUAUAUUUUUCACUUAUAUUAGUAAAAGAAUAUAAUACUCAAAUACAGUUAGUACUUGAGGUGUGAAUGUAGGUUUACCGAACCAUUUUAGAAAUUAAGUUUGAAAUCUCUCUUUCCUUAUCUAUUUACUUUAAGUAUUUUAAUUAUAUUAUUGGUUAUUGUGUUAUAUGUGUUUAGUGUGUUUAUUUGCAUUAUUUUGAUAUAAUUAAUGCAACACUUAAUCCAUCCCUCUUAAAUGCUAUUAUUGUUUUAAUCCUAACAACGUAAGUAUCAAUCAUAUUUUUUUAUUAUAACUUUAGAAGAGUUCAUAAUGUUUUCUUAUGUUGAUGUCGAAAGAAAAAUAUUUAUAAUUAUUUGUAUUGUUAUAGUUUCUAUUGAAAAUUACAUUGUGUCUCAUAGAAAAACAAAUAAAUAAAUACACAAUUGCAAACUUAAAUUGUUUAUUAAAUUUUUUUUUGCAAAAUUAGUGUGUUAAAUUUUUUUGAUUCAUUUUAAUUAAUAUUAUUUGAGAUUAUAUAAGUGUGAUAUAUAAUUGCAAAGUUAAUUUUAUUAUUGAGAUAACAGAUGGAUAAAACUAUGUUAAUGAUUUCGAUGUACUUGUUAACCUACUAAUCUUUGUGGUAUAAAUGGCAAACCCGAUUUCUAAACAUUUUUCAUGCGGGGAAAAAACCAAAAUAAUUUGAGACGCAAUGUAAUUUUCAAAUAUAAAGCAUGAUGAAUUAAAUUCUCUCAAGAGUCCUAAUGGUAGUGGUGUCUGCAAAAAGAAGUUCAAAGAAACUUGUUUUGUUUGUAAAAAGUAAAAACAUCAUUGUAAGGACUAUUGUCACUGUAAAGGGAAAAAUACACAAAGCAAUAUUAAAAAAUUAUAUUCUAAAUAAAACACCUUAUAAGAAAAUUGGGCAAGAUAUCGUAUGAGUUAUUGAAUGUUCAAUCAUCAUCCUACAAAUAUAUUAAAGUGUAGGGGUGUUUAGAAAAAAUUACAUUCCUCCACCAAAAAAAGUUAAAAAUAUGGAUUGUAUUAUAUAAGAUAUGAAACUAUACUUGAAGGGUAUAGCGAUACUAAUUAGAUAUCCAAUAUUAAAUAUUCAAAAUCCACAAAUAGAUUUAUUUUUGUUAUCGGAGAAGCUAUAGCCUCUUAAAAAUUCUUUAAACAAGCAUGCAUAUCCAUAUCAAUGAAGGAGUUUGAGUUUACAACUUUAGAUAAAGAAAAGAAGUAGAAUAGCUUCUAAAACCUUAUUGAGGAUAUUCGAAUUUACAAUUGAAAGGGCAUAAUAUAUAUAUAUAUAUAUAUAUAUAUAUAUAUAUAUAUAUAAUAUAUAUAUAACUGCAAGUAUUGACAUUAUUGUCAAUAUUGUAAGAUAGUUAAUCUAAAAUGAGAUUAUUUUUAUUGACCAUAUAAAGUUAAAUGAUAAUAUCAUGGAUUCGCUAAUAAAAUGCUUAACAAUAAAGCAAGUCAAUAAUCAUCGAGGGGAAUGAGAUUAAGACACAGUUCAAUGAAUUGUCAUGAUAACGACCAACCUAGUUUACUGGAGAUCCCAAAUUUAGGUUCAAAGAGGCAACCAAAUCAUGUGUCAAUUCAAUAAUAUUCCUCUUACCCAUUCAUAUGAUAUAAAGUGUUAUCUGCAGCGAAAAUAGGAUAAGCUAAGCUUUUAAUGACUUUUAUAGCUUGAGAAAUUCAAGUGAGGUAUUACAUGAUACUCUUAAUAAGAAUCACCUAUGUGAGUGUGAAAACAAGGCCACUUCUAUGAAAAUUGAAAAUGCAAAUUCUCUAAGCUCUCUAAAAUCAAGACAUAUUUGAGGCUAAAAAAAACACAACCAUGAGAACCAAAAUUGUAAGAAAAUAAACUGUGUAAUCUCUAUUAUCUGGUUUCACACAAAAGGUUAAACAACUCAAGACAUCAUGUUCGCUAGUUAGCCAAGUGAAUCCAAUAGUUUUAAUUAUGGAAGGUUCAAGGCUAAAAACUAUCUUACUCGAUGCAAUGACUUUUCACUAUUAGUCUCUAUUUUUUUGCCUAAUUUGUAUUUUAUUCAGAUCAAACAAUUUUUAUCAUGUGGGGGGAUUGUUAGGGUGUGAAUGAAAAGUUGUGUUUGCUAAAAACUCUACUUGAAAUAAAAUCAUGUACUUUUAAACUAGAAAGUUAUAACCUUUUGCUUAAAAGUUAUGUUAAAAUUAAAUGUCAGAAUUACCUAUAAAAAGAGACAAUUCUUACAUGAUUUUGAUAAUGAAGAAACUUCUAGUUUUUCUAAAACUCUUCUCUUUUACAUUUCUUCGGUCAAAAUUCUUACGGAAAGUAACAUACAAAUUAUGGUUCAUCAUUUAUUCUUGGUUGUGCUAUCAAGAAUUAGAGAUUGAGCUUGAAAAAUAGUAUUACAAUCACAUUGCUAGCACAAAGGUAAUAAAUUGUUUUAUGAAAAUUUAUCGUCAAUUUAUUGAUUUUAAUUUGUGGCUAUCUAUACAAAAUAAAUUUCAUAGACCUAUUAAAAUUUAAAAUGGUAAUGAGAUUUCUAAAACUAUAAGUGAAUAUAUGGAAAAUAUUAAAAAAUUACUUUUUAUGAAUGUUAAAGCCAUGAAUAUUUUAUAUUAUACAUUGGGUAAAAGUGAAUUUGAUAUAACUAUAUUAUACAAAAACGCUUAGAGAUAUAUAGCAUGCUUUACAGGUAAUUCAUGAAGGAACUAAGAAGUCAAAAAAUUUAAAAUCAACAUGUUAUUUCAUACUAAAAUAACUAAUAGUUUAUUAGUUUGGAUGUUUUUAGUAAUGCUGAAAUUAUAGAGAAUUGAUCAUUAAGUUGAUUUUUUAAUAUGCGUAGAAAUCAGAUCAUUAUAAAUUUAAUAAACUAUUUAAAGUGUUCCAAUAGAAAGAAAAUGGGUGUUAUGAAUUUUAGUCUGCAUUUUUCUCUACUUUCUUUUUGGUUUUUUUUGUUUGUCCCUUCCUGGAAAUUUGCGCUCAGUUUUUGCCUUUACUCUUUGUUGAUUGUCUUUCUGUUUUUAGUUGCAUUGUUAGGCUAUAUGUGUGUUUAUUGAGGCCUUGGCUGCCUUUUUUGCUAUAGUUAUGAGGUUUCUUGGGCAUAGUCUUUUGGUUAGCUUCAGCCCUCUAUUAUCCAUUCUUUAUAGAGGUGGUGUUGUCUUUGUUUCGCACAGGGUGGCAUGUGUCUUGCAAGUAAGUUUACGUGGUUUUCGUUACAUGUGUCUCUUGCAUGCUAUGUGUUUGUGAAAAGUCUUCUGAGAGAUCGACCUUUUUUCUUCAAUUGUUUUGGUUAGGCUGGGUGCUUGAUUUGAGUUAGGUUGUUAAAGUUUUUUCCAUUUCUUUAUAAAAAAAACAUUUCUUGUGCUUGGGAACACAUCUUUUUGGCUUUAGAGAUGAUAGAAAGCUUUGCUUUUAAGGGCGACAUUGUUCUUUAUGGUUUUUUCGACAUGGGUUUCCUUAAAAAAGUUUUAGUUUUUGCUUGUUUAUUUAUGUUGCCCAUCCAUAUAGAUAUUACAAUAGGUUUUUCUAGAGGUAACUUGGGUGAGGAAAAAACUUCGUGCCACGAAAAUAAGAGGCUGGAGUUUUAUUUUGCUUUAGAUUCUUCCCUUAAUUCCAGCCUUGGUUUGUUUUCAGUUCUUUGGUCUUUCUUUUCAUUAGUCUUUGAUUUUUGUUGGAUUCUUGCUUUGUAUUAGGUUGUACGAGGAUUUUCCUUUUAAAAAAAAAAAAAACAUCUUGUGUUUAGGAACGCAGCUCUGUACCUUUGGAGAUGAUAGAAGGCUUUGAUUUUGAAGACUAACACUUUUUUUUAAGUUUUUGGACUUGGGUUUCCCUGAAAAAUAUUUUCUUUUUGCAUGUUUGUUUGUGUUGUUCAUACAUAUAUUACAGCAGGUCUUUGUAGAGGUCACUUGAGGAAAAAAAAUGUCAGGAAAAACGGAGGCUGAUGUUCUUUUGCUUUAGAUUACCUCAGUUUCAACCUUUGUUUGCCUGUAGGUUGAGGUUGAUAGGUUGCUUUCUCCCCUUUCAUUUUAAACUUUAUAUUCAUCUUUUAACUGUUUUUAUCUUACCUUUACUUAAUCAUGUUAUAACAUGAAGAGGAUGUCGAUAACAUUAUGUGUUAUGUAAGAUAGCAAAGCUUAACAAAACCAUGAUUUCUUAGCUUAGAUUUGACGUGUUCAUACUUGGCACUAAUCAAUGCAAGAUUGUCGUUUUCAAUGUCUUUAAAAAUGUCCCUGAAAACAAUCUCGAUAGGCUGCCCCAAUAGUGAGGACCAUCUAGAGCAGCUGCUGCACCAGACAUCCACUGCUUCGUUGAGCUCGAAAACCCCCUCCUUCAUCCAGCCCCAUUGCUCCAGCAAACAUCAUUUCAUAGUGUGCAUCGACCCCUCAGCACUAUUUCUGUAGCCAAAUUAAUAUAAUCACCAAUGACCCAUCAAAAGUUACCAGCUGAAAUUUCAGUUUUGGAAAGAGAUUUACGAAUGAACUGAAAAGGGUACCCCAAUUGUGUUACUCAAAUGAGAUUAAAAAAAAUAUAUAUAUAUCAAGUAAGGCACAUUGGAUUGUUUAAGGACACUCUUGCAACAAGUAUCAUUGAAACAUGAUUUUGACAUGUGAUAGUCUGGUCCAGUUGCUUAACAUGCCUCAUAUUUUCGCACAUGAACCAGCCGGAUACAUUUUUUCUUUGAUGUUCCUAUCACAAAAAAAAAUAAAAAUGAAAAACUAAAAAAAGCUUCACUAAUAAUAUCAGGCUUGACCCUAUAGCUUAUGUUUCAUCACAGCAGAUUAAAUAAGGUUCUAGAUAACAGGAUAUACGAGUUUACUUGGCCAUUCUAGUUACGAGCUUCGUGGUUAAUUUUCUUGAACCGGAAGAACCUUCCAUUUAUGGCUAUGGCUAUGCUCCAAGAUAUAUAAGUGAAUUAGUUGCUAACGAGGGGAAUUCUGAAAACAUUACAAUAACAUUUACUCUUGAGUAAGAAAACUUUUAUGCAUGCACUGUAAUUGACAAAGAAAAGAAGAGAAAUCCUUUUAAUUUAUGAAAAUGCAAUGAGUUAACCUUAUCUCACGCUGCAAUAUAUACUCUACAGUGCUCAUUGGCUACAUCUAUAUGAUUUUGGAUGUAGAGAUAUCACCAAAACAUUCAACUUUAUGCUGAGAAACUAGGAAACCAUACACUAUUGUGGCUAAUUGAUUUUUGUCUGCUGCUUUUGUACUUUUAAGAUUACUAUCACUUCAACCCUGUACAAGUUAAAACUAAUAUAAGGCCCCAAAUCGAACACCAUUCAUCUAAGUUCAGUAGCAACUCAAGUUUCAAAUUGAAACACCAGUGCUCAUAGCAAUAGAUUAACCUUGAAAUUUAAAGCGGAACAAGCUUCAUGCAGCCAUCCAAGAGGUCAUCAUCGAAAGAAGAUGUUACACAAGAAGUUCCAACAAAAAUUACUUCCCAGCACUUUUUAUUCCCUCGAGUUCCCAUCUUGUGAGAAACACGUGAAAAAUAAAAAAAGACAAAAACGAAAGAAUAUGACAUCCUGUCAUUGCUACCAAAUCCUCACCAGCUGCUGCUCUAGAUCCAUUACCAGCUGCAGAACCAGCAAUUCUGUAAAUCAUACUGACAACGGAGCCAAUGUCACCGACAGAUGCACUAAGUGCUUUGGGAGACAGAGAUUUCACCUGGGAAAAAAAAUUACAGCAUCACCAUCUCAUUCACAAAGAAGUUCCUUUCGUUUUCAGAAACCUCCAAAAUAAGCGUGGGGUGGAGUAAAACCAAAAGGAGAGCAUCACUAACCGCUUCAAUCAAGUACUCAAGUGGUUGCUCUAUAACAUUUGACUUGCCAGAAACAGUUGUCAAAGCACCGCCAUGAGCACCAUCAGGACUGGUAAAGUCUGCAAGCAAAGGUGAUGCAGAUAUCCCGGGAGUGCCAAUUGCAAGGGAGGGAGCCAGUGCUUGUGCAACAGAUGGUUGAUGUACAAUAUUUCCAGUAUUUAAGAGCGAGGAAAUACCAGAAACUGGUUUGUCAGAAUCUCCUGGCAUAGGAGAUGGAGUUUGCUGGUGUAAUUGCUGCUGCUGCUGCAUCUGUUGAUUCUGCAUUAAAUUCUGGUGUUGCUGCAAUCGUUUAAGCUGUUGUGUUUGUAGCAUCUGUUGUUCAUGCUGCUGCUGCUGCUGUUUUAGAUGCUGGUGUUGAAUCAUAUUGGAAUUCGACUGAAGGGGAAUAUUUGGCUGCAGCAUACUCGCCCCAAUUUGUGUUGACAAUGUGUUAACAUUGGUUGGUUGGGAAAUGCUCAUGAGAUUCUGUUGGACAGAUGCUACAGGUGUCUGCUGCAAUGAGCUCAGUGCAUUUCCUUGUCCAGAAUCUAAAUUGGAGCCUGGUUGUAUUGGAUUCAUCAUGUUUGAUUGUGACGUCGAAUCCCCAGAUAAAGUUGAAAGAGAAUUAUGCAGCAAGCUUGACAUGUUGUUCUGCUGCAUCUUUGGUACAGAACCUUGCAUAUUCAUUGAUUGCAACAGGGAUUCAGUUGAUUUUCAUGGGACUGCAAUUGAGGAACUUGAGAUUGGGGUUGCUGCAUAGGUUGAAUAUGAGGUUGGGGAAGUUGUCCUUGCUGUAGAUUAGGAAUAGGCUUCCUGUAUCUGCUUGGGUUUAGAAAACCUACAAUCUGCUUCUCAUAGAAACCCAAUUUCUCCUUGAAAGUAGGUGUGAUGUUGUUUUUAGAGACCUGUAAGAAUGUUAUCAAGCGCUCCAACAUGACCUUGAAUACCUUCAGCUUUUCAAGCUGUUCUGACUUCGGUUGUUGCGGAAGAGGGUCAUGCUGGAAAGCAAAGUUAACAUACACGAGAAUUAAAAAUUGCAUUGACCCUUUGUAGCAAAACUAGUAAAACAUAAGUGAAAAAAAUGUUUCUAUUCCAAUUCUUCUGUGUCAAUGCAUGGUUGUGGGGUGGUUGGGGGUGGGGGGGGGUAAUUAGUGCAGAUGAUACAGUGACAAGCAAUGCUGAUGGGGAAAACAAAUUAAUACAAAAGCUCAACUGUGGGGGUUUAUGAAUCAUGUGUGAGCAAAUAAAUCAGAAAAAAUUACAAAGACAAUUUACCUGCUGUAACUUGGUAGCAAUUCUCUGGUACAUUUCAUUUAUUUCAGGCAAAUACGUUUCCUUCAUAACUUUGAUCUAGGAAGUACAUAUAACCAGCAAAACAUUAUCAAUCAUAUGCUUGAUUUCUUCAGGUGCCAGAGUCAGAAAGCAACAUAAGCAAACUUGAGAGAAUUGAUAAAUAAAUAAAUAAAUAAAAUGGCAGAGGACAGCAUAUAUUGUUUGAGAUAAAAAUAGCAGAGUGGAAUCAAUGCUGAAAACUCAAUAGAGAAUAUAGUUAUUGAUUGCAUGCAAAGAUGCAAAGGAUUGUGUAGUUACCCCUUCAGACAAGAUUCAGGGAUUGGUCAAGUUCAGUUACUUUGUCUCACGGCAAACUACUCACCAUUGUUUUCUAUUGUUCUCACUCAAGUCAAUGGAUGUCACGACUUUGGUAAACACUUCUUAGCUUUAUAACUUUAGAUUUAUAACCCUUAUAUCCUAAUUACAACCACUCCUAUUCCCGUUUUAGUACCCUCCCAGGCACAAAAAAAUUGACCUCAUCAAAUAUGCAGUUAUGAAUUGCAACUACAGCCAUUAAACGAUUCAGAAUUUCAACCUCGUUUUCUAUAAAAUUCAACAAUACUGGACAUGGUCAUGAUUCAAUGGAUUAGGUCCGCUUAUUUUCCUUUCUUCCAUUGUCACAUGUUUCAGAACAAAUUUGAUUGUCAUCUUGAAAAUAACUGUUCACUUAACCAAAUAUAACGAUGACUAUUCAGAAACAGUUCACUCUUGUUUUCAAGUCUGUCUAUUAUAGUAAUAAGUAUUGUCAAUUGGACUUAUGGAAAUAAUAUAAUAAUAAUUCACCACACAAUAAAUGUACGGAAAUACAGGGAAAAAAUUGAAAGGGAGAGAUUUGCAAUAGAAAAAAUUGUCGUGUCAGUACCAAGAAAAUAACCCUCUUGACCUAAAAAUAUGAAUAUUUACCUUUAAUCAUCUUAUCAGUAAUUUAUCGUUUCUUCGUUCCUGCAAUCAUGGAACUUACAAUGCUUCCUAACUAAUCACAACCAUACAUGAACAGUAAACUAAAGAAAUUACCUUUUGAUAGAUCUCCUCUUGCCAAUCAGCACCAUUUGCAUGUCCAGUCUCUGCUGUAGAAUCUAGGGAUGCUACAAAAAUUUUGAUACAGCCAACAAAAGAUUAGAAUGCAUUUAUUUUUUGAAUGUUUUCUGCACACAAGGGUAGAAUCUAGGGAUGCUACAAAAAUUUUGAUACAGCCAACAAAAGAUUAGAAUGCAUUUAUUUUUUGAAUGUUUUCUGCACACAAGGGUAUUUCUGUAAUUUUCACACUUGCUGAAAAUUAUGGAAUAUUGUUGGUCUUGGUUUUAUUUCUAUUUAGUAUUUUAUUGUUCCUAAAGAAUAAGGAGCUUUAAUAGGUUUUCCCCAUCCUAGAUAGAACCAUUAGUAUUUUCUUACAUGGGAAUACAAGUCCUUUUUGGACUUGGAGUACUAGGAACUCCAUCUCAACGUUAUGUAAUCAUUCAAACGGACAGAGAGACCCCCCUCCAACAAGUGAUCAUUAUAUAUUAAAAAAAAAAAGGCUCAAACAAUUUAUCAUGGAAGAAAAGCACAAAAGUGACGCUUUACCUCCUAACCAGGAAAAUCUUUAAAAUAAACCAUCUCAAUCAUAAAAUAUAGAUAGCCAUGCAUCACAGUCCUUGUUCCUUAAUAAGUUAAGGAUGAAACACUUCACAUGCCUUACAGAAUUAGCAUCGAGGAGGUGAUCAUGAGAUUUUCCAGCAAGGUGAUGAUUUAUCAGCACACCAAACCUUAAGUGCCUCAGAGUUAGUCCACUUGCUAAUUUCUUUCUUCCCAUAAAAAUCAAUUGGCUGAUGAUUAGUAAUCCUAGUGUCAAAUGCAGUGGUAACAAACGAGUGUGAUUGCAAUGGUUUCAAUAGCAGUGGCAUCAGUAGCACAUAAAGCUACCAAAAGAGCAUUGCUGACUUGAACCAUUAUGAGAGGUGAAUAAUGGUUAGAAAGCUGCAAGGAUGAGAAAAACUUACUUGAGGACGUUUCUGGAAGCAAGGAGCCUGAUGCUUGAAGCCUUUGCUGCAGAUCAUGUUGUAAUGGAUUUGAUUGCUGUUGCAGCUGUCCAGGCUGUGAUUGAAUCUGUGCCAUCAAUUGCUGCUGUGGCAGCUGUGAGUGUGACUGCUUCCCUUGAUUCGGCAACAAAGCACUUCCACUUUGUUGUGCUUGCUGCUGCAGCGUAACCUUGGGCUGUUGCAGCAUGUGUAGAGAGUGCUGAUAAGAUUGCAUGCUUGAGUUACCAGUGACAUUACUUUGAGGGCCCAACUGUUGCUGAUGCAUGCUUGAGAGGUUAUUUUGUUGAGCCAUUAACUGCUGCUGCUGCUGCAGAUUUUGAAGGUAAUUCUGCUGCUGCUGCAAGUCCCCAACAAUGUUUUGUUGUCCAAUUAACUGAUUUUGAUUGCUGCCCCAUUAGCUGCUGUUGUGGAGGCAAUAGUGGCUGCUGCAUCAUUGGUGUUUGCUGCUGAUGAAUACCAGCAGACUGUUGAGGUUGUUGCUGCUGCUGCCUAAGGACUGAUUGUGGAUGUUGCUGGUGCAUUGGUUGUGUUGACUGUUGAACAGAAGAUGGUUGGUUCUGUUGAAGGCCAGAGACAGUUUGCAUCAUUGAAGGCUGCAUAACAGUUGAUGUUUGCAAACCAGAUUGCAACUGAUUUGGCUGUAACAAGUUUUGCUGCUGCUGCUGCCCUUGGUUGUGAG